Molecule: long non-coding RNA, 91504 nt
Filed under: Medicago truncatula (barrel medic)
Lineage: Eukaryota; Viridiplantae; Streptophyta; Magnoliopsida; Fabales; Fabaceae
Description: long non-coding RNA (MTRU_LNC000957)
Source: RNAcentral
ACCCUAAACCUUGAGGCAAUGAGUUCUCUCACUUAUAAAGUUCUCAACCUUCACUUUUCUAUUCGAUGUGGGACAUAUAACUCACACACUCUUGAAACGGUUGAGCAAUCUAUCCAAGAGGCUGCUCCACCACUAGAUAAGUACAAUACCUCUUUUCACAUGUCAUUACUUAAUGUAAUUGAUGAAAUUGUAAGGCCAUACGUCAAUGAGCAGCGUCCAAGUUUGGAAGGAGUCACAAAAACUAUACCUUUGAAAGCAAACAAUAGCGAUAUCAUUAAUACAUGCGAGAUUAUUGUGCAAGCUCCUCCUGAUUUUGAAUCAAAUAUGACUAAUAUUCUUGCGCACUCUGAAGAUCUGGUUGAUCCAAACCUUCAUAAAGAACUGGAUCUUGUUCAACACAUGUUGAUUCAAGGUAAAUACGUUGACGUCUCUAUUACGCCUUAUCUAAUGAAGAAGUAGAAAAAACAACUCAGCAAACACAAUUCCUAUAACUCUAAUAUUAGUUACAAUCCAAUGAUAUAUCAUGGUAUAGCUAGCUAGGCCUCCUCCGCCCCUAAGUAUAUAAGCAUUUCACCACUCAGUGAAAAAACUGUUCCAAAUAUAAGUUCUUAAUUUUAAAAUAUGAAAGUCAAUAUUGGAUGAACACGUCUAUAAACAAUAAUUUAAUAAUAAUUACAUACCUUGUCAAAAAAAUAUAUAUAUAUAUAUUACAUACAAAAUCUAUUUAGGUUGGUAUGGUAGUAUUGACUUGGGAUCUGAAAAUGUGCUUCUCUUCAAGGUCAGGUAGAUUCUACUCGGUGUUAACUUCAAAAAAAAAAAAUUACAUACAAAAAUUACAUAUUGCCUUCACUAUCAACCUUUUUUAAUAUAUAUAUAUAUAUAUAUAUAUGUGUAGUAAAAUAUAGCAUUAAUGUUUAUAAAAAAAUAAAUAAAAAGAGAUGGAAAGAAUGUUUAGUAAAAACAAUAAUGUCAAUUUUUUUUAGGUGUGGAAGUUAGUCAAUUUUAACACACAAAAAACUAAUUUAUAUGAACGGAAUGAAGUUCCCUUACUUGUCGUCCUUGCAGGGCAUUUUUAUUUUUAUUAUAGAAAAUCAAUUCCUCGUGGAACGCAUGGCAUUAUUUUACCCUAGUUUACAUUCAUUUUGAUCAAGUCUCAUAAUUUAUUUAUUUUUUGGAAAAAAUUCCAUGGACACAAACUACAAACACAAGUUUUAAGCAAACUUACAUAAAGUCAAAACUAUUUUUUUGUUACUACAAGUUUAGGUGAGUUGAGAAAUAUAAGGGUUCAUCGAAGUUAAUCAUGAAGGUUCAACGAGCGUUAUAAAGGUAUUUCCAGAUCACCCAUCAAAUUAGUCUAAUGCUUGUAGAGUAGAGGGAGUUGAAAUCAUAAUUUUACGUCAAGAAAACUUACGUAGUCACAAACACAAAUAUAAUUAGACACACACAUAAAUUGAAAAAAUUAAAAAAGAAAAUAAUUGAAUGAUGUGAUUAAAUUAUUUCUUAUUUAUUUUUCUACAUUUAUGUGAAUGUGGCUAAACAUUUUUCAUUUCUAUUUUGUGUUUAAGUAAGACUUGCUCACUUUAAUUAUGACUAAACUCCUUACCAACUAAACAUGGUACCGUUUGACCAGACUUUUUUUCGGUCUAAAAACUACUUUAAAACAAAGUUAAAAUAAAGCUCUUUAAGAAAAAAGUUAAAGCUGUUUGGUUUCUUUAUUUUUUUUAAUUCUAAAGUUAUUUUUAAGUUAAAAGUUGUUUGGCAAAAUAUUGUACAAAACUUUGAAUUUUUUUUUUUUUUUUGUGGUGUUCGGGGUUCGAACCCGCGAUCUUGCAUAUAUUUAUACAUUGUCUAUAUCAACUGAGCUAAGCUAGAGAAUAGUUUGUUUUUUCUUUUCCAAUUAUACUGUAUAACAAAUUUUGUUAUAAGAAUAUCAUAUUUUUGGUAUCAUUUAAAAAGAUAAGAAUUUAUAUUAUAUGAUAUUAUAUUUUGUUACAUUGUUGUUGUCAUUGAAAAAGAUAUGUUUAGUUUUUUUUUUUUUAUAAGAAAAAGAUAUAUAAAUGUGUAAAAUAUAUAUAAGUAUAAUUUUUUUAGGCAUCUAUACUAGUACUUUUAAUUAAAAUCAAAAUUAUAGACAUUAGCGUAACAAGAAAAACAGACAUACAAACAUAAAAUAUUACUCUAAACGCUAAUGCGUGUGUGUAUAUUUGUGAGGUUGAAGAAAGGGAAUAAAAAUAUUUGAUGUCAUUCAAUGACAACAUGAAUAAAAAUAUUUGUGAAGUUGUGAUAAUUAAACGAUAUUAAAAUUAAAUAUAUAAGUGAUAAAAAGAUAAUAAAAGAUUAAUUAAAACAUUGAACGACCAUUUUAGUUAUUUUUAAAAUAAUUAAAGAUUAAUUAAAAGGUAAAAUUACCAUUUUGUGAGUUUGCAAGGAACUUAUUAUACUUUCAUUUCCUUUUACCCUUGUCUAUUAUUCAUUCUUCAACCACCACCACAUAUCAUCACCUCUCCUGGCUAUAUAUUAAGCUCUUGCCCAUCAUUUGUUGCAAUUAGCUAACCCAUCUUUUAUUUUUUCACUCACUUGUUUCCAAUUUUCCCCAAAAAAUUCCCUCCUUAUUUUUCUUUCUCUAUAAACCUCUUGUUUAGAAACACACGCAGAGAGAUGAAGAAGAAGAGAAAGAAGAAGAUUACACCUACCAAGUAAUAUAUAUUUUAUUUUCUUUUUAAUUCCUCUUGUUGAUCUGUUUUAGUUUAUCACUUCUUAUUUCAUUCUUCUCAUGAACAUUAAGAUUCUAGCAUAAAUACAUGUUGGAAUAAUUGAUUAAUUAAUUAAUUUGAUUAGCAUAACUAAGAUCUAGCCUCCAUGAGUCAUCAUAAUUAAUAUAUUAAUUAUUAACAACAACCUUAAUCAUUACAAUUUGUGAUAUCAUUACCAAUAACAUACUACAACACAUCCCCGUAAUUUAAUUUGUUAAGAAACCAAAGUGAGAAACACAACAUGAUGAUAAAUAGAACAGAAUGGAAGAGGACAAAUACUAAAGAACAGUAGCAAACAAGGACCUCCUGUGCUGUGGAUUUUUAUGAUCAAAUUCAAAGCCAUAAUCACCAUUGUUGUCUCAAGUUAAUUAAAGUUUCUUACAAAAGAUUCCAUUUCAAUUUUAGGUACCAAAAUGUGCCCUAAAUUUAAAAGUAAAAUUUCAAAUAAAUUGACAUCUUAGCUACCCUACCAUUCAAUUUCAAUCUACAUUAAUAGCUUGUGGAAGGCCUUUUAAGUCUGAGUUACUAAACAAGUCUUAAUAUUGCAUUGAACUUCUUUUUUUUUUUUUUUUUUUACAAAUUAAUGUUGCAUUGAACUUUGUUUAUAUCAUUAUGUACUUAAUCAUAUGAAACAUUUAAUCAUUUUGAUUUAUAUACUGUGAGUCUGUUAUUACUAUUUGGUCCACAGUUUAUUGUUUUAGGGGAUCACGGUGUAAGUAUAUAUGUCACAUGAAGUCAUGUUUUUGUUUGCCUUCAAUUGUAUACUGUUAUUAUUUGUCCUAUAACAACAAUGGUUUUUGCUUGAUUUCAGUGCUGUUUUCUACAUAUUGUUUGGUCUUAGCACAAAUCUACGGCAUAAUACCCACAUGCAUUAUUACUAAGGGAUUCCAUGUGGGUCAAGUAAGUAGAAUUUUUAUUUGUUACUUGUUUUUCUUUUUCAUUUGAUAAAAAAAACUUUUUAGUUCAAUUUUCUGCAUCCCCGCCAUACUUUCGGCUCUCAUUACAAGUUUCAACUAGUGAAGUCCGCAUACUUCAAACAUGUAAUUAAUAUUAUUAUAAUUAAGGGUUAAUACCACUUUUGGUCCCUGUAAUAUUAAUAUUAGCGAAUUCUAGUUUUAGUUCCUGUAAAAAAAAAGUUUAAAUUAUGUCCGUGUCAUUUUAAAUUCUUCCACUUUUAGUCCCUCAAUUGAACACAUCAGCAGAAUCUGCUGACGUGUAAUUGAUGAUCGUGUAAUUUUAAUAUUUUUUAAUCCACAUGAUAUUUAUAAUUAUUUUCAUUAUUUAAAAUUCUAAAACAUAAAACAUAAAUUAAAAAACACAAAUAUUUUCAUUCCCUCAUCUCUCUCUGCGAUCUAUCUUCCCCCUCCUCCGACCACCAUCUCGGCCGCCGUCCAUCACAUCAUUGAAGCGCACCACCCUCGUUCUCCCUCUCCUUCUACACCCUCCACUGUCAUCUCUUUGUCCCUUUUCCACAUCUCUCCCCUCCAUCCUAAUCUCUCCCUCAUCAAUCAAUCACCACCACACCCUUCCUCCUCAAUCACCACCACCAUCCUCGUCGCCACCACCAUCUCACUUUAAUUCUAAAUCGUAAUUUUCUUUUAAAUUUUCUGGUGUUUUGAUUUGAAAGCCCCUAACCUUAUAAGUUUGCAUCAGAUUUGUUUAUACAAUUAAUUCAGAUGCAUUUGUCAAUUUGUUUCUCAAAACUUCAGAUCUGAAAUCUAAAAUUUAAGUUGGGGUUUCAUUUGACUUGUGGUGUUAAUUGAUUUAGGAGUUCAAUUUGAUGUAGGGUUUUGCAUUGAAGAAGAAUAAGAAAGAGAAUGUUUAAAAUGGGAUGGGUUGAAACAAGAAAAUGUGAAACAUAGAAAUAGAUGAAGAAGGAGAUCAAGAGGGUUAGUAAAUUUUUUUUUGUUGAAGAUGAAGAGUGUUUGGAACGAAAAAAAGCAGAUGAAGAGGGUCUGUUAUUUUGUUUCAAUUUUUAUAUUUUUCUACUUUAACAAUGUUUUAAAGUUUUUUUUUAAUAAGUAUAAAUCAUAUCCCUCAAAAAUGAAAUAAUUAUAAAUCAUAGAAAAGCCACAUGAAAAUAAAUUUAAUAAAAAAAAUAAAAGAAUUACACAGUCAUCAUGACAUGUCAGCAGAUUCCGCUGAUGUGUUUUAUUGAGGGACUAAAAGUGGAAGAAUCUAAAAUUACAGGGACAGAAUCUAAACUUUUUUUUUACAGGGACUAAAACCGAAAUUCGCUAAUAUUACAGGGACCAAAAGUAGUAUUAACCCUAUAAUUAAUUCUGAUAUAGUUCUUUUGUGAAUAAGUUUUUUUUUUUAAAAUGGAAAAUAAUGUUUAUGAAGUGAUUAGUAAAAUAAUACAAGUGUUGAUGUAUAGACUUAUGCGAAAGUAAGGAGUGGGUCAAUAACUAUUACAGCACCAACUUUAGAUCUCUACUUGAUCUAAUGGCUGGUAGUAUACUUUGGUACACCCACGUAACAAUGAAGAACAUGAAUAUCUACCAAUAUCCCAUUGAAAAACUGAGGGUGCAGCCGGUAGGCCUAAUUGUCGCUUUUGCUGUGAUGGCCACACUUGGUGAGUCAUAUUGACUUAAACUAUAUUACAAGCUUCUAUGGUCUUCAUUCUUUUGAUUGAUUUAUAUCAUUAUUUUGUCAUUUUCCUUUCAAACGAAAGGUUUCUGAAAUCAUAUUACAUUGUUGGGCUUGUAUUUUAAUAUAGUUGCACAUAUGCACCUUAUGAUUAUGGUUAUAAAUUUUCAAGAAAACAUUCAGCUUUACGCUUAAGAUUGAAGAAUCUGUUUAUUUAUUCUUUAGGCCAUAAAUCAAAAGAUCCUAUUUUGAGAAAUGAGGUAUGGUUAUUUAAUUGAUCCAAGAAUGAAUAUACCAACAAUGGAUUUGUCCAAUAGUAAAAGACUUAAAAAAAUCUGGUAUGGUUAGACUCCUUAAACAUGUGGUCAUGAGUUUGAUUUUGACUCAUGCUUAUAAAAAAAUCUGGUUGAAUGGAGAGAACCGACCUGCAUGCUGGUUUAUCAUAACCAUUCUUGCGUUUUAGUGAAUAUUCUUAUUUUAGGAAGGGUUUGAUUCCGACUCAUGCCUAAGAAAAAAUUUGGUUGGACGGGGAAACUCCACCUCCCCACUGGUUUGUAAGUAAGAUACGAUCAGCUUUUACUGUUUAGUCCAAAGCAUUAACUUUUAUUAUUUCAAAAAGUUUAUUUAUAUUUUUUAAAAUUUUUGAAAAUUAAUUUCCAUAUUUUUAAAUUUAUUAUUUAUUUUUAUAUGUUUAUUUUAAUUUCAAAAUAUAUUUUUUGUUUUUAAAAAAUGAUUUUAAAAUAAUAAAAUUACAAAAUCUAGUGAUGAGGGAGUAUGGUAAGGAUGUGUUCUUGGUUUGAUCUAAUGGUUAAAAACUAACUUUCCCAUGGUGGGAAAAAUUAGCCUUUCCCAUACUAAACUUCACCUAGAAUAUGAGUUGAAAAUAUAGUGUUAGUAACUAUAAAUACCCACUCAUACACAACAGCAAAAGUAGCAUAACGUAAGCAAUAGAGAGAGAUAGUUAGUUAGUUAUCCAUCGAACUAAAAAGAAGUGACCCCAUCACAAACUGUAAUUCUCAAUCAUUUGCAAAUCCAAACUCAUGGCAUAGUACUUAGUAGCAUACCUUAUUACCACCUUCCAAAACUUCAAUCAUGCUGGCAUGAAAAGUACCAGUUUUCCAUUCAUAUAUAUAUAUGUAUUUUUUUUCUUUUUUAUUUCUUUUUCUUAGUUAAAUAAUUCUGGAUUUCCAAAUAUCGAAACUGAAAGAGUUGACUAUGAAUUUGAGCUGUAUUUUUUGUUUUUCAUAAUAAGACUUUAUUGAGCUGUACAUUUUAAAAAUAAAAUAAAAAGAAAAAAAUAUCGUCAUUUAGCACACUGAAAUCAUGUUUUUCCCUCCUAGCUUAUUGUCUUUCUAUGCUUAAACACUUCAAAACCAAUGUCCAAUACACACUUAUGUCGACAUUUUACGACAUUGUAUAGUCUAAUAAAAUAAAUAACAAGCCAUAUGAACGGAAACAAAUUCCAUCUUUGUUGCUGUCAGUAUGUGCAUAUUAUAAUGUAACAUGGAAAUAUCAGAUUAAAUAUUCAAUCACAAUUUUGAAAACCUACAAAUUCAACUAACAAAAUAUCCAUAUAAACUCAUCUUUGUUAUUGUCAUUAAGUGCAUAUCCUCUUAAAUCUGAAUUUCUAACCAUUGAAAUGGGAUUCAAACUCUUUGUUCUUUCGAUCUUCAUUCUCUUUAUAGUCCCAACUCUAAUAGCUGCAGAGUGCACAUGUGACGAAGAAGAUGAAGAAAGGGACAGAUCAAAAGCUCUACGCUACAAAAUAGCGGCUUUAGUGUCAAUAUUAGUUGCAAGUGCAAUUGGUGUUUGUCUCCCACUUCUUGGGAAAGUGAUACCGGCAUUAAGCCCUGAAAAAGAUAUAUUUUUUAUCAUCAAAGCAUUUGCUGCCGGUGUGAUACUGUCCACCGGUUUCAUUCAUGUGCUUCCUGAUGCUUUUGAGAAUCUUACUUCUCCAUGUUUAAACGAACAUCCUUGGGGUGAUUUUCCCUUCACUGGUUUUGUAGCUAUGUGCACCGCUAUGGGGACUCUUAUGGUUGAUACUUAUGCAACCGCUUAUUUUCAGAACCAUUAUUCUAAAAGGGCACCGGCACAGGUUGAAAGUCAGACAACCCCAGACGUGGAGAAUGAAGAACAUACACAUGUUCAUGCUCACGCAUCACAUAGUCAUGCACAUGGUCAUAUUUCUUUCGAUCAGUCAUCAGAACUUCUUCGUCAUAGGGUCAUAUCACAGGUAAUAAUAAUAUAAAUUUAAUCAUAUAAAGAUAUUUGUGCAUGAGAUGUGAAUAUGAUUUUUUGAUUUUAUCAUAGGUGUUGGAGUUGGGAAUUAUUGUUCACUCUGUUAUCAUAGGAAUUUCUUUAGGUGCUUCAGAGAGUCCUAAAACCAUAAGACCAUUAGUGGCUGCGUUGACUUUUCAUCAGUUCUUUGAAGGCAUGGGACUUGGAAGUUGUAUAACUCAGGUAUAUCAUAUUACAUAUAUAUCAUUCAACUAGUGUGAAUGAAUUAUAAUCAAGUUAUCUCUGACCGUUCAUGGGGACCAUGAGUUCGAUUUGGUUGAUGUGAAUUGUGAAAUAUUAACUAUGGAUUAGGAUUUUUCAAAUAUAAGUGCGGUGAACUAUUGGUCACACUUGAAUCUAAUAUAAAGAUAAGAUAAUUUAUGAUUAUUCUUAUAUAUGUUGAUUUUUCACUAGACAUCUUGAUCCUUUCAAGUGUUUUGUGGCCAAUGUAUUUGUUUGUUUGGUGCCCUUGUUUGUUGUAAUAUGUUCAAAAGAUGUCAAAUUAAAUGCAUGAUCGUUUAUCCAAAAAUAUUAUGUAAUGAAACAUCGUCUUUUCAUUACUUUUUUUUUGGUGGUACACUUCUUUUUUAGUAUGCAUUCUUUGCUCUAAUUUCUUAAUUAAUCGGUGAAGGAUUGCUUUAUGCAUAAACAAUUUCACAUAUCAUCAUUAUUUGUAUUAAACUUUAAGUUUUUUAAUAUAAAAUAUAGAAAUCAUGAAAAUUGUAUCUUCAACAUAAACUAUAAAAAUGUCCGUGAGAAAUUCAAUAAUCACCUUCAACCGAAUCUCCAUAAACAAAUAAAAAAAUUCAACUAACAAUGUUAAACUUUUCUAUAACAUUUAGUUAAUGUUUGAUUAUGCAAAACUAAUUUCUAUAAGUUAUGUGUUUGUUACAUUUCAAGAGAUUGUGCACCUUAAUUGAAUGUAAAACAAGAAAACAUCAACCAGCAGCAUUGUUUUUGACUUAUUGAAAGUGCAACCAUUGCAGGCAAAUUUCAAGAGUCUAUCAAUUACUAUUAUGGGAUUGUUCUUUGCUUUGACAACUCCAGUAGGAAUUGGAAUUGGCUUAGGGAUCAGCAAUGUUUAUGAUGAGAACAGUCCAACUGCUCUUAUUUUUGAAGGAAUCUUCAAUGCAGCUUCAGCUGGGAUCUUAAUCUAUAUGGCACUUGUAGAUCUUCUUGCUGCUGAUUUUAUGAAUCCAAGGAUGCAAAAGAAUGGUAGGCUUCAAUUAGGAUCCAAUAUAUCUCUUCUACUAGGAGCUGGUUGUAUGUCUCUUAUAGCCAAAUGGGCUUAGCUAGGUGUUUGUUUGAGUAUUCUUAAUUUUCAUUUCCUUCCAAAUUGUUCAUUUGAAGUCCUUGAUAAUUUCCAAAUAUGCCUAUAACAAUAGACCUACUAUCGAAGACGACGUGAAUAUACAGUUUCACAUGACAUUCAGCUUGAACUGGUUUAUGUUUAUCAAUUCUGGCAUUUUGGUGGACUAUUUGGGAUUUGAGAAAUGAGUGAUCUCAUUUGAUAAGUCUGAUUUCUGUGUUAUUUUGGGUUGGAUUAUGAUAUUGUCCAUCUUGACUUGAUUAAAGCUGGACCGAUGUCUAUAUUAUGAGUGGUGUGUUGAAUCUCUAUGUUGUAUUCGAAGAGCCUAGUCGCUUCGCCUUGCUGGUUUUGGCAAGGGCUUGGUUCUGGUCUUGUGCUUCUUUUCCUGCGUGAUUAUAGUACUCAUUGUACUUUCAUCAUAAUAUAUUUUAAAUUUUUUGAUUUGUUUGUUCAAAAGUUUACAUCCAGGAAGAUUGAUAGGGUUAGCAAAAUUACCGUUCUCAAUAAGUAUAUGAUUAUAUAACUUGGCUUUGUUUAUUCUAUAUCAACGUUGUUUUUUCGUCUUGCAAAGGUUCUCUCAACAUUAUUGAUGAAUAAUUCACUAAAAUGUAAGUUAUGUAACGAUUGUUAUAUCAUUCUAAACUCUGAAUGUGCUAUCACAUUCAUACCAUCAGAAUAUAACAUGUAUAAUAUUCAUCGAAAGAUAUUGAAUUACAUUAUUUGACAUUUAAAGUCAUUUGUUAUUUUUUGAUUUCAUCAAAAAAUCAAUGGUGAACACUCUAGUAUUUAUAGAGUUUGUUUGGGUAUAUGUACCUCAUCCAAUUAUUAAAAUAAAUUUAUCAAUUUUUUGUUUUGAGAAUUAUUGAAUAUGAAUCCUUUUUACCUAAUAGUUUAAAAGUAAAAUAUGCAUUUCGUUAGUAAUAUAGUUUUUCUUGAAUAUCAUUUAGAUGAAAAAUUCAUGAAUAUCUUCUAGAUAUAAAUUUUAAAAAAUUAUAAUAUACUAAUUAUAAUUUAUUAUAAAAAGUAUACAUAAGACCCUUAAAAAAUGUACAUAAGACAAAUUUUUAUGACUGGUCAGUUAAUAUAAAUUUUUUAACAAACUAUGUCGAGUAGCGUUUAAACCUACAAAUUGCUUAUCACUUUUUUUUGAGGGAAAAUUGCUUAUCACUCUUUAUCUCAAUUUUAAUCAUAUUAGUUUAAAUAGUAGAAAUCAAUUUUUCAUAUCGGUAUCCACUAAUUUAUCCACUUAUACUUUUUAAGAAAAUAGAGUCUAUUCUCUCCAAAAAUAAAAUAAAAUAAAGUAGAGUUUAUAUUAUUUUGUUGAGGUUGGAUUAACAUAAAGAAAAUGUAAGGAAAAGUGGUGUUUCCUGUGUCUGUUUAGAGCUUCUCAUAUAUGCACGUCCAAAAUCCAAAUUAAAUGACACCACAUGAUACUUGAGAGUUGGCACACAUGUAAUGUAAUAGUGUGGGACAUACAUUAAAAAUAGGUUUAAACGCACUCUCCUAUCCUCUAAGUUUGCAAAAGUUGCAAUUUUAGCCCCCAAUUAAAAAAAAUGGUAAAGGUGACCCCCUAUAUCUACCCAUUUUGUAAAACGCAAUUUGGAUUUGGUCAUGCCUGCAUGGCAUGCCACAUGUGUAAUUAGUUAUUUAAAGAAAAAUAAAAAUGUCAUGCAUGUAUAUAUGAAAUUAAAAAUAAAAAUAAAAAAUAAAAAAAGCAAGAGGGAGAACCAAGCACAGGAAUAACAGCAACUACAUUAUCAUUCAUCUCCAUUCAAAUAAUAUGUUCAUGGUAUCAUUCUCAAAAUUUUCAUUACAUUUCUUUUUCAAUAAUUAGGAAAUUCUAUAACAUUUGCCCUUUUUCUUUCUUCAACAGCGAGAAACCAUAAGCAACUUUUUCUUCUUUUUUUGUCAUAUAUUUUCCUUCCCAAUCGCAUCUAUUGCAACAAUUAAUUCAAGUUCUCAUCAACAAGAUGAAAACCACCAACAACAACAUCACGUUUUUUAGAAAACAAAAUUUGUAUUCAAUCCCUAUCAAAUACAUCUCCCAAAAACUUAAUCCAUCUAUCAUUUUCCUCCUCUUACCCGGUUCAAUUGUCCAACUAAACAACAACAACACUGACAUUCUCACUCUUCUCGUUCCUGACUUUUCUCUCUCUCCCUGAUCUAGUUGUGGCGAAACAUGGUGGAAAUGAUGGUUGUUGUAGGAGGUCGUAAGUGAUGGUGGUUGUCAGAUCUGAGAGUAUCACAGGUGGUGGUGGUUGUGACCAAUGGUUGUCAGAACUGAGACUCAUCUCUCUCAAGCAGUAGUGGAUGUAGAGAGAUACGGUGGUGGAGAGGACGGUGAUGAGAGUGGUUUUGGUGGGUGAGAGAUGAAUCUGAGAAGGUUGGUAUGGUGGUGGUGGUGCUGUAAACAUAGAUUAGAGACGAUCUUGUGGUGGUGAUAGGAGAAUAGCGGCGGCGGUGGUGGUGGUGUGAUAAGUGCUUAUUGAUCAUUUAAUAUAUGGUUCUAGCUAUUUAUUCAAUAUUGUUGUUAUUCUUGCAUUUAAUGUUUUAUUGAGAUUCAAAAUGAUAUGGACACAUAUUUUUGAAUCUAGAAAUAGAAUAACAAUCUAUCUUAAGUUAUCACUCUAGACAUGGAUGUUGAUAUUUGAUAAUCACUUUUAAUCUAUAUGAUUUAAUGCUUUUGGGUAAUUUAAUCGGUUGGGAAAUCGUCGAUAAAACUAUCCAAUCGACUUUGUGAUCGUUUAAAUGUUUGGAAAAACGAUGUUUAAACGAUCCCUUAGAAAUAACGAUAUCAUUUGGACACGGAUGAUAUUGUCGAGUGAUUGUGAUAAUAUCGUUUAAAAAGUUAGGAUCCGUUAAUCGAUCGAGAGAUUGCAGCUGUUACGCUUGGUUGAUGUCUCUGACCGCAAGCGAAAUAGCCCUAUCUCUUCUCAUUUUACUUUUAUGUCGAUUAGGAAAAUAGUUUUACGCAAACAAACAAUUUAUACCCAAACACUUAACAUGACAAAUAUUGUGAAAAUGCUUAUGAAAUAUGUAACUCCCUGUGGACUCGAUCAUAUUAUACUUACGUGUAAAUAGUUUUAUGAGAUGUAAAAAUCUUACAUCAUGGUGGUGAACAAGAUCGGAGAUGAAGGUUGAGGUGGUGUGGUGAUGUAAUAUUCUGCAUUUUUUAAAAAGAAAUGGAUGAAAAAGAUGAAGAAUUAGGUGAAGAAGAUGAAUGUUAAUCUCUUCAAUUAAUCCUUUCAUUUUUCAUUUUUUUUAAUUCUAUAAAUACACAUGUGGCCUUUUUCAUUUUUUUUAAUUAAAAAAAUACACAGUUGGCAAUUUUUAAGUUAAGUGGCAUGACACAUAGGUUUGACCAAGUCAAAAUUGGUGUUUUGCAAAAGGGGUUAAACAUGAGGGGGGAACUUUUGCCAUUUUUUUUAACAGGGGCCAAAAUUGCAACUUUUGCAAACUUAGGAGGUAAAAAGUGUGUUUAAGCCUUAAAAAUAUUGUCGUCGAUUGAUAUAAUAUUUGCUUCUCAUCUACAAUGUGUUCAGUUUGAUUGAUCAAAAUCCACCCUAAUUUUCUUGAUUAAUCAGGUGGAUGAGGGUGAUAGAGUUUCAAUUUUGUUAGUAUCAUAAUUUUGUUUUUUUGAUACGUGUAUGUCGUUGUUGUUGGAAACUUUGAAUGUGUGUUUUGGAAUUGAAUAUUGCUUAGCUAUAAGCAUUUCUCUAGACAAACAUUUCACAUCUCACGUGAUAAAAUAUGGAGUUAUUUUGGUUUUAUAAAUUAAAUAUGUUGUCUUCAUUUUGACAGAAUUUCAUUGAUUAAUAUGUAGUGAUUUUGAUAUGGAUUUGGGUGUUGCAUGAAUCUUCAACGCGGCAUUUACAUGAAUAUUGAUUUUUUGGAUAGUAAUUUUUUGUCUCCGAGGUUGCAGACGAGUAGGAGACUGCGAUUAGAAUGCAAUUUAUUUAUGUCUAUAGCAGGUAGGAGCUAAUUGUAUGUCCAUUCCAGAUAAAUGGGAUUUGGUUAAGCUUUUUUUAUGUGAUAAUGACCAAUUUUUUAUUUAUUACCGAUUUGUUUUUGGAUCCUAUAUGAUGAAUGAAACAGUGUAUGUACUAUUUUAUGGUUAUGUUAAUCUCAACAUAGGGUUGCUAGAAAUUAUAUACUAAUCAACUAAAGCUUUUAAGUUGAAUAAUAUCCAUUAUAAAUGGGAGUGGAGUUUUUGUAUAGGGGAUCAUGAAGCAAUCUGUGCAAACUACAGAUUAUAAGCUUAACUCAUUGGUAUUGAACCAAACAGAUUAUGCAAAGAUGAAUGUGUGAGGAUACUUGAUCAGGCAAGAGGUUUCUAGGAUAGAUCAUGUUACAAAGAUAAAUUCUGCAGCAAAUAAACAUGUAAUGGAAGGAGAUUUAUAUGAAAUAUGAACGCGACCCAUUUCCCUCAAUCAUAUAUGUAUUGUUGAAUCUGGAUCAUCAAGGUGCUCUAUCAAAACAAUCAACAAAGGUAGUUUCUCCUUUGGAUUAUUGGGGGAAGAUUGCUUGUUGGUAUAAGAACAUGACCAACACCAACAUUGGUCAUGUUGUAUAUGACAUGAUGCACCCCCAAAAUAUUGUGUUGGUGAAAAUUUUCAAUGACAUUUCGUUUAUCUUAUUAAUAAACAUAACUAAACGUUUUCAAUAUUCUCAUACAUAUACUUGAACUUAACAACAAAAAGAGAUAAACGUGGGAAUAGACAGAGUGCUUUGGUUAUUGAUCGAAUACCAAUAUUACAAUAUUUAAAAAUCUCCAUCUUUGAAAGACAUUGGUAGCAUCACAUGAGCAAUGGGGUCUCUCUUCACCUUCCAUUUCUUGAACUGUUUUGAAGCAGCUUUCAAUGCCCUGCCCCAUCUCUGUAUCAAAUAGCACCCACAACCACAAGUUAUCACCAAUAAUUACUUCAAUUUCAACAUUUUACUAAGCUAAUCAAUUCAAUUAAUCUACAUAAAAAUCUCAACAAUAGUAAAGUGACCAAAAAGUUUUCAAGGCUCUAAAUACUUAUUACAAACUAUCACUGUGUGUUAAAAAAAAAAAAUAAAAUAAAAUAAAAUUUUGAUGAAUACCCAUUUUCAUAAACCAGAACACAAAAUAAAAGAUAUGCUUAAAAAACAUAAACCAAUUGAUAAAUAAAUGUAAUAACAUAAAAAGUAACAAAUAAGUUAAAAAGAAAUACCUUAUUAUUGAUGAUGGGGUUACAAGCACAUUUGAUCCUUGAAGGUGUUGGAGAGAAAUCAGAAGCAAUCUUCUUGUUCUUAAUGAAACCAAAUUUGAGAUUGAAGGAAUUAGAAGUGAACUUCUUCCUAAGCUUAGAACCAACCUUGUUGACACUGCAUCUAGCUCCUAAGGCAAUGUCAUAGGAAAGUUUCUUUGGAGUAAUGAGAUCCAAAUCCAUGGGAGAGUAGGGUCUUGGAACCAAAGGGGACCAGAUUGUGCUUUGAGAGUAGUCAAAAUCAUAAGCAGAGUUAUCUGGGAAUUUGCAGAGAAGCUCUAGUGACAUGAAUGGUUCUAAAUAUUCAACAACUUUUGUAGUGUUCAGUAACAAUGGUUGUUGUUGUUGUUGUUGUUCUGCUUCUUCUACAGAUUUCAUUGCUGAAUCAAAGUGUUACUGUUUGGUUAGUUACUUUCUUUGUUUUCUUCAAAAGCUUUGGUUUGGUUGGAUUUGUUUUGCAUUGUAAUCCAAUAAAGGAGGAGAGAGAAAUAAACGACAAAAAAAGGAGCCGUUGUAUGUCAUGUCACAACUUAUUUUAUAUAAAUAAAAGUAGCAAACAAAUAAAUAAAGGAUAUUAUUACUUCCAUCAACGUUUAAUACCAAUAUUACAUAUAAAAUACCCUCUACGUUCUUUUUUAUAAAAAGUAAUUAGACUAAUUUUUGUCCCAAUUAUAAAAAGGAAACUUCUACGAAUUGAGGUGCACUGAUACACUCAAAUUUUUGGAUGUAACAUAGAAUUUGCUUUAUAAAAAAAUAUAAUAUAUAAAAACAUUUUCAACAAAUCAGAGAACUGUGAGAAACAUGGGUGGAGAAAGAGUCCCAUUUUCAUGGUAUGUAUCCUUGAGAAAGUCCAAUAGCAUGAAUGCUAAAACAAGUUAAUUAAUCCGCUUGUUUUCGGUAGUUGUUUCUUUCAUAGCUACUCGAAAUUAAAACCAUUUGAUUUUUUUUUAUUAUUAAAAAGUUUAUGUGAGUUAGAUCUUGAAUUAACUAGAACUGAUAUAGACUUUAAGGUUCAAAAAAUUGUUGAUAAAAUAUUAGAGAUUAUCCACCAACAAGGUCAUUACAAGAAUUGAAGAUUUACCCUUGUUUUUUGAAGUGCGUAUUCAAAUUGAAUAAAUUAUUUAAAAGCACUAGAGCACGUAAAUUUUCUAAUUUUCACAGACAUGUAUGGCAUAAGUGAUAAACACUUGAGCCCAUUAACCAUUUGUUUUUGGCUUCAGUUCCUAACUCGGAUGCAUGGAAAAACAUACGUCUGCACGCGCGAGAAUAUCUUGGUUUACCAAAAUAUACUACUACUUUUCUGUGUGAAAUGACUAUAUUUGAACCGAUUCCUAAUCACCUAAGAUUGAGCACAUAAAAUGCCGUUAAAAAAAAUUAAGUACAUAUAAAUAUGACCAUAGAUCUAUCUCAUAUAGUUCUUUGAGUGCAUAGCAAGCAAAACGAAAGUGCAUGUCCAAGCAAGAAUAUAUUCCUCACAAAAUAAUUGAUGAACUCUAUUUUAUACGUACUAAUAGUAUCCAAAUUCCAAAGAAAUGCAAUGCACCACUUAACCUUUAUCCUUUUAGAAAAUUGUUAGCUUAUAAUUAACAUAUCACAAAGUGACAGCAACAAAUUAAAGCGACAGCAGAAUCAACUUUAGUUUAUAUAUUCAUGCUUUCUCACUUUACGGCUACCAACUAACUAUUUAUAUUACAGUCCAUUUCUCUUACUCUCCAUCAGCAAAAUCUGUGAGGAUAUUUUCAAAUUUCAACCUCUAAUUUUGUGCAUUAGUGUUAAUCCAAUUCCAAUGGAGUCAAGAGCUUACAUCCUUAGAUUCAACAUUGCACAUCUUUGCCUCUUGAUGCUAGUUUCCACUCUUUUCCCUUUGUGUGGUAAACCAUGCAUAUAAAUUAUAUGAUUAUUUCAUAUACUAAUCUAUCUAUGUAACUUCAGUUUAAUUUGUGUAGUAAUUAAUAAAACAUAUGUAACUUUUGUUAAAUUUGCAGAUGCUAUAAAUCAUGGAAGAGGUAGUAGAAGCUACUCCAUCAAAUCAUGGAAGAAACUCAAAUUUUCAUCAUUUGGCUACUCAGACUUAGAUUCUUCAUAUGGUACUCCUUCUUCUCAACCACUUCCACCUUUCAAUUCACUUGCUCCACAACCUACCUCUCUACCACCUUAUUCACCUGUUCCAAACCCACCUCAUGAUGUUUUUAGACCACCACCAAGUCCUAAAACCAUUGUUACAAUGUCGCCGCCGCCACCUCCAAGCCCAUCAAAACAUGUUCCAAGCCCACCUAAAAGUGUUAUAGGCCCACCUCAAGUAUACUUGCCACCUAUUGUUUAUCCACCACCACCUUCAACUCAUAAGAAGCCACCACAAUAUGCUAUUUGGUGUGUGGCAAAGCCUACAGUUCCUGAUCCUAUAAUUCAAGUGGCUAUGGAUUAUGCCUGUGGGUCUGGGGCUGACUGUAAAUCAGUUCAGCCUAAUGGGAUAUGCUUUCAGCCCAACACAGUGUUGGCACAUGCUUCUUAUGCAUUUAAUAGCUAUUGGCAGAACACUAAGAUUGGUGGGGGGACUUGUGAUUUUGGUGGUACUGCUAUGCUUGUCACUGUUGAUCCAAGUAAGUUUGCACUACGUACCAUAUUUGAUUACCUUUGUUAAAGAGAUUAAUUUUCAUAUAUUUCAUUUUUUUUUGUAAGUAAUUUUUCCAUGUAUUUCAUGUUCUACACUGUUAGCACAUUUACAUGUUGAUCUAAUGAUAAAAAAAAAAAAAAAAUUUUGAAUCGGCAAAAUAUUAUAUGUAUGGACCGUAAAAGUUGAUUAUGAUAAAAUUUAAACAGUUGAUUAGGAUAAAUAAUUUAAUUUUUUGGUACAAAUAAUAAAAUAAAUUUUAAUGAAAUUAUAUGACAAAAUUAACACUUCACAUGUUUCAUAUAUAUCGAGAUUCUUUUUUUGUUACAAUGAGAUCCUUUUAUUUAGCUGUUAGUUAAGUCAUUUCACAUCACAUCACAUACUAUAUAUAUCCACACAACAGGCAUAUGCCACUUGAUUUCUUUUAAAUUGGAAUCUAUCCGGGUAGAGAAAACAUGAAUUCAUGACAUCGGUAGCCGGCGUCUGAUUAAAAAUAAAGGUUUUUUUUAAAUUACCUUUAAAGAAUGGUGGGUAAUUUAUCCACCAACCAAUGAAAAUGAGCAAUUUAUUUGUGGAGUCAAGAUAGUUCAUGAAUAUGUGUUUAUGUGGCUAAUGUGUAUUGGUUGGGGUAAAUUACCCAUCAUUCUUUCAUGGGUAGCCUAGUUGCCACCAAAAAUAAAUGGUUCAAAUAAAUAUAUAUUUUAAUUUAUAAUUUAAAAAAAUAUCAAAUUUAAAUAUGAAUGGUUUAAUCUUGAUCAAACAACUAUUGAUGUGCUAUUGUGUGAUGUGUGCUUGAUCCCCUUUCUUCUUUUGAGGUGCAUUCUUCAUUGUCACACUCGGUGGUAUUAGAUUCGCGCACAGUCACUUAAAGCCCACAUUCACCUAUUCAAAACGUUGUUGACUUAUAUGGAUCAAGAUCUAAAGGAAUUUUAAGCUGGUUUUUAAGAUAAAAAACAAAAAUCAAACCUUAAAACCUGCAUUGUUCGAUCUAGAGUCAACGAUCACCGACAUGGUGAAAGUGAAUUUUUGUAACUACAUGGAAUGCAUAUUUCGUAGUCUUUUCAAUUUAGAACUAUGGAUUAUUGCUUCAGACUAACAUUUCCCUCAAAUCCUCGAUUUAUUUGGCAGGUUAUGACAAGUGCAGCUUCAAGUCGACUUAGCUCAUUGCUUGCUAUAAUACAUAGCAUUUGGAGACUUACCAAAUAUUGAAAACUUCUUGUUCCAAUGUAAUUUUUUAUGCAACGAUAAAUUCCCUUACUUAAUUAGAUACAUUAUUUGGAGUUACCUUGAUCAUAGUAUAUUCCGCCCUUGCUUAAUUUUGUGUAGUUCUAUAUAUUUCUAAAAUGGUAGGUUUAAUAUAUAUAUUCAUGACCAUAAUUUGAUAUUUAGAGAUGUAUGUAGCUCUAUUACGUUUCUGGUUCUUUAGUUUAAAACUUAGAUAAGCACCCAUCUUUUGUGUAUUACUAUCAGCGUUAUAAUCCUUGAAAACUUAGAUAAGCACCCAUCUAAAUGCAUAUAAGGUUAAGACAAUACCGACAUCAAAAUGCAGGUUGAAUACAUUAUCCGACUAAAAUCCAUUUCGCUUUCUUCAUGCAUGUGCUCUACAGUUAUCUUCAAUGAAUAAAACAGUAGUUACCUUCAGCCAGCUUGUAAUAUGUUGUCGCACCUGCGAAGCUAAUUUGCAUUCAAAAAAUAAGUGAGAAACAUUUUCCUGCGAAGCUAAUGAAGUGUACGGAAAAAUAAAUAAAAAAUUUACAUUUUAUUAUAACAAAGCAAACAAUUUACUCUAUUGCUUUUUUCUUUAAAAAAAAAUAAAAAAUUUACUUUAUUGUUUCGUGGUGUUUUUUUUAUUCAUUUACUUACUGAUAAAAAACUCAUAUAGACAAAAGAACUGAGUUAAGUGAGAAAAAAAAUGAGAUUAUAGCUAGUAUUGAUAUUUUUACUAAUGUAUUUCGAAAAAUAUUUCAUUCUGUUGGUGUAUAAAAAUUUACAUUAGAAGCAGGGAGGGAACCAUAUUUAACGGUAUAAGAUAGGAAAGAAAAAACAAAUUACUUUACCCAAAAAAAAAAAAAAACAAAUUUUUAUUUGCAAAUAUAAUGCACACAUGAAAUUUAAGAAAUUAUAUGUUACUUCCCUCAUUUCCUUUUUUUAAGUGUUUUUUUAGAAAAUUAACACAAAAAUCACGAAGUGUAUUUUUUGCACAUUUUCUUCCUAGUAUACCCUCAUUUUAAUCCACUAAUAAAUUUCAAUUGUUUUGCAAACACUUUAUCUUUCCAAUAAAUUUAAUAUGUUAUAUUUCUCUCAUUGUGAGUUACUAUUAUCUUUUUCUCCAACAAAUUCCUAUUUUUUUACAUGCACUCUCUCAUAACAAACAAUUGUCAAUUUUCUAAAUAUUGUGUACAUCUUUUCAAUUAUUUUAAGUCAAUAUAAAAAUUAAAUUGAUGAAACUUCUUCUUCUUCAUUGUCAUCUUGUUCUUGUUCUUGUAUCUUGUCGAAUGAGUUUUCAACUAUUGCUCCCUCUUCACAUCUCAUCAUCAAUUUCAACGAGUCUUCCACUUUUUCAUCCUUUUGAGCAUACUACAUGGAGUCUUUUAUUUUUCUUCUCUCAAAUCUUUUAUUUUACUUUGCCCUUGAAAUUUUUAACAAUUGAUACUCAUCUUAGUUAUCGAAUUUUAACUCUUCUUGGAACCAUUGUUUGUAACAAAAUUUUGUUUAAAUUUGAAGAUAACAAGAAACAAACUUUGUUUAAAAAAAAACUGUGUUCCAAAUAGAUAGCAUUAAUUAGUUUUAUUGAAAAAGCUAAAAGUAAUUGGCAAAGGGUAUAAUUGACAAAUCGUAAUUUAAAAUACCAAAAAGACAGUAAAAUAGGAACGGAAAAUUCACCAUAAAAAGACACUUAAAAAUGAACGGAGGAAGUAUAUCCAAAGUUAAUAUGUAUCGAAAAUUGUGUUCAUGUGUAAUUUAUUUGUUGUUUUUUGUUGCCGUUGUUUCUUUAGUGGCACUUUGACUCUGUAAAUACUUGUCGGUGGUUCUCCUUUUGCAUACCUUAUACAGGUUGAACCACUCUGAUUUUAUUAAUAUCUCAUUUUGAUUUGUUAAAAAAAAAUGUAUCUAAAAUUAUAAGAAAUUUCAAAGAUGUUAGAAAAAUGAGUUCCUUGAGGCUUCUUUGAGUGUGACCAAAGAAGAUUUUUUUAAUAGUAGAGAUAGGAAAUAAGAAACAACAAGAAUGUAAAUGUAGGAGAAGAAAUUCAAGAUAAUAUCACAAACAUUAGUAGUGACUGAAAGGGCGCAAACAACACCGCGUGCAAUAUUUCUUACAGUUUGAGUGAAAUUGCAACAAAUAAUCACAAAUUAAUAUUCUAGUUAAGGUUCUUCUAAUUGCAUAAAAAAAAACUCACUUUAUUUCUCAAUUUCUCAAUGUUAUGCAUUCUAGUUAAGGAUUUGUGUUAUUAAAAUUUGAAAGUUAUACAAUGCUAAAUAUACUGAGUAAAAAAAAGUUCAUUAUACAAAAUCAUAUUAAGUUCACAGAAAAUAGUAUAGUGACAAAAAAAUAAAAAUAAUAAUAACAUACUAAUAUGAAGGGAACCAUGGCCUAUGUUAGUCUCCGUUCUAGUUUCAUCCCUGAUUGCAAAGUAUAUCAUAAUGCAAUCUUGUGUAGCUACGAUAAGAAUUAAAUAUUUUCAAUUAUCUACUAAUAGUAAUGAUUAAUUGACAAUGCAAGUACUCUUUACACCUGCAUUGCAUAUGAAUUAGAAGUCACUUUGUUGGCAUAUCACUCCUCAAUCUUGUGAUCCUCCGUUCAAAACUAGCGGUAUGGUAACAAAACCCAUAUAUGUGGGUAUCCGUUUGAACCAAACUUAAAUUGACGGGUUUUUUUUAUUUUAAUUGGGUUUGGGUUUGUCUCGAUUUCAAAAGAUAGAUACGGGACGGGUAACAGGAAUAUAGGUACUCAUCUCAAACCCAUCCUGAAUGUAGAAAAUUAAUUUAUUACCCAUUUUAUAUAAAUAAAAACUCAAACCCUAAAUCAUUUCACUCAUACAAUCAGAGUCUCGGUCUUUCAGAUGACACAAUUAUCAUAGUUCUUUCUUUUCUCCUUCAAUAUUCCACACUCUCAGCCUCUCUCUUCUUCAUCACCAUAGUCAUCGAUCGUCGUCAUCUUUUUACUGAAUAAUGCAUUAGUCAUUACAACUUUGCGCUCGGGGAUAAAAAAUACUUUUAUUUUUAAUAAAAAAAAAUUAUCCACUUCGGGGAUGGGAAUGAGGCGGGGAUGCCCAAACCCGUCGGGGACAUGGAUGAGAUUCGAUUUCUCAUCUCCGCUGAAUAUGGGUAUGGUAACGGGUAAGUAUUUGAAAAUAUGGUAUGAGGACGGGGAAGGUAAAACUCAUCCUCACCCUACCCCAUUGUGAUGCCUAUUCAUGAAGCACAUAUAUUUAGGUAAAUAUUAGAAUAGAAUAACAUUGGAAUGAAAUAAUGACAAAAUUAUCUCUUCACAUGUUUCAUAUUGAGACUCUUUUAUUUACAAUGAGUUCCUUAUUUCGUCGUUAUAGUUUAAGUGAUUUCACAUCACAUACUAUACCCUAACAACAAAGACAUAUUAUGCCACUUGGUUUCGGUACACAUUUCAUUGUCACGCAUCGUCGUCUUAUGGUUGUUGUGCCUUCAAUUUAGUUAAAACUAUGGGCUAUUGCUACAGACUGACAUUUUCCUCAAAAUCAAAACCACCGUUUAUUUGGCAGGUUAUGCAACUUCAUGUUGACUUCCUUCUAUUGAAAACCUCUCUUUCCAACGUAAUUUUUACGUAGCAAUACAUCCCCUUUGCUUAAUUAGUGACAAUAUUUGAAGUUACCCUACCUUGAUCAUCAUCAUCCCUUGCUUAAUUGGUGACGAUAUUGGAAGUAACCUUCAUCAUCUUCUUUGUGGUUUUUCUAGGAAUUCUUUAGGUGUCUUCGAGUUUGGAAGCAUACAAUCAUUUUUGUAAUAAUUAAAAAUUAAAAUUGUUACAAACUUCUAAAACACGGAAGGGUGAUUGAGUUGUCCUCGUGGAGUCAUGUGUCCAAUUGGUUAUAUAUACAAUCAUAUUAUAAUAGUCGUAUAUACGUAAACAUUUUUUAAAAAAAUAUGUACCACACUUUAAAAAUUCACAUAUGCAUUAAUUAAUUUACUUUUAACCUUAUCUUCUAAUAUAUUAUUAUAAAUUAAUUAAUAGUUAUUUUAAGAAAAACCAAUAAACAAUAUAACGCAAACUUGAAACAAAGAGUGAAUCAAGGAGAAUCUACAAAAUAAGUAGAGUAAUGUAUAAUUAAUACAGAAAAAAAAUUAACAAAUAAAAUUUAUCUCACCUUACCAAUGGAGAUUUUAUCUAUUGGAAAUGGUUGAUAUACUUACAAUUAGUUUUCGACACACAUCGAAUAUGAUUAUCUCCAAUUUAUGUGGCGGAAAAACUUAUCACACACGUUAGAAAAAGAAAAAAGUGUUUAUUUUUCUAGUUCCAUGAGUUUCUACAAGGUUUUUUUUACUUCACUAGCUAGUGAUGACUCGCAUGUGAGAUUUGCGAGUGCAACUUAACAUAUGUGAUUUUGAGACCACGAGAGAAGCAUAUAAUUUUUUUUUUUAAAGUACUAUAAAAUAAUAAUAAAAUUUGAACAUAUAUAUGAAAUGUGGUUGUAUCUUUCAGCAUGGAUUAGAACUUUGUUUGUCAUGUUUAUGAGAGUUUAAUCUCUUGCGCUAAAUUCAACCUUAUUGGUGAAUCUAGAUUUUUUUUUUUAUGUAUAUAUGUAUAUAUAUAUAUAUAUGAUGUUUCUAACCUAAUUAAGAGUUAUAUGUUGUAAUAAUAUUAUAUAAUUGUCUUUUUACUCCUUUUCGAUCUUGAGUUAUUUUGGGACGGGAAAAUAUCUUUAUUUUGGUUUUCAUAUAACUAUUCCCCCUUUUUUGUGAAUCCAAAGCAUUGCUUGAAAACUUUUAUUAUCAGCAUUGCUCGAAAGUUGAAACUAUUCCCGCUGGAUUCAAAGUUUUCAACUUCACUAAUUUCUUUGAAAAGAAAAUACUAUAAAACUUCACUGACAUGUUACGUUACAUUUGGAAGCCAGUCAUGUACCGUAAUAAUUGAAGAAAAAAUAUUAUCAGCCGACACUAAAUGCAUAAAAGGUUAAGACAUUACCGAUCCAUGUUUUGUCGUUGAACAAUUAGUCAAAUGUUAAUUGGUUUCAUUCAGAAUUAAGUGUAAAAAAUUUGAUGAUGAUAAUGAAAGAGACUUGAGUGUAUUACCCGACUAAAAUCCAUUUCGCUUUCUUCAUGUGCUCUAGAUCUACAAUUACCUGCUACACAUUCCAAUGGAUAAAUUCUGGUAAUUAUAAAUGUGAUUACUUAAAAUAUAUAUGGUGGCUUCUUAAACUAAAUUAUAUAAAUUGUUAUCGUUAAAAAGCGACUUUUAGAGUUUAUAGCAACAAUCGUAUCUAUUUGUUCACGGGUUUUUGGAUUAAGUUAGAUUUAGGCUAUUGGUCAUUUCAGUCCACUUAUAAAAAUGGAAGGAUGGAUAUUAUUUUAUUAAUUUACACCAUUCGGAGAAUUUCCUUAUUUUGUAUCAAGUCAAAUAAAAAUUAUAGCCUCAACUCUGGCAAAUUAUUUGCAACAUGUUACCCAAUAGUCUACAUUAUAUAUCUAUUAAAAAUCUUAAUAUCUUGUACAAACAUUGUGUAUAAAUCUUUAUUCGAUCAGUUAUAACAAAUUACAUAGACAUAUAGUGUGUUCGAUCGAGAAAAAUAAAUAAAAGAUUGGACAUGAUAACUACAUUUAUACUAUGUGAUUGUAAAACUACAUCAGGAACUAGAUAAACUUAGAGGGUAAAGGACACGAUAAAAAUUGAAAUUAUUAUCAUUUACUAAAUCAGAAUACAACUUUUUGCCUCAAAUACAAGUGAAUAAAAUACCCAAAUAGACUUUUAUCCACCAAGGAUCGUCGUCUAAGAUAAAAAAAAUUGUUCAAUAUAAUUAAAGUUAGUAAUGUGUCUUAUGUCUUAUUCCGUGUUCUUAUGUCCAAUACUUACAUUUUUAGAUAAUCAAACGUAUUCAUCCUGUUGAAGUACAUGGAGUCGAUACAAGUUAAGAACACAGUGGCUUGGGUUAGGUGAUAGAUGUACAAUCGUAUAGCUUAUAGGUCAAUUCUAACAUGUUUCUGAAAGUCAUUUUGUAUGGAGGUGUGUUAUUUGAACAAUCAUUUGAAUGAUAACUUUUGUGACAACCACUAAUUUACAAAGGAAAGUAGAUAGUGACACGGAAACCAAAGUAAUAGAGAGAUAAAGUAAAAAAAUAAUGUGAGUAUGAAAAAUAAAAUUGUCACAAAAUGGUUGUCAAAAUAUCAUUUCUCUUUUGUAUAACAUGCACAAAUAUUUAAAAGAUAAAUGAUAUUUGUAUAACCAUUUUUUUGACAACUUUUAGACAAUUUUCUCUCUCAUAUUCACGUUAUAUUCUUAACCUUUCUUUUCCUUUUUCUCUCUCCUUUGUUUUUAACCAAUAAAAAGAGAGGAAAAAAAAGUUGUCAAGAAAGUUGUUAGCAAAUAGUUGUUCAAAUAUCAUUGCUCGAGUUAAAAUCGUGCUCACUAAACACAAAUGAUUUUUGACGAAGUUUUGUGUAGGCACAAGCAUUUCGGCGCACAUACAUAAAUCAAAAAAAUUAAAAGAUAAAUAAAACAGUCACAUCAAUCAAUAUCAUUUUAAUCAUUUAGUUUUUAAUUUUUUUUUAACUUCAUGGAUGCGUACCUAAAUGUGAGGUGUUGGUCAUAUGACCAAAUAAGAGAUUUUCAUGAUUUUUUUACCAUAAGAUCAAAAAGUUAUAUCAUAUCUCAUUUUAUUACAUUUUUUCUUUAAUGGUGGGGUUUAUUGGUUUCUAAAAAUAUAUCAAUUACCACCCUUUGUUUUCAAAUUCUUUAACCCCGUCACUAAAAACAUAAAAGUAUUUGGAGUAGGUUUAUUUUGUGAAAACAUUUUAAGUUUUCUAGAAUUUAUAUUUUUAAGCAAAAGUGAAUUGCAAAAAUUUAAGCGAGAUUUUUUAUCACAAGUUUACAAUUAUGGUGAAAUCGAAGAACUUAACUACUUAGGUUGUAAACUAAGAACAUUUUAUUAACAAAGAACCAAAAACAGGCAUGAUGGAGUGCAUAGACCAAAAUCUAAAGAAAAAACAUCAAACAGAAAUAAAGGGAAACUAUGUCGAUUAUUAUAACAACAAUCCUCUAAAAUAAAUCUAGGUGGAAGAGUCCACCAAAUAUAACGUUUAGAUUAAAAACCAAAUCCCGCUAUAAAUAUGAGAGAUUACAAUUAAUUGCAUUUGAGAACACAAUGACAAAGCAUUGCGUUGUCUUUUUUUUUUUUUUUUUUUGUCAUUUAGCUUAAUGGCUAUAGAAAUUCACCUUAAAGAUGAAUAAUUGAAGUGUCAUGCAUCGUCUGUUUUUUAAUCUCCACGUGAUAGACCGAGAAUUCUAAAAAGACUUCACCGAUAAUGACGGUGGAGAUUAAAAAACGUUCAUAAUUGCGGCCAACAAAACAAUUUGUGACUAAUAAUUCUAACCUUUUUAAAGAAAAACACGAAGUAGACAAGAAAAAGGAUGUAUCAAUAUGACAAUCAAUGGAAGUCCAAAGUCAACUCUAAAUGUUAACAUCAAAUUGAUUAACGUUGUAACUUGUAACACCUCGUUUUUUCAACUUAAAAAUUUCACAUAUAAAUUAAAGUAUUUCAACAUAAACAGAAUGUCACACUUCUUUUCAUAAAAUCAUAAACAGAAUAAAAUAACUAUUUAUCCUUCAAAUUCAACAGCAUAUCAUUUAUUACAUCGCAACGGAAUGUAUUCAACAUUUAAACAUCUUUUGCACCAAGGCCUCAACAUAAAAUCUCUUAAAGUUAUUCCAACAACAUGUUCAUGAAAGUUCAUAAAAUAAUACGUAAGGAAUAGAAAGCAACAACAAAAUUCUCAUCCCGUUACGUAUCAGGGCACCUAAGACACACGUGAGAGAUAGUCCACUCACGACAACAACUAACAGCAACUAUUCUCGAUCACCUGCAGGUUACCCAUAUGAAGGGUAACAAUUCCAAGCAGAAGGGGUGAGAUUUCAUAUUCAAAUAAUAAUAAGCAUAUAAUUCAUUAAAUGCAUUUAACAACUUAAACUUCAUCAAUUAAUAACAUUAACUCUUCUUAUAAUACUUCGUUAAUAACUCAAUCAAUUUCUAAUCAUCAUUAACUUCAUAUUCAUCACAUUAUAUACAACAUCAUAUAGCACAUAAUAAUCAGAUCAUAAACAUCAUCAUAUAACGACAUAAUCAUCACAUCAUAAACAUCAUCUUAUAACAAGAUAAACGAUACAUCAUAAACAUCAUCUUAUAACAGCAUAAACAACACAUCAUAAACAUCAUCUCAUAACGACAUAAACAACAACGAUUAAUAAAUAUUAAUACUUCACUUAGUUCUUUAUUAACAACUCAUUGACAAAUGACAACUUAACGACAACGACAAUGCGACUUCUACAUCUUAAACUCAACAUAUGCAACUUCAACUUCUUAAUCAUGCAUGUGGUACCAACCAGAGCAUCAAGCCCUCAACAUAAAGAGCAUAAAUACACUCACAGGGCAUCAAGCCCUCAACAUAAGAGCAAAAGCUCACAGAGCAUCAAGCCCUCAACUUCAAAUGAUUAUGCAUGGACUCAAAAACGUACAACUUAGACAAAUUCACAACUUAUAUGAUCCAAUAUCUUGGAAUAACAACUUACAACUUUACAACUUAGACCAACACUUGCAACUUAAUGACAAUAAUGGUUCAACAACAACAGAAACAGCAACAUAAACAUCUUGCAACAUAGCAACAUCAAUAAUAACAAUUUGAAUGAUAUAAACAAUAAUAAUUUCUAUAUCAUACAUUUUCAACACCUUAUAUAAAUAUCUUAAAUUAACCAACAAUCAUUAAUCAUUUGAUUCAGGCUCUCUUUAACUCUAUAACUUAAUAACAACUUCCAUUCUUAUCCAAAGAUCAACUCAAAACAUAGGUUAAAUACUCUUAAACAUCUUAAUUGAACUCAUAGUACUUCUAGUUUUGAGGUUUUGAAUUAUCCCAUAAGUUUUGGAUUAACUUAGAAAUGGUUAUGCUGAAUUUUCAUAAGAUUUCACUAAGACCUCUCUGGAGUAUUUUUUAUCAUAUCUCAAAAACCAAAAAUCAUUUUCAAAUCAAACCAAAGCCAUUGAAAAGCUAAUAAAAUUAUCUAAAACUUUCAUGUUUACAACUAGACACAGUUCAAAGCGGAAAGGGGUGAAAAAUAGUAAAAUAAGAAGGAUCUGAUUCACAAAAAUCGUGCCACGUUUUUAUGCCCAGAACCAUUGAACUUUCGGCCAACAAAAUUGUGCCACGCUUGCAAAAUCGUGACACGUUUUGACAGCAUCAGGUCCAGAAAUCUGCUUUUCAAAAAGUGCAAUUUUCACCAUUUCGCGCGUAAAAUUCAAACCGUUAAUCGGAUUUUGAUGCCGUUUUCGCCUACACGCUCCUGAAACUUGGCUCUAUCAUAAUCUACAGCUAUUUCAAGUCUCAACCAUCCCAAGAAUCAUUUUCCAAAACCUCACAUAAUCCCUUAUUUGCAAAAACGUUUAGACACCGACUUUUCAAGCGAAAAUCUCAAUUUUCAUCAACUCAACCCCAAAACUGGUUCUAAUCAUUGUACUGUGAAUAAUCUAAGGUCUGAACAUCGUUUCUUCAUUAAUUCAACAGGUUUCUAUCAUCUAAUCAACCAAUUACAACUUUUAACCCUAAUUUCCCAAAUUCCCAAAACUACAACCUACAACAUGUUAAAUCCAAUUUUCAGAAUUAUACAACUUAUAAUUAAAGAAUGUUAUCAUUCUAGGUUCUUCUCUUCUAUUGUUUUCUCCCUUUUUCUCCAAAAACUUGUUUUACGCGAUCCUUAUUUUCUAAUUCUAACUCUCCCCUUUUAUAUAAAUCCUUAACCUACUUAUUUUCUCUUAUUUCCAAAUCUACCCCCAAAGUCUCAAUAUUCUAUUCUAAUAUAUAUGUAUAAUAAAAUACUUCUAUAACAAAUAACAAAUAUAUCUCUAUAACAAAUAUAUUUAUGUACCAGAUAACAUAUAUAUUUCUUCACCAAAUUAGAUAUAUAUUUCUACACCAAAUAACAUAUAUAUUAUACUAAUAAAUACCAACAUAUAACAUAACAAAAUAUCACUCAUCAAAAUAAAUCGACUAAAUUAUAAAAAGACAUCUAAAUUCAAUAAAAUAAAUAAAUAUUAAAAUAGGGCGUUACAAACGUGCUUUCUAUCAUCGAUGAACCAGAGCAAAAUUACCAUUAGAUUCAAUCAAUGGUCAUGAUUUAUACAAAAUAAAAAUAAGAACAUUUAAGAAUUGCCUCGCACAAUCUUGCCCCUAUUAAACUUUUUUAUUUUUGGUAUUCAUCAUCUUCAACCUCCAUUCCAAUUUUUUCGUAAUAAAAAAAAAAAAAAAAACUCCAUUUCAAUUUAGGAGCAAUGCUACAAAAGAGAAUUUGCACAAAAAAUUGAGUGUGUCUUCAAAAGUUUACGGGGUUUGCUAAAAAUCUAGUUUAUGGGUUCAAUUGGAGGUGGUGACUAAUGAAAUUGGAGGUUUAACUCAUCCUUAAAAACCAGUUCAUAAGGUGAGUCACGCCCAGCACUCUUUGGGCUUACGUGAAUCGGUAGGUAUUUGGGCUUACGUGAAUCGAUAGGUAACUCUUGAAUUCGACAGGUUCUGAUACCAUAAUGAAAUUGGAGGCCUAACUCAUCCUUAAAAACUAAUUCAUAAGGUGAGAAUUGUCUCCUCUAUAUUAACUCUUAUCAAGAGUCUUAUCUUUUCGAUGUGGAACAUGAGUUUUUUUCAAUAAUGACCUUUAAAGUUUAAACACGCGGCAUCUUUGAAUUCUACAUAGAAAAAAAAAAUAGAAUUAUAGCGUGUUAUGUUUGUUUCUCUAGAGCAUGAGACAUUUCAUUGUUCAGUUUAUGUUGUCAUGGAAAGGCAUAUGAGUGAUGGGUGUACAUCAUCGAUCGGUGGUUUGAUUCUCGUGAAUAGAACAAAAAAAAUCUGAGCUCAAUGGUACAAAUCCUUACGAUGAAAGGUGAGAUAUAGUAGGAUUGUGUGUGGAUAGUUGUAAAUGUUAUCUUUUUUAAUUCUAGUAGAUCAAAAUUGUUAAUCUCAUUUCAUGGUAAAAAUUAAAUAGUCCAUUUGUGAGGGACUCAAUAGCUCCUUCACCUUAGACGUCACCCUUAAUUAAUAAGAAACUAACGGCGAGGGACUCAACUCCCUCACCUUAGACGUCACCAUUGAUUAAUAAGAAACUAACGAUUGAAGUAAAUAAACGAGAAAGAAACUCAAACUUCUUUCUAAACUUUCUUUCUCUUUCGUUCAUCAAGGAGGGGUGGUUUUUGACCUAGAAUCACCCCUCUACAUCUUUUUUCCCAUUUUCUUUCAAUCUAAAUAAGUGGUUUUCACAUACAAGUGUUUCCUUUUGUGUUUUUUGUGAUUUUGUCGUCUAAGUACAACGCUGUGUUGGUCGUCGUCUUGUGCGGCGUUUGAUUUCACGUCUUGUCGCGGCGUUCGUUUAGUUUCUAUUGAAAGAUUGACAUCGGUCAAUUAUAAAUCCAAUCAAUGAUUUGGGUGUGAAUGUUGCCGAUCUAGAAACAUGAGUAUUUCGGUGACUUAGAUUUAAUCAUAUUAGUUGUAGCAUUUUGUCAUUUUAUGUUAUUAACUUGGGUGCUGUGAGUUUGUUCGCAGUUUUACCCUUUACGUUUCUAGCGAUUUUUGUAUCUGAUGUACUCUAUCAAUCUGAAUGAAUGAAUAUCGUUUUGUUUUUAUUAAAAAAAAAAAAUAAAAAAAAAACUAACGGUUAAAAGUUUGCUCUACAUGCCUACAAUGAUAAUAAAUAGAGAUAAUUUACUACAACUUUUAAAACAAUGAUGCUCAUUUAUAGGAACUUUACCAUAAAUAAGUCUCCAAAGAAAAAAUGAUUUGGAUUGAGGAAUUGAAGGUUUCCAAAUAAGCUAUGUCCAUGAUUGAUCAUAUGCAGAAACUUGACAAAAACUAUCAGCAUCCUAAACUGAAAGAGAACCUGAUGAAGAACCCUUCUAAGCAAGAUAUUCAGUGGAAAACUAUACCCCGAUAUUUAUCAAAUUUCAUAUUUCACCAAUUCAACUCUCUCUAUCAAUAGUAUAUAUAUAAAGUAAGAUUUUUUAUGACACGUGUCACUUCCACGUUUAUUCGCAAUAUUUUUAUUUUUUUUCUAAUUUUUCAAAACCAAUAUUUAAUUUGGCAUAAAUAUCUCAACAAACUUUUGAUCUUAUCUAUUAAAUAUUUUACUUAACUAUUUAUUGAAUUCCUAAUAUUUUAUGUAAUAGAAAUAUCUCAACAAAAUUACAUACGAUACCCUUCAAUUAAAAAUCAUCAAUCAAUCAAUAGUAUAUAUAGUAAGGUUUCUUAUGCCACGUGUCACUUUCAUGUUUAUUCGCAAUAUUUUUAUUAUUUUUAUAUUUUUUAAAAUCAAUAUUUAAUUUUGUAAAAAAAAAAUCAAUAUUUAAUUUGGCAUAAAUAUUUCAACAAAAUUUUAACCUUAGGGAUGGCAAUGGGUACCCUAUCCCAAUGGAUAGGGUACUAUAGUACCCUAUCCAUUGGGUACUCAUUGCCAUAAAUGUAUUGGUCUAUUCUCCACUAUCAUAAAUAUAAAGUGAAAUAUAUUGAAUUGGAAAUGAUGAAAGUAGUAUUAAUUAGAGUUAUAAUUGAAAAAAAAAGUAAUUAAUAAUUGUAUUGAAAAGUUAAAUGCAUCAAGAUUUUUGAGACAAUAUUUUUUACAAAUAACUUAGUUAUUAUGGGACGGAGGGAGUAACACUUUAACAUGACAAUGAAAAGUAAAUUUAAGAAUUAAAAUGCAAGAAAUGAAGAGAAUGUUUCUCUAACACAAAACUAUUUUUUUUUUCUCUUUCACUUAUACACUUUUUUAAUGUGUAAAAUAAAAAAUAAAAAAAACUUAUGUAUAAUGAGACGGAGGGAGUAGUUAGUAAGAACAAAGUCGUCAAGGAACCAAUUAACUCUUGAUUUCACUUCCCAAAAACGUCUUGAUAGUGCUAUACUCCCUCCGUCCCAAAUUAUAAGCAAAAAAACAAAAAUCACACUUAUUAAGAAAACUAAAACAUAAAAAUUUGGAGUAUAGUUUUUUGUGUUUUCGUUGGAAAAAGUUUUAUAGGAAGAUGUAAAAACAAUUUUCAUUGGCUAUUGAUUAUGGAAAAAAUGAAAGAAAGAGAAAAUUGAAUGUAAUUUGCAUUUAAUUUUAUGAGAAUAACAAAAAAAAAUCUUGGAAAAGAUUAAAAUUUGUCUUUUUUCCUUAUAUUUUGGGACAAAGAAAAUGAAUUUCUUUUGCUUAUAUUAUGGAACGGAGGGAGUACUUGGUUAAGCUGGAUUGAGCAUUCAAUUCUAAUUUAAGGGCCUUUAAUUUACCUUAAAGAAUAAACAUAGGACAACCAACCACAUAAUUAUUUAUACCAAACAUUUUCCACCACGUGGGUGAUAUCUGGAAGAUGAGAGUCCAUUUAAGUGAGUCAAUGUGACGAAAAAAAAGAUAAAAUGGCAAUUUUAGGAUCGUAAAUUUCUGAAAAUAAUGGAAGUAGUAAUUCUUUUAACGUUUUCAUUGUUUUAAAAAAAUUAUCCAAUCAUAUUUUAUAUGCAAUUUUUGUUUUUUAGAUUAAUUAAACAAUAAAUUUUGUUAACCAGUGUCCUAAGGGUGAUGAUUAAGGAAUUCAAAUGUAAAAGUUUUGUCUUGUAAUUGUAGGAUGUUACAUUUGAUCAAGUAAUGAUUAUACUACUUUUUAUUAAAAACUUACUUGAUUUAGUUGUUUAACCAGUGUGAACACUAGUUAACAUUCUCCUUAAAUAAUUGAUGUUUCUGAAAUAUAAUAUAUAUAUAUAUAUAUAUAUAGCUCAGAUACAUCACUUAUUUAAUGAAGAGUUUUUUUUUUUUCCUUCUCUUAAUUAACGAAUAAAACUAACACUUAUAUAUCUACCAAAAAAAAAAAAAAACUAACACUUAUAUAAUAUAGUUCGGAUACAAUAUAUUUAUAUAAUAUAAUCCGGAUACAUCACUUAUAUAAUCAACAUUGCUAUUUACCGCGACAAGUUUUGUCCCGAAUGCAUCAAGAAUGAAAAUAAGCCAAUUAAAAACAGCUGUUAGUGGAAAUCAUGGGAGGUGGGGGAGAAAAAGAUGGAAAUCAUAAACUAAUGGAUGGAUGGCAUACAUGCCACAUGUGUCUGGAAAAUCUCGGGACAGUUUUAUUUCGUGUGAAAUAGCAUUUUUCCUUAUAUAAUAUAGUCCAGGUACAAGGCAACUAUCACCGGAUGAGGUUUUAUCUUUUUAUUAAUGAAUAAAACUUUUUUUAAGAAGCUAAAUGCAAAAUAUAUUAAAAACCAAAUUAGUUAAGCACAAGAUGUGCCAAACGAAAAACUGUGUAUAACGUCAAAGUAACAAACUCGAUAAAGAAAGAAACCACAAAUAAUAAAAAUCAAAAGCGAAAUUCAGUUUAUGUGUCUUUAGCCACCACAAAAAAUGAAAUUUAAUAUUGUCGAGAAGUUGAUCCUUAGAAGACACGUUGUUAUUGAAAUUUCUCGAGUUUCUCUCCUUCCAAAUUCUCUCCUUCGAAAUAACUCAAAGACAUGUCAGCACACCACUUUAAAACAAGAGCUAAUGUCCUUCCUGAAAGCAUGCGCGCCAAAAAAUUGUUGUGCGUGACAACCAAUAUUUGAUGGAACGACGGUAGUUUUACCCUACCAGAUCAACAAACACCCUACCAGAUCAACAAACAGGGAAAAUAAAUAAAAAAUAUUUUUGCAAAGUAAUUAAACGGAUUCUAAUGUUUAAUAGGAACCGAUCGAGGACAACAUAGAAAUCAUGCUGGAAUUUGAAGAAGAAAUACAAACCUAAUUAAAGAGAGGGGCUAAGUAUUUCCAAGCUGGAACUUGAAAAAGAAAAACCAUGCUCUAAUUAAGUAACUAAGUAAGGUAGUACAUUACAACAAUUGAGAUAAGUACGACACAUUAUGAUGAUUAUGACUUAUGAGCUGUUAAAUGAUGUUGUAGGAUUACUUUUUUCUUGUCAAAAAUAAAUAAAUGAUGUUGUAGGAGAAACAUUAUUAUAAACAUUAUUAUAACUUACAAGGACUAAUGUUUAAAAAAAAAAACUUACAAGGACUAAUAAUGAGACAGAACGAAAGUGUACGUGAGUGUAGGAGACACGUUAUUAUAACAUUUUAUAAAUAUUUAAACGUUGAUAAUAAUUUUGUCGAUCUAUAAACCACUACCAAUUCCUAGUUAAAUAUAUAAUAAUUUUUAUUAUAUUUGUUAGUUGAUGGUAAAAGAUGAAUAUAAUUUGUUACUAUAUUUUUUUUUGACAAAAUAAUUUGUUGCUAUUUAAAAUUCAUAAAUAUAGUCUAUACAUAUAAUUUUAAUAAAAAUAAAAAUUCACCCAAAAAAAAAUCAAAAAUUUCAUAAAAAAAUAAAUAUUGUUUAUAAUUCACGAGCGUUGUCGCAGUACAAAAAUGGAUAGAUGGAUACCCAGUACUAGUAAUUAAUGAAGUUAAUUGGUAAAAUUUCACUCUUACUGGUGGUUGAUGGUAGGGGUGUUUACGGUGCGGUUUGGUUCGGUUUUGAGAGAAAAAGUCAUCCAAACCGCAAGAUAAAAAAACAUGCGGUUUGUGUAACACCCACAGCUGACGAGGGCAGGGGAGUGGUCACCGGUGCACAAGGCACGCCAAUGAGCGGCUCCCGACAGCUUCUAGAGGAACCGAAUCACAUCUGAAUGAGAGGGAUCCUGAGGCCGUGUAGGUGUGGGACUACAUGAAUGAAGGAAUGCUUAUAAGAAUUGUUUGGUAAUACCUAUAUCAACAAGGUGCAUCUUCUUUUUGGUACCCUAUUCCAUAAGAACUCCACAGUUAAGCGUGCUUGACUUGGAGUAGUCUUUGGAUGGGUGACCUACCGGGAUUCCCGAUAAGCAUGCGAGUGAGGACAAAACACGCUGAAAAGACUCGUGUUGGUUUGUAGGGUCAGUCGACAAUGCUUAAAGUCGUCUGGGAUGUUACAGUUUGGUUUGGUUCGGUUGGCUUUAAAAUAAAAUCCGAACCAAACCAAACCAAUAUGGUUUGGGUUGUAUCGGUUGGUGCGGUUUUUUUCGUGACGAUACGAUUUUUUGUUUCCAACAUUAAAAUCAAGAUAAAAAGCUGAAACACAAUAUAUUUUCAACAAUGUUUUAAAUUUCAUCAAACAUUACAAUUUCAUUUUCAUUACAAUGUUUCCAACAACAUAAACCAAAUUAAAAACGCGGACAAAAAGUAAUCUUAUUUUGUAAGAAAUGCAAAAGACUGAGAUGUUCUCAUUCUCUAAAAGUUAAGUAGCACAUAAAUACAUUUUUAAAUAAAAAGCAAAUAAUGAACUUAACAAGAGAAAAAAAAUAUGACAUUUUAUAAAAGUUUUCAUUGAGUUUCUAUGAGUAUUGGUCUUGAUGACAUAUGUUUAAUUAACAUUUUUCUUAUGUUAUGGUUUGGUUUGGUUUUGUAUCUAUUUGACAGUCUCUUUGUACUUUGAGCGACCUCUUUAGUACGCCUUAUGCUAAAGAGGUGUCUCUCUUAUUGUGAAUAUAUAUCAUUUUACCUUCUUAAAAAAAAGUUAAUUGGUAAAAAAAAAAAAAAUUUCUCUCUUGAUUUAUAUGAAAUGACAUUUUUUUUUGGAACAUGGAGGGUAUUGAUUUUUACACCUUUUCAAAAGCCACUCAAGGAUGAAUAUAGAUUUUUCAUGCAUCAAACACAAGAAUCAUUAGCAUAACAUGCUUUGGAAAACACACACAUAUACUUAAAUUAAUGGUUGGAGUAUCAAAUUUAAAAAUAUUGUUGUCAAUACAUACCCCGUCAAUCCUCCUUUUUUACCCAAUAAACAUUGAAAUGUUGCUUCUUUCGUUAAGCAUAAAAACAUCAAAGUCUAGCAAAAUGUUGUUUUUGCGAUGACACAUUUCAUAUAGUUUAAAGGAUGCAUGAUUCGAUUACAAAAACAAAAUACUAAUAAUUCUAGCACAAAGUUUAAAGCUAAGAUUAUAAAGCUUCAUAGCAUGUGGAUAUUCAUUUAGAAAUAUAGGAUUAGGAUUGCCCCUUUCAUCACGGGUCUAAUAGCACCACUUGUCACUACAUGUUAAAAAUGUCCUCUAGUACAACACCGCUUUUUACUUGAUUCCCCUUGUCCAUGAAAAAAUCAAACAAUAUUUGGACACAAAAAUUUGCCCCCACUUUCCUUUUUCUUCUGCCCUAGUUUGUUUGAAAACUCAUAUUGAUCAAAUUUGGCUAUGAAUUCAAACAAAAAAUUCACUCUGCCCAUUGCAUGUGUGGGACCCACAUAUAAAUCCAUGAAGGAUUUCAAUGUCCAUCCAAGUCAAUGAUUCAACAUAUAACAUUGAAUAAUUUAAUUCCAAUUUGCAGUAUUAUGAUUUAGAUUGAUUGCUGCAAUACGGUCCGUGAAUGUAACUCACGAGAAAGAGGUAUCAAGGUAUUUUAUUUUAUUUUUAACAAAUAAAAUUUCAAGGUCUUGUUCACCAUAUAAACCUCCUCACUCUCACUCAAUUCUCUUAAGUGUAUGACUUCAUAGUAAACUACACUACUUUCUUUAAAACAUGGCUAACUAUGCUAUAGCCAAUGUUUUGAUCCUUCUCUUGAACUUGAGUACCUUACUCAAUGUUCUUGCUUGCCCUUAUUGUCCUUACCCAAGCCCUAAACCACCUUCACACCACCCUCCUAUUGUUAAGCCACCAGUUCACAAACCACCAAAGCAUUCUCCUACUCCUAAACCACCAGUUCAUAAACCACCAAGAUAUCCUCCUAAACCAUCACCUUGUCCACCCCCAUCAUCAACACCAAAACCACCUCAUCAUCCCAAACCCCCAGCAGUACACCCACCACAUGUUCCAAAACCACAUCCACCUUAUGUUCCAAAACCACCAAUUGUUAAACCUCCAAUAGUACAUCCACCUUACGUACCAAAACCCCCAGUUGUGAAACCACCACCAUAUGUCCCUAAACCACCUGUUGUGAGACCACCCUAUGUUCCUAAACCACCAGUUGUACCUGUAACACCACCUUAUGUUCCUAAGCCACCAAUUGUUUUCCCACCACAUGUUCCUCUACCUCCAGUUGUACCAUCACCACCACCUUAUGUACCAACACCUCCAAUUGUGAAACCACCAAUUGUUUUUCCACCACAUGUUCCUCUACCUCCAGUUGUGCCUGUAACACCACCUUAUGUGCAACCACCACCUAUUGUAACUCCACCAACACCAACACCUCCAAUUGUGACACCACCAACACCACCUAGUGAAACACCUUGUCCUCCACCACCACUUGUACCUUAUCCACCACCACCAGCACAACAAACAUGUUCCAUUGAUGCUUUGAAGUUGGGUGCAUGUGUUGAUGUGCUUGGUGGACUCAUACAUAUUGGUAUAGGUGGAAGUGCUAAACAAACAUGUUGUCCAUUGCUUCAAGGACUUGUUGAUUUGGAUGCUGCUAUAUGUCUUUGCACCACUAUUAGACUUAAACUUCUUAAUAUCAAUCUUGUUAUCCCCCUUGCUCUUCAGGUUCUCAUUGAUUGUGGCAAAACUCCACCAGAAGGGUUUAAGUGCCCAGCUUCUUAAUCAUAUAUGCACAAAGCUAGUACAUUUAUAUUUUGAAGGUAACUAUUUAAUUCAACUUUAUAUACUUUUCUUUUAGUAAAAUUUGUGUACAUGCAAUUUUAUUAUUUAGAUUAGAUUCAAAUAUAUUUUUAGUAUUUACAAGUAUACUGUUUUUUUGCCAUUUAUUGGUCUUCGUAAUUUUUCUUUUGUUUUUAGUCUUUGCAAUAUGAAUAAGGACUAAAAUAAAUAUUGUAUAGAUCAAUUCCAACAUAACAACUUUGCAGGGAAUGUAAUAAAACACCAAUGAUCAAAAGUAAAAAGUAGUAUAUUUAUAGGGAAUAAAAACAAAAAUUUCAUAUAUUUGGAUGGACUAACUAAAAACGAAAAAUUGGUAUAUUUAUGUCAUUAGUUGUGUUCGGAACUUUUCUAUUGCUAAAAUCAUAUUAAUAAAAUUUGUUUACAUUCAAUUUCAUUGAUUAAGAUUUUAUACUAUGUGAUUGUGACCUAGAUGUGUUAAUGUUUACAGGAAUUCCAUGAAUAUUAGUUAGCUCGGAAUAAGCGUUUACAAGUUGAAAGAGAUGUAGUGAAAAAAUUGUCAUUGUUUCUCGUUCAAGUUGGUGUAGGGAUACCAGAAAUGAAGGACAAGAACGUAGUAGAAUUGUACUUUGAUGGAAAUUAUGUAACUGGAAGAAGACCAAAAAAAUAUUCUGCACUUCACGUAGUAGUCGUCGUCAUGCAUUAAUAUGACAUAAACUUUCAAUUUAAUUAUUUUCUGUUUCUAUCUUUUUGUCACUUUCUUUCAUUGCGUAUGAUGCUGUGUGUGUAUGUCAGCGUUUGUAAGUUCAACCCGUGAGUGCUUUGGGGAAAUGUAUAAUAAGUUCUUUUUAUAUUUUCUUCAAAAUGCUUGAUUCUCAUCUAACACAUUUCUUCGUAUUAUCCGGAAUAUUGUCCUUUAAAAGAAAAUUACAAACAAAAAUCUUGAAAGAAAGAAUAAACAGUGUGAUAAUAUUUCUCCUUAUGAUGAUUAGUAAAUGCUUGUUUAGCAUAACGGUCUCAGUCAAAUUGGAGGACCCGCUCGAAUAUUAAAAAUAAAACCCUAAUAAAAAAAUUAGUGCUAAUUUAAACAAUUAAAAAUUAACAACAAACUUUUUUUUUAUUUGAAUUUGUUCUACUGAUUUUUUUGUUGGUGGGAUGUGUGAGUCGGGUCUAACUUAUAUAAUAUUUUCUCUUUUAUUUUUAUCAAAUAAUAAGAGUUUGGUUUAACCUAUCUUCUAUUAUAAUAAAAUAAAAUUUUACUAUAUAUCUUCCACAUAACUUUUUGCUCAUGUUGUUUAGUAUUGUGAAUUAGAGACAAAACUUCUCUUUAAUGAUUUUGUUUGGAGAGCAUAUCUGCUAGUUUUCGCCGAUUUUCCCUAAUUUGCGCCAAACGUACGUGCAUGUUUUUUAAUAUUCUUGCUAAUUACACAUAUCGCCAAAACUAUUUCCUUAAAAUUAGGAUAAAGUUUUUUUUGAAGAACAGUAGCACUGUCAAAAAAAAAAUGUCUAAAACAGUACAUUAUAGAGUACUAUACCUAAAUUUCCCCCCUCAUAAAAAAUUGGUCUAUAUUAGUGUGCAAAGUGUACACUAUGCAUUUCAAUUUUGAAUUUUCAAAAAAUGGACUAUAUGAAUUUCACAAAACUUCCGUUUUAAUUAAUAAAUAUUGCUCUUAGGAUAUUCAUUAGUAUUUUUCUAUAUUAAAUUCAUAUAUAAUAUGUCAUGUAAAUAUGUCCCCCUAAACACAAUUGACGCGGAAUUGAACCCACAAUUUCACACUUUAAGUUAGAGGUACUUACAUCCAAAAAAAUCCAAAAUAAAACCGUAAAUCAAUUCAAAAAAACAAAAAAUUGUGCCAAACCAAAUUUUAUUGGAUGUCUUAAUUAGGAUGUACUUUUAUAACAACCGUUUUGAUCGGAUUGAAUUUUGAACUCAUUUUUCAAAACAGACCACAUACAUAAAUAUUAAUACUUAUUUAUUUUUAAUUGGUAUAAUAUAUUGCAUUAAUCCAUUAUUUGUAAAUUUCUUAUUUUCUUUUAAUAAUACUUAUGAGUUAAAUUUAAUUUGUUUGUUUUUAUUAUUUCAUGGGGUUAAUAGUGUUUUACCCCAUGUAAUAUAAGUCAUUUCCAGUUUACCUCCUGUGAUUUUUUCUUAGAUUCCAUCCUUGUAAUUUGAAGAUUUUUUAUUUUAGACCUUCAUGAAUUUUGACUAUAAAAUCGAUGACAUGGUAGAAGGUAAAUCGAAAUUUGCUCAAAUUACAAGGGGCGAAAGUACCUUAAAUUUUGUAAUUGAUGUCAAAGAAUGUCCAAAAUCAAAGAAUCUUCAAAUUAUAAGGACAUAAUCUAAAAAUAUAUAUAUAGGGGUAAUCCAGAAAUGACUUAUAUUAUAGGGGUGAAACAUUAUUAACCCUAUUUCAUAUCUUUCAAACAUAAUCGAUUAUUAUCAUCCAUGAUUGUUAAAUUUUAAUAUAUUAUAGGCUAUAUUUUGCAUCAAACUUAUUAUUUUACCGUAUCUUUAUAGCAUCAAUAGAUUUUUUUCACAAAACUGUUAUUUAAAAAACCUUCCGCUUUGUUUUUUUUUAGUCUUUUUCGCGAGUGUUUUGUACGUUUUCCAUAUACUCAACGAAAAUAAUAAUUGUCAUUUAAAAAAAAAAAAAAAAACCAAAUACCAUAAAAUUGAAACGGAUCUCAUCAUCUUUUUUAGAAAUCAUCUAAAUCGAACUAUGAGUAUUUUAAUUUUUUGAUUAAAAGAUAUUUUGUUGGAUCAUACUAACUAUAUUGGUUUUAUUAACUAGUGUUCUAAGACACUAAUUAACAUUUCUCUUUUUACUUCAUAAAUGAUUCAAACUUUAACGUGAACGCAUCUACUUCAAAUCACUUUGUGUGUACGACUAACAAAUGAAGUUCAUAUAUAAUAUGAUUUCUCAGAGCAUAAAUCUCUAUUUUGCAUUCAUGUGUAUAUAAAUUAAUUCUUAAUGUCUAACUAUUAUUUUUUAUUAAAGUCGAACUACUUUUUUUUUUUCUAAACAAUGUCUCUAACUAUCUUAAAAAUUAAUAAUUUCUCUUUCAGUAUUUGACCCUUUCCUUGAUCAAAAAGAAUUUGACCCUUUCCUUGAUAAAAAUAAAAUAAAAUAAAUUGACCCUUUCACAUACUAUUGUUUAUAAUGCGUAUGGAAUAAUUGACACGACACAUUAACUAAGCGUACUUACUCCACUAGUGCAAUAUUAAAAUUACAGUCUGAAAAAGAAAAAAAAUCAUGUACCAAUUUCGACCAAUAAAUUUAAUGAUGAAAUUAAUCCCUACAUAUGAAAAAAAAUAAAAUUUGAAGAAGCUAAACUAACCCCCUCAAAUCGGUGCAAGAGAGAAUCGAACCUGAGACUUUAAGGAGGAACACACUCCCAGAUCCCAAAUCAAUAUCACUAAAUCAACCCAAGUGGGUUCAUAUGAAAAAAUAUUUGUUGAAAGAGAAAGGUCAUUUAAUUGAAUCUUCGUACUUUAAAAAUUCCUAAUAUCUAGCUUUUGACUAUAAGAUACUUUUGGCAACCAAAUAAUUUGAUCCCAUAGAUUUCAUGCUGCCUUUGUUUUUAACAUUAAUUUUCGAAAAUCAGAUGUUUCUCUCUCCCCCUCUCUCUUUUGUGAGCCGUCGGCCGAAACUCUAAUUUCUUCUCUUUCAUCCACCAAAGAGGGAUGAUUUAGGGUCAAUUUUUGACCCUGAAUCACCCCUCUAAAUCGUUUUUCUCCUUCCCUUCUAUUUAAGUAAGUGAUUUUCACAUCGAAUUAGGUUUUCCUUUUGUGAUUUCGUCGUCUUAGUGCGACGUUGUUUGUCUUUUCCAUGGUUCAGGUGUUUGCUCGAUUCAGAUUGUCAGAUCAGUUUCGAUCCAGUGCAGAUCCAACCAAUAACUUUGGCGUCAUCAACGUUGCAGAUCCGGAGGCAUAGCUAUUCCGAAGAUUUUAAUAUAGUCAUAUUUGUAGGCUUAUGUACUUUGCCGUUUUAUGCUAUAUAUUAACAUGGAUGUUGUGAGUUUUUUCACAAAUUCAUCCUUUUUGUUUUUAGUGAAUUUGUAUUGCAUCGAUGUACUCUGUCAAUUUGAAUGAAUGAAUGUGUCCUUUGUUUUGUGUAAAAAAACAUUAAUUUUCGAGAAGAGUUGCGCAAGUUACGAAAUUGAGUGUCACGUCAAUAAAUGAUGUUCGGUUGAUGUAAAUUUUGGAGAAAAUCGGGGAGGAAGGCCACCAAAUUAAAGAAGAGAUGAAAACAUAAGAGUGUGUUUGUUUCAAGGAAAGAAAUUACAUUCCUUGGAAUGACAUUCAUGGGAACAAAUUUUCAAAAUUUGAAACAAGCACGGGAAUGUUGCAUUUCCAAUCUCACAUUCCCGGGAAUCAUAUUACAACCCUUGAAACAAACACACUAUAAGAUGCCGAAAUCGCUCAAGGAAGAAUGGAAGGUCAUGAAAUCGCACAAUCGUGAUACUUAAAGGUCAAAUAUGCAGUUAAACCUAUAAUUUUUCUCUCUAAAUUUAUUUAAUUGAUUAUAUUUUUAAGAAAAUAAUACUACAAAAUAAGUGUCAAGUGUUGCCUAAUUAAUGAAGAAUUUUGUAUCAAAAUAAAAAAUACUCGAUAAAGGAUUUGAUCUUUUGAACUAUACGUUGAUAAAAUAGUUGAUAGUUGGAUUUGGAAACAUGCUUCAGAAACUCAAACUACUUAGUUAAAUGAUUUGAUCAUAUUUUGACUCAAGAAGAGCCGGUCCAUGCACCUUUUACGUAGAUUAUUUAAAACAAUGCAAUGCCUCUUAAAGUGUCGUUUUUUGCGUGGAGAGUCUUCAAUAAGAAAAUUUCGAUAAAAGGCAAUUUGGGUCUUUGGUUAUGUAUAUGUUGUCCCAAUGCUUGACAAAACAUAUCCAAACAAUGUAAAACACUGUGAGCUUGCUCAAUAGAAACCUUCGCAAAAAGAAGAUUAUCAUCAACAAAAAGCAAAUGAGAGGUUUAAGGGAUAUGCAUUUUUUCUCUCUGUCACCAUGUCACCAUGUAAAACACUGUCACCAUGUCUAAUACCACUUAUGAGAACGAAAGUGUCAAUGUUCUCUCUGUUCGACAAUAUUUUGUAUGAGAGAGAAGAAAUACAAUGAUGAAUUACCUAAAUGAGCUUAGAAUGAAAUUGCACCCCUUUAAGCAUUUUUUCACAAAAUUCUAGUUUAGACGAUCAUAGGCUUUUUUCAGUUCAAUUUUAAUAGACAUAUACAGUGUGUUUGGUAGAGGUGAAAUUGCAGAGAGAGAGAGAGAUGCAAGCGAGAGAAAUAGGAUUGAGAUGCAGAAUCUUUUAGUGUACCAUCUCCCAACUACAAUGAUGUUAUGAUGGGUACUUCUUUCAAAAAUAAAAAUAAACUGAUAUGGAUAAACUAUCCCAUCAAAUAAAAGUUUAAUUCUAUUAACAUAAACUUUAGAAAUAACAUUAUACAAAACUUUGAGUCUAAAUUGAGAAAAAAUUAUUCAGGUUUAUCAAUUUUAUGUUUAUGUAUUAUACCAUACGCUAGUAAUACUAUCUUUUAUUAUGUUCACGCAUGUGUCUCAAGCAUAUGGGUAUAAUGUGUAAGCUAUGGGAAAAUGACUCAAGCAUGUGUCUCAAGCAUGGAAUAUAGUGUCAGUAGCAAAUAAAAAGGUUAUAAAGAACAAGAAACGAUCUAGACAUCAUACUAUCUUUUAUGUUCGUGUGGUUGGCUCUGAUUAAUCUAACAAGUAUGGGAUGCUUGACCUUGAUGCAAUAAUGUUUCUUUAAACACCGACGUAGUAGUAAUAAUAAUAAUAAUUUAAAAUAAUGUUUAUUUAUAAAAAAAGUAAUAAUAGUAUGUUUUUUUAUAACAAUGAGGGCCUAAGAUAAAAGAAGAAAGAGAUAACAACGAGAUUAUAGGUGGAGUAAAAUUCCCUAUCAAAUCAAAAAGCAACAAAGACUAAUAUUGUUAGGACGAACAUCAAAGGAACAGGUCCCUAAAUCCAUCGAACAAGCUAAAUUGUUUGCGCAUUGAUUUGCUUCAUGAUAAGAGUGAUAACAACAACUUCUCAAUCAAGUGAAAGGAAGCGAUGAAUCUUCUCAACUAGCUACCUCCUUCUCUAGCUAUCAUGCACAUGUGAAGUGAUAGCUUUUACAAUAACUAAGGAGUCAACAUGCAACUCAAUAAAUCAAAAUUGCAACCUUCUAACAUUACAUGACCCCUUCCAAUAAUGAUGUGUUGUUGCCUAUAAACAAUUUUCUACUUUGUAGAGCUUUAGUACGAUGUAAAAUGAGUCGAUGUUGUGAAAAAUAAGUAAGAAUUGACAUACAUAGUGAAAAUAAGCAAGAUUAUACAUUGUUUUGAUUUUUUUUUUUUAAGUUUUAAAUAAGCUUUACUACGUUAGUAUAUAAGACCAUCUUUAAAUGAGGAGUCUUGUUUUUAUUUUUUAUUUUUUUCCUUUUUAAAUUAAUGAGGAAUCUUAGAGUGUGUUUGGAUGGGGGAAUGUUUUAAGGGAAUGUAAUGUUUUGAAGGAAUUCAAAUACCUUGAGGUGAAUUUCAUUGUUUGGGUAAUAGUUUGAAGAAUUUUCAAAAUGAUGGAAAUUUAUGAAGUAUUUUGUUCAAGUUAAAUGUAGAGAAUUUCAAAUGACACCUAAAAGUUAAGAAUUUCAAAAAUCUUCAUUGUCAUAUUUUUUCAAAUUUUACAUUUUGGUCCUCAAACUUUCCAAAAUUUUCAAUUUGACCCCAAUAAAUUUAUAAAAAUUGCAAAUUGACCCCUCAAAUUUUCCAAAAAUUAUAAUUUGGCCCCUCAAAAAAUUUGAAAUUUACUAAUUGACCUCUAAUUUCAUUUUUCAAAUUUGGCCCAAAAAAAUUGAAAUUUAUAAAAGUUGCCCAAAAAUGAUGACAAUAAAUUUUUUUUAUUACUCCAUCCAAACAAUAAUAUUUAAGAAUGAAAGCAAUUUAAUUGAAUCAUUUGAAUUACCUAGAAUUCUAAAUUCUUCAAAAUUUCUCAAAUACUCCAUCCAAACACACUCUUAGAGAAUCUAUAAUGAAUAACUCUGAAAAUGAAUUUUUAAGUGUGAUUUAUGUGUACACAUUACACAUUUGUAAUUUUUAAAUAUCAAUUUCUGAUAACCAUUGAACCCUUCCAUUAACUUCAUCCAUAUUCUCCUAGCCAUUAUGUAUAAUUGGCCCUCUAACAAGUACUUGUUUGUACUGUAUUCCAAAAAAUGAUGUUGAUGAGAGACUUACUAAGUAAUGUUUGACAUAGUCGAGUAUUAUUAUAAAAUAUUGAUAAAGUCAAGGACAUUUAUAAGCGCGACUCGUAGAGUUAGAGACCAACUUGAUCAUUUAACUAGCCAUGUUAAAGCUAUUAAUAGUGUCAUCAAACAGUGUUGAUCAAAGGAAUUAACUUAAUAUAACGUUUGAUAAAGUUAGAGACUAUUUUAAAAUAGGAUUUUUCUAUCAUGUGAAAAUUUGCACAUAUUAAGAAGUUUAAAAUAGUAAAGUUGUAUCGGAACUUGUGUUUUUUAUAUUAACUAUAAAACUUUUUAAUAAAUAAUUGUUCUUUUUCAAUGUAAAGUUACUAUUUUUAGUUCCUUUAACAUAUGCAAUAUUGUACAUGUUAGACAAACCCUUUAAAAUAUUAAUAAAAUCAUAGGCUUCUUUUUUCUUUUUUUUUUUAGAGAUCCAAUCUAUGUCUACUUUAGUUGGAUAUCUUUAUCAAAAGUUAUUAGAUACCCAUGGCAAAAAAAAAAUUAUAAACAUUGUAAAAUGUUUACCCAUGAACAAUCACCACUAUUUGGAUAAAAAAAAAAAAAAAAACUUAAGUUUUACACAUCAUUUUUUGCUGAAACUUUUUCACUUUCUUAACUUUGGGGACCAAGGCUACGGUAGGUGACCUCCUUAGGUCUCCUACUAUAGAAGACUUGUUUUUUUUUUUUUUAAACGAGAUUUUUAAAAAAAAAAAUAGGAGGAAGUUUUUGAAUGGUUGGGAUUUCAGGUAAUGUGAUUCACUAGAAUUCUAUUUUUUAAAUAUAUAGAAUGAUUUAAAAAUUCAAUUGAUUUUGGAAUCACAUUUAACAAAGGGUGUUUUUGACAUUGUUGGAAAAAUUAUAUGACCCAACAUGCCAAUUUUUUUUCUUCUAAGGUCUAAAAACAAUAUUCAGUAUAUUUAUUGGGACUAAAAAUUUAUUCAACCUUUCUAUCUAUUGACCAUUGAACUAAUAACAUUUGGAUUGCAUGGAAUGAACACAAUGGUAAAUUAUUUACAAAUUUAGAAAAUACCAUUCCACAGUUAUUAGAAAAAGUAAAAUAUUUAUUGUUAUGGUGGCUUAAAGUUAAUAAGGUCAAUUUUGUUUAUGGCUCGUGGUUGAACCCGUUUAGGUGCUUGGAUAUCGACUCACCUUUUAGUGUAUUCAUGGAUUGACAGCUUGUAAUUAUUUUUGGUUUCAUUUAUGCUAAGGAGAUUACACUGUCAUUGUUAAUAUAAUUUUUUUUUUGUAUCAAUACAAUUUAUUUUUUAUUGUUAAAAAAACUAAUAAUAUUCAGUUAUUUAAAAAAAAAAACUCACAUAUCUAUAGUAAAAACCUUAAUAUAUUUUCAACUACCUCUCAUUAUAUAAAGUCAUUAUAUUAAUGUCUUACUGUUGAACGAGUUGGAAAAUAUUGAAUAUAUUGUCUAUAAACUCUAGGUGGAAAAAUAAUACUCCAUCCGUCCCAAAUUGUAUGUCGCUUUAGGGAAAAAAAAUUGUCCAAAAUUGUAUGUCGCUUUACAAUACCAAUACAACUUUAAUGUUAUUUUUCCUAUUAUAACCUUAACUAUUUAUUAGUCUCUUAUUUCAAUUCUUUCAUUUAUUUUUCCCAUAUUAUUUAUUAAGGACAAUUUUGUAAAACAACUCAUAAUAUAUAUUUUCCACACAAUAUUAAUUGCAUUUCUUGAUAUGUGUGAAAUGCCAAAAACGUCAUACAAUUUGGGACGGAGGGAGUAUUUUAUUUAAGAAGGAAAUUUCAAAAUUGACUCAAGAAUUAUUUAAGAGUUGUGUUAUUUGAACAUCCAUUUAUAUGACAACUUUUGAGACAACCAAUAUUUUACAAAGAAAAUGAGGUAUUGACACAAAAACAAAAACAAUAGAGAGAUAAAGUAAAAAAUUAAUGUAAACAUGAGAGAGAAAAUUGUCAUAAAAAUUAUCAAAAAAUGGUUGUUCAAAUAUUAUUUCUCAUGACUCCCGAAAAAAAAUGCAACACUGGUCACCAUUCUGCCAACCACCUACAAACACAUGUCAAUAUAGUUGUUAAAAAAUAAAAACCCUUUUAUAUGAUCUCCUACGGUAGGAGACCUAUACCCCUCUCCUACAGUAAACGCCACCAACUUUGGGAACCAAACUUAGCCUAAACGUACGCCACCAAAAAUUGCACAGUGACACAAUUAGGGGUGUACAAAACUCAGUUUAUUUUGUCUCCUAGGCUAUGGGUCAUGUCUGACUCUAACCAAUAAAAAGAUAAAAAUAAAAAGGAGUCCAAAGAAUUUGUCCUGGUGGCCGGAAGCAGGGGCGAAUGCUUGUACAGGAGAGGGGUAGCUAUGGCCACCCCAAAAAAAUAAAUUUUAUUGAGUUAGUAGGUAUAUUUUUAUGUUUAGCUACCCCUAAUAAUAUAUAUUUGGCUACCCCAAGUUCGAUUUUAGGUGCAAUAACUUUUUAUAACUUUGGUUACUUUCGGGUGGUCACCUCAUAAAAUUAUUGCUAGCUUCGCCGCUGGCCGGAAGGAUGGACCGAGUCUAGGUUGACAUGCGGAUCACCCAUUUUACCCAUUAGUUUGUGAGGACAUGAACUUUUUUAUUACUUGCAACUCGUCUCACCUUCUCUUCCCUACUCGAGUUACACAUUUGUCGAUAUAUCUUCACUUCCCUACUCGAGUUACACAUUUGCCGAUAUUUUCUUUUGUUUGUUUGACAAAACAUUUGCCGAUAUAUGUUGUUUCAUACGGUUUGACUCUAACCAAUAAUUAGAUUUAUGAGAAAUGAUAAUUUAACAAUCAAAAAGUUGUCCCACACCAUAUAUUGAUACGGUUUUAUGUACAAACUUAAUUUUUUACUAUUUCUUACAAUCUUGAAAUCUGUGCAUGCUUAGAAUUGCUUGAUGGAAUCUAUACGGUGGUGGAAGCAAGGUUGUAGAUUUUUGGUUGUUAAUAUAUCAUUGAUCUAGAUUUAUUGGAUGCGACUUACAUAGUUACAUUAUACAAUAUAUGUUAUAUUCUCGUAUCAUUGAAACUUUGAAAGUAGUUUAUAUUUCAAAAUAUUGGAGUUGCAUUGAACCUCAUGUAUAAGACUGGAGUAGUUUUGACAAAUAAAUUUGUAAAAAGAUUAUGUCAACAUUAUUAUAUUUGUAAAUAUGCUUUACUAUUUGGUGACUUGGGAGACUAACUCGGUCUAAUCCUGCAUGGAUCCGUAUCAAAUUUUAUCUGGUCAAUGAUCGAGUUCAAUUUAAUCUGGUAACUGACAUAAAGAAGAAUCUUGAGGUCUGAAUACGCGUAGCAUUAGCGUCAAGCAACAACUAACUUGAUAGCAUGUUUGGUGAUUUGAAACCUGUCUUGCACUUCUCACGUCAAGGACCACUUGAACUUUAUUUUACGGACAAUAUAUUGCACAUGUUUUCGGCUUUUGGGCCCAUGGGCUUAUUCUCAUCUCAUGCCUUCGGUUGAAAUUUGGGAUCUAACUCAUACUCAUAAAACCGGCUUAUAAGGUGAGGAUUACCUCCUCUUUAUAUACUCUUCUCAACUCACGCCCAGCACUCUUUGGGCUUGGUGCGUGAAUAGGUUUAGGCGGCCCUUGAAUUCGACAAGCUCUGAUACCAUGUUGAAAUUUUGGGCCUAACUCAUCCUUACAAAACCGGUUUGUAAGGUGAGGAUUACCUCCUCUUUAUAUACUCUUCUCAAGAGUCUUGUCUAUCUGAUGUGGGACUUGGGUUUUUCCCAAUACCUUCAUAAAGAAAAUUGUUCUUCUUUCUUUUAAAAUUGUUCAUUCUAUUAUUCGGUGGGAGUUAACUCACGCUCGAUAUUUUUUCAGCGGAAGUUAACUAACGCAAACACUUUUAAGAUCGGUUGAAUCGACUUAAAAAAUGAUUGAAUCGAUCUUAAAAAUGUUAAAGUGAGUUAACUUCCGUUAAAAAAUGUCGAGCGUAAGUUAACUUACGUUAAAUUAAGAUAAUGUACAAUUUUAAAAGUAAGAAGAAUAAUCUUCUCUCGUAAAUUGCACACAGAACAAAACUUCACCGCUCCUAUAUCCAUAUUCCAUCUUUUUCAUAUCUUUAUUUCUUAUGAAUAAUUCUAACACAAUCCUGAAAACAUACUCUAAACUUACUCUAUUUUAUUGGUUGGAUUCAUUUAGGUCUCAACAAAUUAUGUAGGUUCAUACAAAUUCUAACCAAUAAAAAAAAUUUAUUAGAAAGUACUAUGUUGUUAAUGAUCCUAAGCUUCUUUUUUUUUUCUUUUUGUAUUUUUGUUAUCAUCAUUGAGGAAUAGAUCAUGCUCCAAAACGUCUUGUGAAUAUAAAUCACUUGGUAGGAUAAUGCAUUAUUAUAUGCAGGGGCUGGAGUUCGAAUCCCGAACACCUCACUUAUUCAUCUUAUAAGAUGAAUUCUAACCACUAAACUACCUGACAAAAGAAAGAAAAAAAAAGAACAUGCUGCAAAACCCAAUUAAAUCCAACGGGUCAGUUUGACUCAUUCAAUUUAUCAAAAUGUUUAAUUGUUACUCCAAUGUGACACAUCUAUUUAAAACCUUGAGUGGCACCAGUUAUGAUUUCACUGUCUUUAGAUCCUACCUCCAGGUUCCAAUGGAAUUAAUACAAAAACGUUGAACCAUCCAUAGGAAGAGUAGGUGUAACGAUGGAUUGGGAUUAAUUAAAGAAAAUUCUAACCCGAAGAUGGGCUCAUCAUCUGUACGUACUGCCUAACUUGGUCACAAUUUCUCAAUUCUCUCUCUCUUUUGCGGUUGGAAUUCGUCUACAGUACUUACAUUGUUGAUAUAAUUUUUUAAUCUCAGUUCCUAUGAAGUAGGAACACUCUUUAGAUUAGAUGUAUUUCGUUGUCGUUGCGGCGUCAGUAUCCAACAGUAACAGAACAUAAUGUCGUUGUCGUCGCGGCAUAAUUUCGUUGUCGUUGCGGCAUCAGUGUCCAACACUGACAGGACAUAACAUCUAAAAUUACACCGAAUGAUGUCCUUCUCUCAAGUUAUUAUUCAUGUAUGCGUGUGUCUAUGUCUGUAUCGUGUCUGAUAUCUUUGUUAGCAUCCAUACUUUGAUUGCACCGUUGUAAAUGGGUCAAAUUGUACGAUUUAUUCGUACAAAUGAUCAACAUUACUUAAAUUAGGUUAUCUCUUUUAGUGAACAAAGUAAUUGAAGUUGCCCUACAAGAUCUGAAACCUGUAGCUAGCAUUUGUAUUGUUCAUUAAUGCAAAUCCAUCAUGUUAAAUUUCUCUGCAAAAAUCUCGAGAAUGGGACCCACCAUCCUCACGCUACUCUGUCAGUCACAAUGCAUGAGCAAUGAACUCCCUUGGAAUUGCUUUCAUAACCGACACACACCAUCAAUAGUAAACCCUUCAUUUCUUUUGUUAGAUUGAACUCUGAGAACUGAGAUCACAAGAGUCAAUGCAGGUGUUAAGACUCAACCAGUGUUAACUAUUCAUCCAUUAAGGAGAUCUCCGAUUUUAUAGAUGAGUUAACUUUUUAUUAACACAGCUCCGGAAACUUUUCAACAAAUAAUACUACAAAAGUCCAAAAACUAAUCCCAAAGUUCCCAAAACAUCUGUACUGUACUGUCAUUUUUCCAAAAGUUUUCUCAUCACUUCUGCUUCCAAACACACUCACGAAUGGCAACCUUUGUGGCUCUUCUUCUUCUACAAGUUCUACUUUUCACACCCCCUUAUGCUAAUUCUCAAAAAAUGAACCCCUUAGAUCUCAAAGCUCUUCUUUCCAUAAAAAACACUCUCACCUCAAUCUCACCCACAAACUCCUUCUUCUCAACAUGGAACUUCACCUCCCCAAAUCCCUGCACCACUUUCUCCGGCAUCACCUGCACCUUCAACCGAGUCACCAUUCUCUCACUCGGUAUCGACAGACACCCCCUCGCCGGCUCACUCCCCUCCUCCAUCUCCUCCCUCACCGAGUUAACCCAGCUCAUACUCUCCCCCGGAAUCGUAACUGGUUCCAUCCCACCUCAGCUCGCUCAACUCACCAACCUCCGUGUCAUCUCCCUCCCCAACAACCGCUUCACCGGCACCAUUCCCGCCACAUUCUCCUCUCUCACAAAUCUCCACACACUCGAUCUCAGUCACAACCAACUCGCCGGAACAAUCCCACCGUCGCUCACCGCGUUACCACAACUCCGAAUAUUAAUCCUCGCUUCGAACUCCCUCACCGGAACGUUACCGGAAAACGUUUUUUCACCGCUACUUCAUUUGGAUUUGAAAAACAACGUACUAACAGGAACGUUACCAACGUCAUUUCCGUUAUCUCUACGUUAUCUUUCGUUAUCACAGAAUCAAAUGUGGGGUCCACUUACCAACGGAACACUAGAGUCGCUUUCAGAUUUGGAGUUUCUUGACCUGAGCAUGAAUCAAUUUACUGGGCCUAUUCCAGCCCAGCUCUUCUUCAGGCCCAUGCUUUCUUCACUCUUCUUACAACGAAAUUAUCUUUCUGGUGGGCUUCCAUUAAAGCCUGAAGAUGGAGAACCGUUGGUUGGAUCAAACGGUCAAGGUUCGAUAGUUGAUCUAAGUCAUAACUUAAUCAGCGGAGAAUUAUCAACGGUGUUAGAUGGAGUUGAGAGUUUAUUUUUGAAUAAUAACCGUUUGAUGGGAAAGGUGCCUGAAGAGUAUGUCAAGAGCGUGUGUCGCGGUAGCACUCGAACACUCUAUCUUCAGCAUAACUACUUCACGGGGAUACCGUUGAAUGAAGGAAUCGUGCUGCCUGAUACGGUGUCCUUGUGCUUGUCGUAUAACUGCAUGGAACCUCCGGCGAAGCAAAUGACUUGUCCGGCGAAUGCCGGAGAAGAAUUGUCGAGGCCGGCAGCACAGUGCUCUGUGUUUAACAAUGAUGACAGUGGUUAAUUGGAUUAGACUUAGGCAAUUAAUAUGAAGGUUUGAGUAUAGCUUAAUUUUCAAUUUUUAUUUUAUUUUUACCAUUGAUAGUGUAAUAAGAUGUAUUUUAGUGUAGAGAAACGUUAUGUGAUCAAAUGUAUUAUUAAUAUUGUGAUGAAAUGAAAUGAAGCACUUCAAUUAUGUGUUAAUCUUGCUACUGUCGCAUUACAUUUCUAGACUUUUGUGUAAAAAUACGUAUAUCAUCAUAAUCAUAUUGAUUACAUAAUAUAGCAAGCAAUACAUAACGUAAAUAAAUGCAGCAACCACUUGAGGAAGGUCCUAUUCAAUCUGCUUCUUCUAUUUUGAUUCUGGUCUACCCUAAAUUUUAGUGUCAUUUAACUUUCUUCCUAUCUUUUCAGCAAAUUAUGGAUGCACUCUGUCUUGGACCUGACAAUCACAAAAGUUAUGUGUUAGCUCUACAAAUUUAGCUGAGGUUCUUUCUAUUCAUGUAAAUAGUGUUUUAAGUGCAUAUUUGAAUUUGCGGUGAGGUUGACAGAAUCACAAUGAGCAACCGGACCGUAAUUUUGCAAAAGCUAUAGAGUGUGGCUUUUACAAAAUUACUUUGCCUCACUAUGUAAUUUUGUCAAACCCACCGCCGUGAUAUCAAACAUAUAUAAAACAUCAUAGAACAAAAAAAAACUUAAAUGUGAUAAAGAAAAUAAGGUUUUAGUAAAAGUAUUGACAAAGAAAGAGCUCAAUUUUCACUUACCUCAGUUGGAAAAUCCCACAACCACAAACACAUUAUUAAGGAACCGAAAAUAAGUGUGCCUCCAAGCGCUGUUGAGGAAUAGAGGACCACAAAUACACCAGAAACCCACUGCAAAUCCAACACCCAACCCAAAGUAGAGUGAUUGUGUAAAAGAAUUCUCAUCAUUAUCAAUAUCAUUGUGUCCUCCAUGUAGGUAUGACCCAUGAUCACAUAUUGGUAGAGGAGCUCCACAAAGUCCAGGAUUCCCAACAUAGUAGGAAGCAUCAAAACUUUGAAGUUGAGUCCCAACUGGGAUUUGCCCAACAAGGUAAUUGUUUGACAGAUUCAAGAAACUCAAGAAGGACAAAGUUGAUGUGGUAACAGGAAUUCCUCCAACAAGUUUAUUGUCGGAUAGAUCAAGAGAUUCCAAGUUUUUCAUGUCUCCGAUGUCUCUUGGUAUCUUUCCUGUGAAAUGAUUUCGAGACAAGUUCAAUGACUUGAGUUGAACUAGAUUGAAAACUUGUGAGGGGAUUUCACCUGAUAAGUUGUUAGCUGAAAGGUCAAGAGUUCUCAACAGUCCAUAGUCAUAAUACUCUAAGUCUCGCCCUUUUGUAUACAAUUUGAACUCAAAUGGAUAAUGACUCGUUUUCUUUGCUCCACCCAUGCCAGUGAUGUUACUUAUGCAUUUGGGAAUAGACCCUGAAAGUUUAUUGUGGGAAAGAUCCAAUUGUAUCAGUGAUGAGAAAUUGCACAGUUGUGGUGGAAUGUUACCUUCAAACUGGUUUGAUCUCAAUAUCAUCACCUCCAUACUACGUGGCAUCUUCACUGGUACGGUUCCAGAGAAAUUGUUUUCUCCAAUAUUAAUGAAUUGCAAAUUUGUUAUGUUAGAUAGGUCCAAUGAAAAAUUACCAGACAAGCUGUUGUUAUGCAAAUCCAGUAUUAUGAGAUCGAUAAACAAGUCCAUGGAUGGAGGAACUUCACCAGUUAGCAUAUUACUUUCCAUGAAAAGGAAAGAUAAGCCUUUCCAAUACUCCCAACAAUCAGGAAUUUCUCCGGUUAAAAGAUUGAAUGAAAUGUCCAAAUAAUCCAAACUAUUUUCCCUACCUAAUCUGUGGCAGAACAUAGGGGAAAUGGUUCCAAAGAAAGAAUUGUGUGACAAAUCCAAAUAGAUGACAUUUGCUGAUAUAUGUGGGAGCCCUCCUCUGAAAUUAUUGUGGUCCAUAAAUAGAAGUUCCGAGUUUAGCGUGACAUUUGAUAAGUCUGCACUCAUGCUGUUGUUAGACAAGUUAAGGUGUGUAAUAUUAGUUACAAAUCUCCAAAAUAUGUCUCCAUCUAUGGAUGAAACUCUAGAGUUAGGAAUCUCAAGAUAUUCUAGUGACCUUUGUGUAUAUAUCCAUGUUGGAAACUUAGGACCUAGAAUUGUAUUGCUUAAACUUAUCCCGUUCAAUUGAAAUGGAGGAAUCCAUUUAGAAUCCAUAUCAAAUGAAAUCGGUGCACUCAAGACCAAUGUUUCUAAACUAGAGAGAUUGGAAAAAUGUAUUUCAGAUAGAACACCUGACAAGGAACUUCCUCCAAUGACCAAACUCUUCAAAUUAAAGAGUUUUCCAAUGCUGGUUGGAAUAUUACCGGUCAGAAAAUCGGAGCUAACACUUAAGUCAACCAAGGAAGAGAGUUUUCCAAGAGAUGAAGGGAUAGAACCGCGAAACAUGUUCUCAGCUAGACCAAGGUAUUUUAAAUUUUCAUGUUGCCCUAACCAAUCAGGAAUAGAUUCAUUUAGUUCAUUGUUACUCAACCUUAAAGUUUCAAGUUUUCGAAGACUUAACAAGCUCUUUGGUAUUUGUCCUUUUAAAAAAUUGAAGCUAAGGUCAAUAUGGGAGAUAUUCAUAUCGUUGCCGUGUUCAAACAACCAAGCAGGUAAUUCAGAAUCGAAAUGGUUUGCUGAGAGAUCAAGAGUUGCAAGUGAAUUAGUAAAACUCACAUGCUUAACGGAUGCAAAGAUAUCGGUCAAAUGACAACUUGAUAAUCUCAGUUCUAACAAUGAUACAUGCAACAUAUCUAUGGACUGAAGCCAGUUUGUUUGGUUUUGAAGAUUAAUUUGACUAAGGUUUAGAGAUUUGAGUGAAGAAAAUUUGGAAAGCCAAUGAAGAUUAUCCAAGUGAAGAUCAUCGUUAAAGGAUAAGUCUAGGUACUGAAUAUUAGACAAAUUAUUAUUAUUAUGAUCAUUUGAUUGGUUGAAACUACUUAGAGUUGUAAAGCCAUUCAAGCUUAAGUCUAAGUAGGUCAAAAAUUCAAUUUGAAACAAAGACUGCAAGUUGAUUUCACCUUCCAAGUAUUGUUGGUGUAGAUCAAGUGUUGUAACUCUACCUGUGAUGUUGUCACAUUGAACUCCUUUCCAUGAACAACAAUUUUUUUCAUUAAUGGACCAAGAGGAAAGCUUGUUGGAGGAAUGAUUCUCCACACCAAGUUUGAAGAGCAGCAAUGCAGAACGAUCCUUCUCAUUGCAGUUACUAAUCCCAAGUUGUGUAUUGCUACUAUUGCACCUUUCAAAUAUUGUUGUAGAUAGCAAUAAUAGCAGUAGCCAAACAAUGGGAAUCUGUGAAGUGAAGCCUAACAUGGUUGAUAUUAUUUAGUUUGAAGUGUUACAAAUUUGUGUGGGUGGUGGUGAUGGGUUUUAAAGGGUUAAGUUUGUUGGUGGUGUUUCACUAUCACAACUCUAUCUAUUUCCUAUUUCCACAACCAUGUGGACGUAGCACUACUUAAAAAUAAGAAAUAUUCAACAUUGGUUCGUGCGUUGAUUAUUCUCCAAUAAAAAGAUAGGUCAAUUCAUUGGGAGGGGAUUGUCUCCUAUGAAAGUUUCAUCCAAUGAAAUCUCCUCCACUCAUUUUUAUUUUUUUGCAAUAUGUAAUUUAAAUUAUUUAAAAAAAAAAUUAAGGGUAGGGAUCAGCGUCAGUGAAUUUCAAAUGGGAGAGGAUUCGUGCCUCAAUUCAUUUGGGUAAAAGAGAUUGAGUAACAGCUAACUUUUAAAAAUAAGAGGGUUAAUUUUUUGUCCAAAAUCACCUAGAUCACUUUUUCCUAUUCUUUUGUUUGAAUAACUUAUUUUCACGUGUAUUUACUUUUAUUUUGUCAUCUUAAUUAAUGUUCAUUUGAUUUGUUUGCCGUCUUGGUGCAAUAUUGUUUUGUUUUUCCUUCUCGUUGCCGUGUUUGUUCGGUUCAGAACAAUAUAUAUAUAUAUAUAUAGAGGAGGGAUAUUUUGACUCCAAGAGUAAGUCUCUAAACUUACUCCAAAUCUUUGCCCUUAAUUCUUUUUAAUCUAACGGUUUUAAAAUUUAUUUAACAUGAACCCCUUUUCGGUUUUCUUCCACUAAACACAGUAUUUCAAUUCUUGAAUUUGUUUCAACUUUUUAUCACAAAACAAUUUUCAGAUCUUUUUAUCGCACAGUAUAUGCAUGACUAAUUCAAAUUAUUAAUUCAAUUGCCAACAAUAAUUAUCCACAAGCAUCUCACCUCUUCAAUUGGUACAUAUGGAUAGCCUAAGAAUUUUGUGUUCAUCCAAAGAGAAGAAGAAUGAAUCUAAAUGAAAAUUGACGAAAUAAAUACGUUUUGGGAUUUAUCCAAGUUUAAAAAACCACUCUUAAAGAAUAAAAAAUGGAGACAGUAUACAUAUGACUAUGAUUUGAAAUCAAAUUUUCAAAUCAUGAAACGGAGAAGGUUUAUAUCUAUGAUGAUGAUCAUGAGUUUAAUGUUGUCUGCCGUUUUGUCAUGACAAGCUUUUGCAGCGUUAAGCGUUUUGCCGUUUUCCAGUGCAGAAAAGAAUUAAACCUCACCCUAACAAUUACUAUUAUUCAAUCCUAACCAUUAAUUGAUAUUGAGAUUAAGGAUCAAGAUUUGGAGUAAGUUUAGAGACUUACUCUUGAAGUCAAAAUAUCUCUCCUCAUAUAUAUAUAUAUAUAUAUAUAUAUAUAUAUAUAUAUAUAUAUAUAUAUAUAUUAACUUUGUUUCAAUGCAACUUCAAUCAAUGAUUUUAAUGUCUUAAAUAUUACAAAUCUGAAUACAUGAGUAUUUCAGACAAUUUAAGUUCUUCAUAAUUGUAGACAUUUUACUAUUGUAUGUUAAUAGUAUAUAUGUUGUGAGUUUUUCGCGAAUUCAAUCCGUAUUUUAACGAUUUAGAAUUUGUGUUGUUUGAUGUAUUUCUAUUAAAAAAUUAAUAUAAAUUGAACUUAAAUUUUGUUAACAAUAUUCGGCUAAUAAUAUGGCAAAUCCCAUAACUGUUUACAAAUUGAACCGUGUACCACUAGUAUUCAUAAAAAAACAGCAGCAUUAAGCUAAAAAUAUGGAAAAUCCAAUUAUCACCCCAACCAUAAUUCUUGCAAAGUAACCCAUGUUUUGUAGCUCCAGCUGGCGGACCCUGGCAAAUGAUUACCGUUGGAGUUGCUCUAACAAAUUUUAAGUUUGGAUAUCACACCUAAUAAAUGUAUUUUAAAUUAAGAGUCUGCUUAUUUUAACUUUUUAAAAAAGAAAUUUAAAAGUGUAUCAUUUUUUUCUAUAAUUUUUUUAACAAAGAAUAUGUAAAGAAAGCUUUUAAUGAGAAAAUGGUUUAAGUUUAACCAACUUGUCGUAAAAAGUCCAUUGAAGUAUUUAAUAGUUUUCCAAUGACUUUUUCUAACUUUGAAAGUUGCUUGACUCCUUUGAUUCGCUGUGCAAGUGACAUAAUGUCGAUAUGUCUAUCAAAGAGUUCAUUUCUACACUUACUACUUUACUAGUACCCCUAACUUAGAAGACACGUUUUAUUAUAGUUGGGCACCCCCGUUACAAAAUUUCUAUGAAGUAUGAAGGCAGAUCUUGUCCAUGCAAAGUGAAAACAUUGUCAUUGAAUCAACUCCUUAUUCCACGUUGACUGCUUCAAUUCCUUUCGAAGUUGGGUGAAAUAUUACAUCAUCUUGCCUUGUUAGAAACAUUUAUGUUGAAGAGAAUUUUUCUCUCAUCCUACUAACUUCUCACACGUUUUUUAAUUGAUCAUUUUCGGAUUAUAAUCAGAACCGUGUUUAAUAAGCUUUUUCAUUAUAAUAACAAAAAUUAUUAAAUGAAAUAAAUAAAAAUGAUAAAACUUAAAAACAAAUAAUAUAAAUGGACAGAAUUCAACACAUUUUUUUACCAAUAAUUCAUAAUAUAUUACAGAAGAAGGUUUAACUCACGAUUUUCACACAUGGCAGCAUCCGUAAUCUGGUACAUAAUAUCAAUAUGGACCGUCCCUUCAAAAAAAAAAAAAUCAAUAUGGACCGAUUUGUUAUCCCAUAAUUCCAAUAAUAAUAAUAAUAGCAACCAAUUAAACCCAAUAAUUAGUGGGACGAAUAAAUUAGUAACAAAUGGGACAAAUUAAACCAGCCAAUGGAAGAAAUGUCGACGUUCCAGAUUUAUGGGCUUGGUUUCGUUUGAAAGAAAGUCGUAGACUUCCAAUUUUAGAGGCAAGUAGGAGAAAGAAGCAUAUCAACAAGUUGAAUAUAAACCAUAAAGUUAACAACCUUAGCUCAAGGGGAGUUGAGUGCAUUUUCUAAACUGGACGGGGUGUGAGUGUCUUUUAAUGAAACUUUAGGAGAGAUUUGUGUAAUUUUCCCGAUUAAUAAUGGAGAUUUAACCUCACAAAUAUUAAGUUGAGAAGACAUCUGUCAUAAUUUCUAAAAAGCACAUAAAUUGAGGGGGCCUAAAAAGAAAUGUUCAAAUUACAAAGGCUCUUUUCUUGGGCCGCUUGGCCCAUAUGAAAUCAACCCAAACCCAAUCCAAAUCCCAUUUCAGAUUCUCACUUUCUUCCUUCUUGUUCUAUCUCACCCAAAGCUACAAAAUCAUCAUUCGCUUUGCGUUGAGUUCAAUUUCGAUCGAUCUAUCUAUCUCUCUGCUCCUUCUAUCCAUUUCUAUUCAUUGCCAAAACCCUACGGUAAAUCUCUCUCUCUCAAAUUACUCAUGUAGCUAUGAUAGAGAUUAAACGACGCCAUACCUGGAUCUCUCUUUUUUUUUUUCUUUUUUUUUUUUUCUUGCUAAUUUUUGUUUUACUUACAUUUUUUUGUUCUUACUUUACUGAUGUGAUUAAUACACCGUAAUUUGGUUUACCUAGUGUUUAAUUUUUUUCCUUAGCUGAUUUGUUUUGUUUUGUUCUUAUUUCAUUUAUGCUUCAUGAUUAAUGGAUCUGAUUUAAAACCUUUGGUUUUGUACUUUGAUGGUUUUGUUUGCAUGCAAUUAGUCAAAUUAGUUCAUGAAAUUGCAAUGUCCUUCGUAUUAGACUUUUAGAAAAGAAAAUUAUGAUAAAGGUUUUUGGAUUUAGUUUUUGAAUGUGCAUUUAAUGGUUGAGUUAGUGCCUGCGGUAUCGACAAAAUUAGACUUUAAACUUAGAUUUGGUUGUUAGGAAAUAAUGUUAAUGAUUCCGUAUAUUGUCAUUAAAACCGGUGCUGUCAGUUUGUUUGAACCUGUUUGACCGUGAACUGAGAUCCGGUCUUAGUUUGGUCACAUGUUUGAAUUUUUUAUGUUAUCACGUCAUACCCUGUGGUUAAACCCAAACCAGAUAGAACUGGCUCCAAAGAUCCCGCUGAGUGAAAAUAUGAACAUUCUGUGGUUUUGUCUUGCGGAGCUCCUUGUACAAAAGUUCAUCCGUAGUCAAACAAUGUAACACACAAAAGCCUAGUUGUACACAUACUUAGGAGAAGGAGAAAGUUUGUUGUGGGAAGGAGAUGCAGAAGGAAAAAAAAGAUAUGGAGAAAGACAUUGUGGUAUGUUUGAUGUGUGUGGCGGCUAUUGUAUGCAGAAGACGACAAAGAUAUUUUGCGGUUAUGUUUAUGUGGGCUUUUUGUACUUGACCACUUUACUACACUUUAAUUUCGAGAAUAUAUUCACUUGGCCACUUCACUACACUUUAAUUUUGAUAAUAUAUUCUAUACUGAGUCAUGUUUCACCAAAAUAAAUAUAUACCGAGUCUUGCAAUUUAACUAGUAAGCCGCCGGUUUGACCAAUGACCCAUUUACGCAGUAUCCUAACCAAAAGUAGACGGCAUCUCCGAGUUUAAGACCAUUGAUCCGUAUUUUUAGAUUCUAAUUUCAUGAUUUGUUUAUUUUAAUAAAAUCAUCUUUAGCAUUUAUUGUCGACUUUUACUCUUAUGGAGAUUUGUUAUUGAAUUUGUUGCUGUUCGUGUUAUAUGCAUGUGUGUUGUUUCUUUCGUUAGACAGUCGUAUUAAUCCUUAAAACUCUAAACCCUACAACAUUGUUCAUAUCGGUUCACGAAUAACACGAAAUAUGCUAAAUUUCCCUGAAUGAAAUUUUGUCUGUGUAUUAAGUUUUCAUGAUAUCAAAUGUGAAGACUAACUUGACUGAAAUAAUAUACAAUAAGGGACUUUGUGGACUAAUAUGACCAACAGGCAACAGUAUAUAUAUUUCAAGGGCUAAUUUGAUUAUUUACUCAUCUUAGUUUAAUAUUGUUUAAAAACUGCUAUGGCAUCUGAUGUUAAUAUUUUUGCUCCUAUCUAGAUUUGAUAUCACUGUUGGAAUUAGCUUUGAUUCACGGAAAACUUCUCAGCAUCUGCAGUUGUCUUGCGUUCAAGGAAAUGGAGUUACCAACUCUGAGAAAACCUUUCAUCUACUGGGUUUUCUUUUCUUUCACUGUGUUUGCUCAAGUUAGCAAUGGGUUUUAUCUUCCGGGAAGCUACAUGCACACUUAUUCCAAUGGAGAAUAUAUUAAUGCCAAAGUCAAUUCGUUGACAUCUAUUGAAACCGAGCUUCCCUUCAGUUACUACAGCCUCCCUUACUGCCAACCCCCUGGUGGAAUAAAGAAAAGUGCUGAGAAUCUUGGAGAACUUCUUAUGGGUGAUCAGAUUGAUAAUUCACCCUACCGAUUUCGAAUGAAUAAAAAUGAGACUCUCUACCUCUGUACAACAGCACCAUUAAAUGAGCACGAGGUAAAGCUACUCAAACAAAGAACUCGUGAUCUGUAUCAAGUGAAUAUGAUCCUUGACAACUUGCCAGUUAUGAGGUAUACUAGCCAAAAUGGGGUUAAAAUCCAGUGGACGGGGUACCCUGUUGGGUACACUCCAUCUGAUGGCGGUGCAGAUUACAUCAUUAACCACCUGAAAUUCACUGUAUUGGUUCAUGAAUAUGAAGGUAGAGGGGUCGAAAUUAUUGGGACUGGGGAGGAAGGUUUGGGCAUUAUUUCUGAAGCUGACAAGAAGAAGGCAUCUGGGUAUGAAAUAGUUGGUUUUCAUGUUGUCCCAUGUAGUAUUAAAUAUGACCCCGAAGCCAUGGCAAAGCACAAAAUGUAUGAUAGUAUCUCUUCUGUAAGCUGCCCAAAUGAGCUCGACAAAUACCAGGUAAUAAAAGAGCAAGAGAGGAUAUCAUUCACAUAUGAUGUUGAAUUUGUGAAAAGUGAUAUAAGAUGGCCAUCACGUUGGGAUGCUUAUUUGAAGAUGGAGGGUUCUCGAGUUCAUUGGUUCUCAAUCCUAAAUUCACUGAUGGUUAUUAUUUUCCUUGCUGGCAUUGUUUUUGUCAUUUUCUUAAGAACUGUAAGAAGGGAUUUGACAAGGUAUGAGGAAUUGGACAAAGAGGCACAAGCUCAGAUGAACGAGGAGCUUUCUGGGUGGAAACUUGUUGUAGGUGAUGUAUUUAGGGAGCCUGAAUGCUCAAAGCUUCUGUGUGUAAUGGUUGGAGAUGGGGUUCAAAUUCUUGGAAUGGCAGGUGUUACUAUUGUUUUUGCAGCACUUGGUUUCAUGUCUCCAGCAUCCCGAGGGAUGCUACUAACUGGGAUGAUCAUUUUAUAUCUUAUCCUUGGAAUUGCCGCUGGCUAUGUCAGCGUACGUCUAUGGAGGAUCAUUAAGGGAACAUCAGAAGGGUGGAGAUCAGUUUCUUGGUCUGCUGCAUGUUUUUUUCCUGGCAUUGCUUUUGUUAUCCUUACAGUACUCAAUUUUAUUCUAUGGAACAGCAACAGUACUGGUGCUAUACCUAUUUCCUUGUAUUUUGAGCUGUUCUUCCUCUGGUUCUGUAUUUCAGUACCUCUGACCCUCAUUGGCGGAUUUAUGGGGACAAAAGGAGAGCCAAUCGAAUAUCCUGUAAGGACCAAUCAGAUUCCAAGGGAAAUUCCUGCAAGGAAAUAUCCAUCUUGGCUUCUUGUUCUUGGUGCUGGAACUCUUCCAUUUGGAACCCUCUUCAUUGAGCUUUUCUUUAUCCUCUCUAGCAUCUGGCUCGGGAGGUUCUAUUACGUGUUUGGUUUCCUGUUGGUUGUUCUUCUAUUGCUGAUUGUUGUUUGUGCCGAGGUGUCGGUGGUGCUUACAUAUAUGCAUCUGUGUGUGGAAGAUUGGCGGUGGUGGUGGAAGGCAUUCUAUGCUUCCGGUUCUGUUGCUCUUUAUGUAUUCUUGUACUCCAUUAACUACUUGGUUUUCGACCUGCAGAGUUUGAGUGGACCUGUGUCAGCUACCCUUUACCUUGGCUAUUCACUACUCAUGGCAAUUGCAAUCAUGUUGUCAACUGGCACCAUUGGCUUCCUUAUGUCAUUCUACUUUGUGCACUACUUGUUCUCAUCAGUGAAGAUAGACUGAGGUUCUGGCUGUAUCUCUUAUUACCCAUGUAAAAGAUCAAUCAAUUGAUAUAACUUCUACCGAGUUCUUUUUGUAGCUUGAUUGCAUUGCAGAAUAGGGUGGAGGCUGAUGCUUUAGUGAUUGCCUUAAACAAUCAUCAAUCAAUUUUAUAAUGCAAUGCGGUCUGCAGUUCGUCUCUGAACAUAGUCAUUCAAGGACUAGUGUUUGAGCUCAUCAUGUUUCAAGUACUCUAGUUUAUCUAAGUUUCUUUAGGAAGUUGUAAUUUAGUCUGUGUUACAUUUCGUUUCAAUAUAUAGAAAAUUGUUAGAUGGAUAAUCAGCUUUCAAUGUGAUGUUCAUUAUGUUUGUGGGUGUUUUUAUAUCUUCUAUUCGUUCAAGGAUAGGGAGGAAGACCAAGUAUUAUACUUAUGAUGAUUUAUUCUUAUUUUAUCUAUACCUAUUGUCCACAAGCCACAAUUUUGGCUUGUAUUGUACUUAUAAUAUUAUUUUUUUUGCGAAAUUAUUUUAUAACUUGAUGCUUGUAGAUUUUAGUUGAUAAUACUCUAGAUAUGGAAAAAUGAAAAUAUUGAAUAGGAGCCUUGGCACAAUAUUUGGAUGCCUCUGUGAGGUCACACUCACGGGUUAAUGUAAGGGUACCUACUACAAUAGAUUCACAUUUCCCUUGAUCCCUACUGUGGUGGAGCUCUGUAUGUUGCACUUUAUAUGGGAAAAUAUUAAAUUCUAGAAGAAUAUAGUUAGUAUUCCUAUGGCACUCUGUUUUACAUCUUGUGUGUGUGUGUGUGUGUUUUAAUAGCAUAAUCUAUUUAAUGCAUAUAUGUGAGUUUGUGUUUUCUUUAGUUUUCACUUUUCAUAUAAUUAGUUGCAUUAGUGAUGCAGUUUUUAAUAUCAAGCUGCAGAUAUUGUUAACGAUUAAUUGAUUAUGCUGAAGGAUUUCUCAAGCAAUUUAGCAAACGUUUGUCUAUAUCAGAUACAUCUGUCAAAAUUGAGUUUACCUUGUGUCCCUCCCAAAGGCUACACUCAGUGGUAGAGCAAUUUGUUUUUUUUUUUUUUGUGACAUUUUUAUGUGUAUUAGAAUGUGUGUCGUUAACAUUUCUUAGAAAUGUUUAAUGAUGUAAACAGACAAUUAUGGUAUGACACAGGAUCAGUUUCUUCCGAACCUCAAUAGUCAAUACUUUGUUGUCACAGUAAACUUUUAUAAACUUAAGUUUAUAAAAUAAAGUUGAAUCAAAUUGACGUUUGCGAAUUUUAAACCCAAACAUGCACUAAAAAUUUCUGAUAAGAGCAUAUAUAUGUUUCCAACGCCAAACCUCUAUUUACGAAAAAGAUAAAACAAAGACAACCAAAAGUUUGUUAUGACCUCAUGUUAUUCCGAAAAUAAAUGAUAUUUGUACCACUUUUUGACAACUUUUGAAACAACAUUCUCUCUCAUAUUCACAUAUAUUUUUAUUCUCUCUUCUUCUUUCUUUCUCCGUUGUUUUUGUCCAAUAACAAGAGCAGAAAAGUGAUGAUCACCAAAAUUAUCUAAUAUUAGUUGUACAAAUAUCAUUCCUCUAUUCUGAAAGAUCCAAUGUUACCAAAAAUGUAUCCUAAUUCUUGGUAGGAAGUUAAGGUUAUGAAAACAACAAUAAUUUAUAUAGAAAAAUACACAUGAUAGGAAUUAUUAUUUGACCGUACAUACAAUACAAUAGAAAUGUUAAGAAUACUCUUCUUAAUAUUCUUUAUUUUUGACACAAUUAAUACUCUUUAUUUAUAAUUGAUUCAUCAUGAAAUGUCAAUAUAUUUUUUUAAAUAUGACUUUGUAGGGUAAUAAUAUCAAUCUUUUUUUUUUUGACCAAAUAAUAUCAAUCUUUUAAAAAUAAGAUUUAUGUGCAUUGAAAUGAGAUAUGCAUGUUCAUUGUUUUGUAAAGGCAGAAUUUCAACGAUCCUCCUUCACCCAUCCGGGUUUUGUAAUCUAAUAAUCUAUAUAAUUUAAGGAAGACAAAAAAGAACGGUCCAAAUUGCAAAUCAUAAACCAAACAUACCUCUACUCUCUAGCGGACAAAUAUUGCUUUGAUACUUUCACGUGAUCCCAUUGCAAUUUGCAGAACCCUUUCCUCUAGCCUUAAAGAAUAUCCACUUAAUUAGUAGUAUAUCUUUCGUGUCACUUUCUCCCAGCGAAAGUUGUUUUUCUACAGAUGAUAAAUUAAAUAAUACACAAGUCUUUACAAUUUUAAACACAAAAAAAGAUUCAUUUUUCUGCAAGGGGGAAGUGACAGGAAAAAUAUUGCAGAAGAUUUAGCCAUAGUCGAUAUCUUAUAGCUUUUAUUUUAUUUUAUUAUUGGUCUAGUAGAUAAUACAAUACUCAAAUAAACAUAAAAAGGGGAGUGUGGUGAAUCGAGAUUGAACCUGAAAUCCUACGUAAAAUAUCAUCACAUUCAAAUAACUAGGUUGAAACUAUGCUAAAAUAUAAGUAUUGAACAUAACAAUAUAAUAUUAGGUAAAACAACACAAAAUAAAUUUUUAUAGUAUCGAACAAUUUUUGUUGUUUUAUACAAUAUUUCCUCCGUCUUAUAAUAUAAGUAAAAAAAAAUUCAUUUUCUUUGUCCCGAAAUAUAAGCAAAAAAGACAAACUUUUAUCCUAUUUAAUCUUGUUUUUCUAAAAAAAUCUCUUUUUCAAGAAUUAUUUUGUUUAUUCUCAUAAAAUUAAAUGCAAAUUACAUUCAAUUUUAUCGCUCUUUUUCAUUUUUUCUAUAACCAAUAGCCAAUGAAAAUUGUGUUUACAUCUUCCUAUAAAACUUUUUCCAAAGAAAACACAAAAAAUUAUACUUCAAAUUCUUAUGUUUUAGUUUUUUUAAUAAGUAUCAUUUUUUUUUCAUUUCUUAUAAUUUGGGGCGGAGGGAGUAUUGGUGGGCAAAAUACUAUUUCUGUAUUUUGGACAACUUAUACGUAAGACAAAAAAUUGUGUUAUGGUUUAAUGAGAGACAUGAAUUUCAAUUCUUAUCAUGUCCCUUGCACCCUCGAGUUGUUGUCUCGUCACUCAAUCAUUUUUACAAUCAAACUCAGUACAAUUAGAGUUGUUCUAUCCUUUAGUUUUUAGCAUAUUAAACACAUCCUACAAACUUAUAUCAUUUAUUUAUUUUUUGAACAAGCUUAUAUCAUUUAAGUUUAGGAAAAUAUUUGUGCAUUCUAGACAUUGAAACAACAAAAAUUAAUUUUUUCUACAUAAAAUUAAUCAUUUAUUUUUAUUUUUAAUGUGUUCUGCCUUAAGGACACUCGCUAGCACAACCCUUUGUAGCUUAUCAAUUUCCUUCUCAAAUUUACCAUUGCCAUCUUUAUUAAUCAAAAGAAAUUAAAAUAUUAAUUAAAUCUAUCCUUUUUACCUCAUUUUAUAUUUAUUAGUAAUUAAGAUUUUUUUUAUGCUUAAUUACACUUUUGGUCUCCGCAUUUUGACCAACUCACGAAAAUGGUCCUGCCUCUUUCAAAUCAAACAAACCCGUCCCUAAACUAUAUGUUUUUUUUUGCAGUUUUAGUCCUACCUCUUAUUUUCAACUCCAGAAACGCAGAGAAAUGACCGUUUUAGACCUACCCCCUAUGCUCAGCCAUGAAAUAAAGAAGGAAUAAAGCAUGUGGGUACAAUGAAUCCACUUUAUUCAACACACUAACCAAAAAAUCCUAAUUUCUAAGAUAUGUUUCAAAUUAGGGUUUUUUUAGAUAGAGUAGAUUCUUUGUAUCCACAUGCUUUAUUCCUUGUUUAUUUCAUGGUUGAGCAUAGGGGAUAAGUCUAAAACUGCCUAAAACUGCCAUUUCUCUACGUUUCUAGAGUUAAAAAAUAGAAGGUAAGACUAAAAAUGUAAAAAACAUGAUAGUUUAGGACGAUUUUGUUCGAUUUGAAAGAGGCGGGACCAUUUUCGUGAGCUGAUCAAAAUGCGAGGACCAAAAAUGUAAUUAAGCUUUUUUUUAUCAAAUAAACUAAUGGCUGGAGCUCACACAUUUUAAAUAUAAAGAAGUAGGGUGUUCAAAGUCCCUAUAUAUAACAUACAAUGUCCUUAAAAAAAAAAACAUACAAUGUCGCUACAAACUAAGCUAAACACACGGAUAAACCAACUAAUUUUUUUUUUUUCCUUUCUUAAACAACAUAAAUAAAUAAAUAAAGUGGUAUAUAUGGGGUAAAAAUCGAAUCAUGAAUGAUGAAUAUAUUAUAAAUAAAUAAUAAUAAAUAAACAUUGUACCAAAAAUAACAUAAGUAAGAGAUGAAUGUAGAGCCACACAUUGAUUUAUUUCUUUGUCUUUGCAUUGCAAUUGCAACAGAGUGAGUGAGAGAAUUCACACACACUCAGUACAGACCUCGAAGAGCCAUCUAUAUGGCUUCAAUGGCUUCGAUCGGUGUUCUCAAAGUACCUUCUUCUUCAUCCUCAUCUUCUUCUUCAUCAUCAUCCAAAGCCAUUGCACGCAACCUCUCAUUCACUUCAUCACAGCUCUGUGGUGAUAAGAUCACCACAGUUUCAACAAGAAGAAGCUAUGGAUGCAGCAAACCCUUCAUUGUUUCUCCUAAGGCUGUUUCUGAUUCCAAAAACUCUCAGACUUGUCUUGAUCCAGAUGCUAGCAGAGUUAGUUGACUUGUCUUUACUUUUGUUUUCCGACUUUGACUAUUUUUGGUUUGAGUGUAGUGAGAGAUAGAGAAAGUGGGGUAUGUUUGAAAUGAGAAAAAUCAAUCUUUUGUUUGUUUUCGCAAUGUUUUAGCAAUUGGGUAUGCAUAAUUGGAGUUUGUUGAUGAUGGGUUUUCUUGAAUAUUGUAAUGUGUUUUUGGGUUUCUUAAAUUAGAUCAGAUUGGAAAAAUGAUGAGUUUUUGACAUAAAAUUGAAAUUUUAAUUGAGUAAGAUGUUACGUGUUUGAUGGGUUGAGUUUCUUUAUUUGAGUUUUUGUAUGUGGUUGGUUCUGACUCAAUUUGUAUGCUUUUUUAAAUAUGUUUUGUUGAGUUUACCUCAUAUGAUUGAUAAUGUCAAGUCCAUGACAUUAUUUGCAUUAUCACACUAAUUUGAAAUGAUCCAAAUCUAUGAAGCACGGAUAAAGACACGGACAGUGACACGCCGACACCGAUAAUAAUUUGAGAAUAUAACAUAAUUCAAUGGAAUCAUAUGUGUCAUUGUCAUGUCGGUGUCGUACACGGACGCAUGUCCGACACGGGGACACACCUAAUCCAAGGAAUGUCCGUGCUUCAUAUUCAAAAUGCAAACUUGCCUGUUUCCUCAUUGUUUGUGCAAUUGAUUAAUGAUUGUGCAUAGUAGGAGUUUGUUGGUACUUGAUUCACACAAUAUUAUCAUGUGGCCUCUGGCUGCUAGAUUGGUGAAACUUGAUGCUAGACCAAUACAAAGCAAGAACUAUUACAUGGAAAAUGUUAACCCUGUAUUUUUAUUUAGGCAUAUUUGUUAGGAACUAUACUUGAAUUUGGCAGGGUCAGUUGUGAAUGUAAUGUAAUGAUUUUUAUGAUGGUUUUCAGAGUGUGCUUGGUAUUAUACUUGGAGGGGGUGCCGGGACGCGUCUUUAUCCAUUGACCAAGAAGCGGGCAAAACCAGCUGUUCCUCUUGGAGCAAACUAUAGGCUGAUUGAUAUCCCUGUCAGCAACUGCCUAAACAGUAACAUAUCAAAGAUCUACGUCCUCACACAAUUCAAUUCAGCAUCCUUGAAUAGGCACUUGUCCCGUGCAUAUGCGAGCAACAUGGGUGGUUACAAAAAUGAAGGUUUCGUUGAGGUUCUUGCUGCACAGCAGAGUCCUGAGAAUCCAAACUGGUUCCAGGUAAUAAGCAACCUUAUUUAUGUUUUCUAUUGUUACUGUUUAUUGCUAUGAUCACUUAUGGUAGUCUAGAACUAUCUUAUGAUUUUGAAUGCUUUCACUAUUACAGGGAACUGCAGAUGCGGUGAGGCAAUAUUUAUGGCUUUUCGAGGAGCACAAUGUUUUGGAAUACUUAGUUCUUGCUGGUGACCAUUUGUAUCGAAUGGAUUAUGAGAGAUUUAUACAAGCACACAGGGAAAGUGAUGCUGAUAUCACUGUUGCUGCAUUGCCAAUGGAUGAAGCACGUGCCACUGCAUUCGGUCUAAUGAAGAUUGAUGAAGAGGGGCGUAUAAUUGAAUUUGCCGAGAAGCCAAAAGGAGAACAGUUGAAAGCUAUGAAAGUGAGGCCAUAUAAUAUGCUCUAUUUUUAUGUUAUUAUUUGUUCUUUAGUUGUAACUGCUUAAAGAUUUCUGCUAUGACUUUUCUGUAUUAGGUUGAUACUACUAUUUUGGGUCUCGAUGACGAGAGAGCAAAGGAAAUGCCUUAUAUUGCUAGUAUGGGUAUAUAUGUUGUAAGCAAACAUGUGAUGCUAGAUCUGCUCCGCGACAAGUUUCCUGGUGCAAACGACUUUGGGAGUGAAGUUAUUCCUGGUGCAACUGAACUUGGGAUGAGAGUAAGAAUUCCUUCUAUCUGUUCAAUACAAAGAAAAUGUGUAUAGUUUUGCUAGAAAAGUUUUUCAGAUCUUUAGCAACUGUAUCAUUGACGUAUUUGUGAAUCUGCUUAGGUGCAAGCUUAUUUAUACGAUGGAUACUGGGAAGACAUCGGUACAAUUGAGGCUUUCUAUAAUGCAAAUCUGGGAAUCACCAAAAAGCCAGUACCGGAUUUUAGGUAAGUCAAUGUUUGGCCUUUUAUUUAUUCAUCCUACUGUCUGUUUUAUUUUAACCAUAAUAACAGUCAGCUUGUGUUUAAUGUUUGUUGGGACAUUGGUUGCAGUUUCUAUGAUCGUUCAUCUCCAAUCUACACCCAACCUCGGUAUUUGCCUCCAUCUAAGAUGCUUGAUGCUGAUAUCACCGAUAGUGUUAUUGGUGAAGGAUGUGUAAUUAAGGCAAGCUUUUCCAAAAAUUUCAUAUUUUUCCUUAGUCCAUUGUUACUAGUAUGGCACAAAUUUGUACAUUUCUUGGCAAAGAUAUCUAAAUGAAUGAGACUAGUUAAUUUUUUGAAAAACAACCUUAUUUUCAAUAUUUUGUUCCACAGAACUGCAAAAUUCAUCAUUCUGUGGUUGGGCUGCGAUCUUGCAUAUCAGAAGGUGCAAUUAUUGAGGACACAUUGUUAAUGGGGGCAGAUUAUUAUGAGGUAACAUUGCUAAAUAGCUGUCACAUUGUUAAGUUAAUAGGAAUUGACUUUAGUUUGACUAGAAGUGCUAACUUCAGUAUUGGUUUUCUGAUUGGUGUGCUGCAGACAGAUGCUGAUAGGAGGUUUUUGGCUGCUAAAGGCAGUGUUCCGAUUGGUAUUGGCAAGAAUUCUCAUAUCAAAAGGGCAAUUAUUGACAAGAAUGCUAGAAUUGGAGACGAUGUGAAGGUUAUAUACAGUCUCAUCAGAAUUUUUUUCUCAAUCAUAUUCUUUCUUUCCAGUCUAAACUGCACUGUUCUCUCUUUUUUCCCUAUCUUGCUCCACAUGCAUGCUGGAAGAGUGAGGGAGAUGGGGUUUACAAAACUAACUUUUUGAUAUUUAAUCAAGUUUACAUGGAAAAACAUUCACUCAUAACUUUCAUCUUGUUUCAAUUCUCAGAUCAUUAACAGUGACAAUGUGCAAGAAGCUGCAAGGGAAACCGAAGGUUAUUUCAUAAAAAGUGGGAUUGUCACAGUAAUCAAGGAUGCAUUGAUUCCAAGUGGAACUGUCAUCUAAAGUCCUCUCUAGUCUCAACUAUUUCCUCUUGCUGCUGUGCAACACCUCAUUUUCACUGCUGGAAGGUGUUACAAGAACAGCUCUGCUUCCGCGCUGGUUUUCUGGUGCACAUUAUAUUUGGCUCGAAAGUAUAUAGAGUAGAAGACUCUUUUGGUAGUCAUGAUGUAAAUUUAAUUAUUCGGUCAAAUAAAAGCUUCUUUAGUCUGCAAUGCAUGCUCUUUUGUAGUUUAUCAGAAGGGUGGAAUAAUAUUCACUUAAAACAAUGAAAAGGAAUACAAUAAAAGCGUUGGACACUAGCUUCUGCUGAUGUAAUUUGCUUCUUGUAGGUCUUUCAAGACCUUUUUCUUUUCUAUUUCAACUCAACUAAUAGAUAUUAAUUCACCUUUUGUAACUUUCUAAGACACUUGGCCAGUUAAUUUGUUAUGCAUACCUUUUGCUAAGUGGAGUGAGGGCAGAACAGAAAAUAUAAUUGAGCCAGAGAAUAGAUAUGUUAAUCAUAUUUCUUUAUCUUGAUUAUUGGAAUGCUCUCCAACGACGGAUGGAAUAUAAAUUGAAUUUUACGAACCCAGUUGAUAAAAUUUUGUUUAGGUCAGAGAAAGAAAACUAUUGAGAAAAUGACUUUGUUAUAGGGACACUGAUAAGUUGUUUGAUGCUUGAGUUUUCGUUAGUGUUACAAGUUUCAACAUCUUUUGAAACAUGCAACGAUUCCUAAAAUUCAGUUGUAGUCCCAUAUUCAAAAUGACGUGUUUUUAUUUUCCAAUUUUUUAUGUAUGCUGAUUUUCAUGAUCUCUGAAUAUUUCGUUAGAAUUCCCUUUGAUGUUUUUGCUUCAAGGGAAUGCACAUUCCCACAAAAUAAAGGAACACAAAUGACAUUUAAAAUCAGAGACAAUAACAAAAAUUUAAGACCCGAAAAACAUAUUUAAUCCAAAAAUUUACAUUAUCAAUGUGUAAUUACACAAGAUUGUUUUGCUUCUAUAAAGAUUACUAGUUGUUGAGAGAAUUUUAGCCAUUUUAUAACAUCAUGUGUUUGCCAACUAUUUAGACUAUCAUUUAAGUUCAAUUUUUACCUCUAUUGAACCAGUGUAUCACAAAUUCCUUUGUUCGAAUAUUCAGCGCAUCAUAUGACUUCAAAAACUAAAAGUUGGUGAUUAAAUUUUCCGAACUAGGAUAUUUAGUUAAUAGAAUAUCCCAUUUUCACAGUUCUUCGUACAGUUGAUAUAAUUAAGUCAGAGGUAAAUUGAAAUGACUUCGAACACAAUUAUUGGAGGCAAUCAAUUAUAUACAUAGAACUCCAUAAAAAACAUGACUAGGUCAUCAAAUUUCAUUAGCAACUCCUAUCCUUCCUCCACUUUUUGCUGUAAUGUAAUCAAAACUCCCCUGUUGGUUGUUACCGGUAAGUAACUCAGGUCUGCACAACUUCUACUUGCAUCCUGUGUAGCAAAACGGUUAUUAUUUCAAAUAAUCUAAAAGAAGUUCAUAGUCAUCUAAAUCAUAAUCUUAUGGCUACAUUUCUGUGAAUAUUAGUUGAAACAUGCAUUUUGAAUAUAAAGCUACUAACUUCUAUUAUUUCAGGCAAUGUAACCCGAGGGUGAGUGUGGUAAAAAGGAGAAAAAAGGAGAAAGUAUGUUAAAAUACUAAUAACAGUUUAAUGGUUCUUUCAGACAAUAAAGAGGAAAGGAAACCUUCAGUCACUAUCAAUUUUUUUUAGGGAAAACAGAAUUUAGCUAGGGAAUGGAGGACGGAGACAGACGAAUACAGUUGGAAUAAAGGAAAAAAAAAACUAGAUGAAACAAAAGAGCAUUUGCAACUGGCACAUAUGCAAAGAGAAAAAAAUUCUUUAUUGGGUCGCCGCUCAAUGUGAGAAAGAAAAGGGUGAAAAGGAUCUGAAUACACCUCUCAAGGAAAAUUAGAGAGCUGUUUCUUACUCUCCCACUUUCUCUUCACAAGUUUUUCACCCCUCUACCACUUCUCUAGCCCUCCCUUAUACUCCUUCCCCCUCCUAACUGUUAUACAGUUCAGUCAUAACAGCCUACAACUAUUUCUCCCAACUACUGAACCGACUUCUAGAAGGUGUAAUGGUACAAGUAGGUAGCAUUAUCCCCAAUUUCUCAUCAUAUUCUUCAUAUCAUACAGCCUCUUUUACCAAUGGUCUUGUAUAAAGAAGCUACAUACUAAGGCCUUCUAAUAACAAAUCCCCAGACAAAUGUCAAAACAAGUUCGCAAGCUGAAAACUUGCAUGUUCCUCUCCAACAAAAGGCACAAGAUGAUUGCAUAAAUGAAUAUCAUGAAAUAAUCCUCUCAUUUUCACAAAAUACUUAAUAUAGAAUCGUCAAAAAGGUACUCAAGAAUACUAAAAUGAUUGUUCCAAAGAAAUUAGAAAAGUGAUUAUUUUCCAACGCAGGAAAAAAUGCCUUACUCUUUAGGAGUUCAUUUUGAAUAUUAAGCAAACAUCACAUCAGAAUAGAGGGCCCUGUCGUACUUUAAAUAUGCAGUAACUAAAAGUCAUCAGUGUUACUUCGAUUAACAAGACUGACAAUACCCUAUGAAAGUGUGUGGCAGACAGUAUGUGCAUACGAGAGCAAAAGUGUAAUGAAAUAUCAAGGUGGGUGAGUGGAUGCAUAGAAAAAAGAUGAAUUGUAAAUAAUGCAUCUGAAAGAAAGUUGGAAGAACACCUAUUAAGAAGAGACAAAAACAUUUUCCCCAAAAAAAAUUCUUUUGUAUGUUUGUUUAUCCAUGAAAUUUCCAAUAAAGCUACCUCAUAGCAGAAAACCCAAAGUUUCCAGGACAUACGAUACAAUAUAAAACAAGAAAUAAUGAAAUAUAACCUAGAAAUUCACUAAUUAUAAAUAUCAGUUGUAUCUUGGUAAUUUAACCUUGCUUGGAGGUAAUUUUCCUCCAUUUAUCCUUGAGAUCAACAGGAGUACGAGUCUUAUCAAACACGCAGCAACCAAAUUCUAAAAUUUUCCUCCAAGGUAUAUUCUGAUCUUCUGUUGCAAACUUCAACACUCCUUCCUGCAAUGCAAAAAAUAAAAGUAACUAUUAAUUGAGAAAUGAAGACCUUGAGCAGUUAUAAUAGCUAAGAUGAGUGUAGUUCUUGCCCAGUGGUAUGAGUUUGGGACACCAAAAGAGUAAUACGUAGAUUUAAGAUCUGAUCCAUGCUACUUACAAAUCCCCCUCCCCCUGACAAAUUAACCACCAAGAAUUUUCCUAUAGAAAAUAAAGCUAAGACGAAUACUCUAUACCUUGAUCAAAUGUAAGCAUACCAUAAUUGAUUAUAUCUGCUUUACAACUUUAACGUUCAUAACAAUUUCUGAGAAACUUAAAAUGUUUACCAGGAAGUUUUAAACUAACAACAACAACCAAGCCUUAUCCCACUAAGUGGGGUCGGCUACAAGGACCAAAUUACGCCAUAAUGUUCGAUCAUAAAAGAGAUGGAUCAUGCAUUGUUCUUUCCGUAAUUAAACCAGAAGCCAUCCAAAAUCAAGUCAGAAGUAAAGGAAUUAAAUUAGAGCAUGAUAUCAAUAAGGCAUUGCAAUGAAAACCUUGAGAACUUUUUCUUCUUCAGCUGUCCAAUUCAAUCUCUUACGUUUUCCAGUCAGUAUAUUCUGCUUCGUGCUGCAGUAAAAAACAAUAACUCAUUUACACAACCAACAAUACCUAAAGACAAAUCAACUCUCCAUCAAAAUAUCAGCUCUAUUCUACAAAACACUGACAGAAAAAACGGAUAUCAAAUACAACACUGACACGUAGACACGAGUAAUAAGCUGAUAAAAUAGAACUGAUCGAAUGACGAAUAUAACCACAUUUGGGGUCUGUUUGGUAAGCCACAUAUUCGAGCUUAUAGCUUAUGUCUUAUAAGCUCAUUUGAUUAAAAAAGACACGUUAGGUAACUGUCACUUUCUCACGAGCUUAUAGCUUAUUUUUACUAGCUUAUAGCAAUUUUUAAUAAGCUAAUUCAAGUAGCUUAUAGCUUAUCAUAUUUUUAUCACAAUUUUACCCUUGUAGCCUUAAUUGAAAAAUAAUUAAACAUUAAUUAAAUAUAUCUUAUUUAUGUCAUUUCAUACUUAUAAACUAGUUCAACCACUAAUGCUAUCAAACACUAAAAUUCAAUCAUCUAGCUUAUCUGCUAAGCUAGCUUAUCAGCUAUCCACUAUAAGUUCAUUCACUAUAAGCUAGCUUAUCAAGCUAUUCGCUAUUUUUUUACCAAAUAGAGCCUUAUCACGCCUUCAAUCUAAAGUGUCAGUGCUACAUAAGAUAUAACUACUACUACUACUACUUAAUUGGUGUUUACAUGAGAAAUUAAACUAAAAUUGAACAAAUCAACAAAAACAUGAAUAAUCAAAUUUCACAUUCAUUGAACUUCAGGUUGAUGAAUGACUCACACUCGCUUUCGUAGACUUGAAGUUCUGGAGCUAGUAACUUCCUCCUCGUCUAUGUCAUCACCACCACCACUACCACCACCACCACCACCAUUUUUCCGUUCCCUGAGCAAUGCUUUUUUCACAGGAGCAGCCUUACGUUUAACACUGGCACGAACUUUCUUCUCCGCCACCGAAACCUCAUAAUCAGAAUCUUUAGUUUCACUCACUGAACUACCUGAUACAGAAACCUUUUCUUCAUCGUUUUCCUUAUCAUUAUUACUUUCCUCUUCAGAAUGAGAAACUUUUGGUUCAUCCACUUCCGGUUCAUUCGCUUCCGGUUCAUUCCGGUUUACAUGAUCCUGAACCGUUUCCGGUUCUGGUUCAACAGGUUGCUCUUCCUUAUCCUUAUGCACUGUUUGGUGUUUUUCUAAAAAGCUAGAAAGGGCUUUCUUCGCUAGAACCGCUUUUUCUCUUAACUCUCGAGUUUUCUUCAACGCGCGCUUGUACGCACAAUAAGGACAAAAGAAGUUUCCAGAAUCAUCGAAUUUAGGUUCGGAACCGAUGCAAGUGACGUGGACAGAAACGGGGCAAUCGGUUUGGGAACAUACGAGCAAUUCGCCUCCGAGUUUGUUGCAGGUAAUGCAAAUGUUAUCGUCUAAGGAAUCAACGGGUACGGUUUCGGGAACGGAAUCGGGAAAUGGAGUGUGAGUGUGGUGGUUGUCAUCGCCGUCGCUGUUGCUGUUGUAGACGGUUGCAUUGUGGUCGUCGUUGGUGGUGGAGAGGAGAGGAAUGGGAGAGGCGGUUGAAGGUGUUAUACUACGGCGGUGGCGAAUACCGCUGACGACGGAUUUUUUUCUCAUCGCUCACAAUUCUUGUGCUUUUUCAGAGGGAAAAAGACGAAUGAUUCUAAAACCCAGAAAAACACCCAAAAAUAUUUUAAAAAUAUGAAUUAUUGUUUUUAAUAAAUUUUAAUGAGAAUUGCUAAGGACACACCACUAACACUCUCUUAUAACACACAUAUCAAUGACAAUUAACCACAUCACCCGCUUAUUUUAAUUCCUUGACUGGUAACCGGUACUAGAGGUUGCUAAAUGACAUUUUUUAUUUUAGGGUUAAUAGGUUUUUAUCCCCCUGCCAUUUGGGCGUCUUUUGGUUUACCCCCCUAUGAAAAAAAACUUGGAGAUUCCCCCCUGUAAAAUAAAGAUUCUUUGGUUUACCCCCCUACAGCCAACAGUCAGCAUCUGACUGGAUAAAUUUAAUGAUUUGGCAUGCUGACUAUGUAACGAUGGGUGACGUGGCACUGCCACAUCAUAAUUUUUUAUUUUUAUAAAAAUGGAUUUUAGAUGAAAUACCUAAAAUACCCUUAAUGAUAAAUUAAAAAAAAAAAAAAAAACCAUUUCUUUUUCUCUCUUCUUCUCUGCGUAAAUCCCCUUCUCUUCUCUCCCAUCUUCUGUUUUUGUUCUUCCUUUUCUUCUUCUUGAACUUCUCUUUCAUUAACAACAUCAUCUUUUUGUUCUUCAUUUUCUUCUUAUUGAACUUCUCUUUCAUUAACAACAUCAUCAAAUCUAAAAGGGGGAAGGAAUUUCUGUCAACUUUAAAUUAAACCACAGCCCUCUUUUCAUAAACAACACAACAACACAAAUCUAAUAUUUCAUUAAAAAAAUCCAAACAUAAUAACACAACCGAUCCAUGUCGAAUUUUUGUGCUUUCUUGGUUUUUUCUUCUUCUUUAUUCAUCCCUUUUUAUUUUUUGGUUUGUGAUUUGUAUAACAAAAGGAUUAAGAACCCAUAUUGUAUGUUUGUGUUUGAGAAGAAGUGGAAUGCCUAUGUUUGAGAUUUGGAGAAGAAAAUGGGUUGUUUGUGUGUUGUUGUUGAUUGAAUCCGAUUCAACCCAUUCAAAUCCGAAUUCGGUGGUGGAUUUGGAGAAGAAAAUGAGUUGUUUGGAUUUGUCAAUGACUUUUACGGCGACGGUUGGUAUUUGCCGAGGAUGAUGUGUAACGGCAGUGAUGGUGGCGGUGACGGUGGUGAUUGUUGCCACCGUUUCAUUUUGUUUGGUGAGAGAGGAAAAGAGAGAAAUGGGACUGUGUGUUUGUGGAGGGUGUUUUCUGAUUUUUUUUUCUUCUAGGUUUUGUGAAGUUUUUAGGUUGAAGAUGUUGUGUUGAUGAUGGUGAAGAACAGAAGAAGAGGCUCGAUUUAGGAGAAGAGAAAAAAAUUUUGGAAUUUUUAAUUUAUCACUAGGGGUAUUUUAGGUAUUUCACGUUUUAAACAUACUUUUAAAAAUUAAAAAUUAUGACGUGUCAGUGCCACGUCACCCAUCGUUAAACAGUCAGCAUGCCAAAUCAUCAAAUUUAUCCAGUCAGAUGCUGACUGUUGGCUGUAGGGGGGUAAACCAAAGAAUCUUUAUUUUACAGGGGGGAAUCUCCAAGUUUUUUUUUCAUAGGGGGGUAAACCAAAAGACGCUCAAAUGGCAGGGGGGUAAAAGCCUAUUAACCCUUUAUUUUAUUUUACUGCAACUCAUCGUUUGUCUAUGAAUUAAAAAACAAAGACAAAAGAUCUAAAACUUCUUCCAGCCUGUCCACUGCUCCUUUCCAUCCGAUCUGUCCAUUGCUCAUGCCAUCCUUCUCUGCCGCACAAGAUCUAUAUCUUUCUCGUUUGAUUUGACCCAUCUCGUCUCUUUUUCAUUCCGAUCUUGUCUUCGUUUUCUCAUUUUAUUGAUUUUGUUGGGGUGGAGAUUGCACGAUUCAAAUUUAGUAAAGUUUUAUUUGUUUGAUUGAUAAAAUCUAAAGAAUGCUUUUGCACAUUAUAUUGAAGGCUUAAACUCACUUUUUACCCCCUAAGUUUGCAAAAGUUGCAAUUUUGGCACCCUAUUAGAAAAAAUGGCAAAAGCUACCCCCCAUGUUUUCCCCCUUUUGCAAAACGUCGAUUUUGACCGAGUCAACCAUAUGUGGCAUGCCACAUGUGUAAAUUUUUAAUUAAAAAAUAUUAAAAUUGUCACGUGUGUAUCUUUUGAAUUAAAAAAAAAUAAAAAAUGGAGAGGCACGUGAGUGAGAGAGUCUCUAUGCUCUCUCUUCUUUCUUUUCCUCCCAAUUCUUUCUUCUUCUUCCUUCUUUCCUAAUUGCCGCCUCCCUCUUCCCUUUUUCCGGCCAUCCAACAUGGUGCUUCCAACCAUCCUUUGUCAAACAAAAUACAUAAUAUUUAUUCACCCUUCCUUCUCUAUCUCAUCAUAAAUUUAUUUUUGGAUUGAAGAUAUUUUGAGUUUUCAAACCACCACCUUCAUUGUUAGAUCUAGACCACCACAAAACGUUUUUCGACAAAUUGCCACAAUAAAAGUACUCUCCUUCGUAUUCCCUACAAAACCCACAAAAAAUCAUGUUUGGAUGACAUUUCUCCGACGACCACCGCACCGGAAAACAUCACCACCACGCCGGAAUUUAAAUCUAUUGUUUUCAGUUUGUUUUCCAGAAGCUACACUUCUUAUGACAGUUGCCGAUGAUGAACUGCUACCUUUUUCCAUGGAUUGCUUCUCAGUGUUGAUAAUUUUAAUAAUUUGCAAGUCUUGGUUAGGAAAGAAGGAAGAGGAAGAAAGAAUUGGAAGAUUUUUUUUUUGCAAAAUGCAUUCUUUCCAGCAUUAUGGACAAAAGAAACAACAAUGGUGUUAUGUUCAUUCACUCACGUGCCCUCUCUUCUUAAUUUUAAUUUUUUAUUUCUUUAAUUAUACAUGUGGAAUUUAUGGAUUAAAAAAAAUAAAAAAUAAAAAAUAAAAUAUCCAGGUGGCAUGCCACAUAUGGUUGACUCGGUCAAAAUCGACGUUUUGCAAAAGGGGGAAAACAUGGGGGUAACUUUUGCCAUUUUUUUAAUAGGGGGUAAAAUUUGCAACUUUUGCAAACUUAGGGGGUAAAAAGUGAAUUUAAGCCUAUUUUGAAAGGGUACAACUUAUACAAAAACUUAGGGUCUUUUUGGGAAACCCAAAAAAAGAGCUUUUAGCUUUUAGCUUAUAGCUUAUAAGCUCGUUUGACAAAAAAAGCUCUGUUUGGUAAUACUUUUUCACCAUGAGCUUAUAGCUUAUUUCACGAGCUUAUAAGCUAUUUUUCAGAAGCUAUUCCAAGUAGCGUUUGAGCUUAUAGCUUAUAGCUUCUCACUUUUUCUUCCAAUUUUACCCUUAUUAUUUCAUUUAAAUUGUAUUUUUAUCCAUUAUAAUUUUUAUAAUUAGUUACGUAAUAAAGACUACUAUCCCUUUAUUCCAAUUUUUGUAUAUAUAUCAACUGGCCUUUUUUUUUUUUUGGAAAAAAUAUAUACCUUUGUUUUUUUUUACGAAACAAAAUACUAUUAUUCUAUUAGUGUUACUUUUUUUUUUUUUUUUGAGGUAAGUGUUAUUUUCUUUAUUCUCUGUUAUUAGUAUUACUCUAUUAGUGCUACCUUUUUUUUUUUUUUUUUUUUUGAGGUAAAUGUUAUUUCCUUUAUAAAGUAGAAACACUUAAAUGAUAAUAAAUAUAAGAUAAAAUUUUAGUGAAUAAAAUUUAAUUUAAUUUAUAAUACAUAUGAUAUAUUAAAUUAAUAAAUUUAAAGUAUUUUUUUAAAGAAAAAUUAGUUUACAAAAUUACAAAUACUUAAAUUAAUGAUAUAAUUUUUAUUAUGAAUUAAGAAUACCCUUUAUGUCAUUUUACAUUUAUCAGCUAGUUAAACCGCUAUUUUUACCAAACACUUCAGUUAGCUUAUCAGCUAAAAGCUAUCAGUUAGCUUAUCAGCUAUCCGCUAUUUUUACCAAACAGAGCCUUAGAGAUUGAAAAGUAUGGUUACGUUCCAUUAUUUUUUUCUCUUAUGCAUCUUUUGUUUUGUUUUGCUUUAUGAAAGCAAACCAUUUCUGUGAAGUGACCCAGUUUUGUGGGAAGUUGAGUGCAGUGCAGAAGAUGAACAAUUAAAAUCUUUAAUAAUAAUAAAAAUAAAAUAAAUGGAAACACUCACAAGGGUGAAACUGGUUUGUAGGUAAAACUAAUUAAAAGAGUUGAUGACAUGGUGGAUCGUUAUUGGAUGUGUUAAAAGAGAGUGUUAGUGGAUUUAGGGUUUAGGCAAAUCACAUUAAGUGAAACUUGCCAAACAAGCUAAAGAAUUGACACGGUCCAAUAGAUGUGUAACGAGUUGUCAAAAUAAUAUAUCAAUGAGUAAACAGUCAAUUUUCCUCUUGAAAUCGUAAGUUUCGCCAAUUCCCCUAUGAAAUUAACAAAACUUCAAUUACCCCCCUAAAAUUGCAUAACGUUAAUCAAUUUACCCCCUCCGUCAAAUUUUUCUGUUAGCUGUUUACGGUUAAGAUCAAAUACCCCCUCUGAAAUUUUGCACUUAUGUGCAAAAUGCCCCUUAAACUUGAUUUUUUUUUUUUAUCCUUGACUCAAAAGAUAUUAAAGGCAAACAAUUAACAAUUAUUGAUCAUAUAAAUCUUUAUGGAAUGUAUGUUUAUGCAGCUAUUGGUCAUAUAAAUCUUUAUGGAAGAUAUAUUACUCUCAUGUGUUUUAAAUAUAUAUAUAUAGAAGAUUUUUUUUUACACAAGUUGGUAAUUAUGUUAGAGUAUGCAAUCAUAAAGUAUACAAGUCUUUGAUAAUUGUGUAUCCAUAAAGAAAAUUCAUAGGUUAAUAUCUGCAUAAGGAAGAAGAAACAAGACUUAGGUUUGUGAAUUUGCAACUUAAUUAAUGAUAUAAUUUUUAUAAUGCAGGAAAUGUCAUAUCUAUUAGCUGCAACAUGUUAAAUAGAUUAUGUCAUAGACCUUCUGCAUGAAGCCGGUAUAUCACAUUGUACUACAAAGUUAUGUGAUAGAUAUUAAUUUUCUGCUGCUAUGACAUUCUUGUCUUGGUUUAUUUCAACAACUUGAUAUCUUUUUAAUGUUUGGUUUUUAGUUUUACCUUCUUUGUAAAAAAUUUAUUUUGCUCCUUGUUGAUAAAUAUGAAAUAUAAAUGAAAAGACUACACAUGACAAAACCAUGAUUUCUUUGGCAUAUAUUCAUUCAUUUUCUUGUGAAUAGAAUUUUUAUGACAAUAGGUACAAUAUAUUACUUGAAGAACAAAAUGUAUGAUUUUUGGUAAAAAAAAAUCUAAAAUUUUAAGUUUAGAGGGCAUUUUGCACAUAAGUGCAAAAUUUCAGGGGGGUAUUUGAUCAUAACUGUAAACAGUUAACAGAAAAAUUUGACGGAAGGGUAAAUUGAUUAACGUUAUGCAAUUUCAGAGAGGUAAUUGAAGUUUUGUUAAUUUUAGAGGGAUAAUUGACGAAACUUAUAAUUUCAGGAGGGAGAUUGACUAUUUACUGAUAUAUCAAUAUAUCAUAAAAAGUUGAUUUAUUGAAUAAUUUUUGAAUGUGUAACGGGUAGUUAAUUUGAAAAUGUAAUUUUUACAAAGUAGUCUUGUAUAAUACUUUGGAUUCCAAAAUAAAUUGUCACAUUAGAUAUCAAUCUAAAAUUUAGAUCCGAGCAAAUGUUAUAUUGUUUGCAACGUCUAUCAUAGUUUGCAACAAAACAUAUCCUUUGAUUGUUUUUUUUAAGGGCGGUCAUUUCUAUACGGCUUACCAAUGAAGGAUUAUUUGAUUCGACGUGGAAAUAUACCGUAUAACUAUUAUCUGUUCGGAUGGCUAUGUGAAGGAGGAGAGCGUUGAUCAUGUAUUUGUGGGAUGUGGUUUUUACGGUAGCAUAUGGUCUCUGAUUUGGCAACAGAAGUUUAUGAGGUGAUUCUAGAAAAAUUCAGCUUUUGAAACAUUUGAUUUGGUUGGCUCGUAUAUGUGUUCUCUAAAAAGAAAGGAAUUGUAGCAUUUUUCAGCAAAAUCAGUUGCCCUUACAUCAUCUAUGUGAUAAAGUGAAACUUCUAUUUUGUGGUGGUUGAAAUCCAAACACAAACACUUAACUUUGAUUUUCAUCAGUGAUGGAUAAAUCCCUUCUUCUGAAGUUUGAACCUUGUUACCUUGCUAGAACCAUGUUUUGCUUCCUAGCUAGGUGUUUCAUUGUUUAUUUCUUGUAGUUGUUUGGUUUGUAACAUAACUUCAUAUUUUUUUGAGUCUUAGCUUUGCACUCCUUUUGCAUGUUAGGAUCUCCUCUUCGUUUAAUAUAUUUCAAUUUAACUUCUUAAAAUAAAAAUAUUAGAUAAGAUUAAUUUCUAUAUAUCUUCCAUGAUUCGUUUAUAAGGAAUUUAUUUUAAGUCUCAUAAACUACAAAUAAGUGUUUUCAUAUUGUCACAUCAUACUUAUGCAACUCAUACAUAUUUUGCUCCAAUAGUAAAUAAUUAAUUAAUUUAUUUCUACUUAAUCUUGUUUCAAAUUCAAAUAUUAAUUAAUUUAUUUCCAUAACGUCAUAUCUUAUUAAGAUACUUACAAUUUUUAUGAUACAAAACAUCACCAUUAAACUCAUUAGUUUAUUAGAAAUUAAUAGUUCAAAUCUUUUUCUUUACGGUAAUAAUAAUCCAAAUCUUAAUAGUAUAUAUAGUAUGUAAUGAAAUUGUUAGUUGAUUAGGUGCUUUGUUUUUAUUUAAAAUAAAAAUAAAAAUUGCAUUGUUUAGAAAAUAAGAGAGAACUAGGCUAUGUUUGCGCCAUCAGAGCCACGUCGAUAAUGAGUUUUGAUGAAUUCUUAAUCUCUUCUACGAACUUAGAUCUAAAACAAAAGGCAGAUUCUAUGACCAAAGAACAAGAAAAUAUAAUUUGUUAGUUAAACUUCUCUUAAUAAAACUUGUUUAUUAUCUGCAUCCGUUUGAGUUAACUCCCCUUCUGAAUAUUCAUCCACAUAUAAGUUGGUUUGGACAAUGGAAUUGUGAAAGGUUAGUUUAUACUUUAUGUUUUAAUUUCAUUUUUCUUCUAACUUUCCACUUUCCACAAUUAUUAAAUGUAUAAACUUGUGAAUUGUGAUGAUAUUUUGUCACGUUCUAAUUGUUUUCAUGCAGGUGUUAGUUUUUUUAUCAUUCAUUUGGUAAACAUUUCUACAAAGAAGACGUGAAAUUUUGAAAACAAUAUGAAGAGGGCUAUCUCGGUACGUCGUAACAUUUCCUUAAUUGCUAACUUACAUGCAUUCUAUGUUGAUGUCUAAUUGUAAGUACGGUAUAGAUACACAUUCUCUUUAUUUCUCAAAAGAAAUCGAAGACUCAGUCCCGUGACUAUAAUCGUGUAUAUAAAAACUUAAUGUAUGUCACUAAUUCAAGAUAUGUUUUUAUACACACAAUUAUAUCAAUGCAUUUUUCUACUUUAUUUUUUUUUGUUGGCUUUCGCACCGGUUUCCGACUUUGGUGGACGACUAAUCUGGCUCAUGCGCACUGGCCAAACGUUGUUCCCCUUGGAAAUCUAAUCCGAUAUUCCACGGGUACGUCCUUGGAAGAAGCUCCUUGCCACUGGAGCCCAAGCAACUUGGUUUACUUUCUUUAUAUAGUUAGGAAUAUCAUGUGUUAAGAAAGAUAUGGUUGUGCAGGUGGGAUCUUUAGAGGGAAGAGGUGUGAUAGAACUCGAAAACGCGAGCUUACUUAAUCCUUCUUCAUUUCCUAAAAAAGAUGCAUCAUUUGGAGAAGAAGAUUCACCAAUUGAUCAUGAGUAUAGGAAUUUCUCACAGGAUGUAAUAAAAAUUAAGAUGCUUAGUAGCAUAAAACUUGUAAUCCUUUCAACCAAGAUAAACUUACUCCUGCCUUUUGGUCCCAUGGCAAUUUUGGUAGAUAAAUUGUUUCAUAGUCAUGUAAGUUUCUUUGUUCAUUUGAUUGCUAAAUAUUCAAAUUCAAUUGUAAAUCAUGCUACAUUUGAUUUCUUCAAAUGUGUUUCAGGGUUGGGUCUUUCUUUUUAGCUUAUUAGGCAUUAUACCCUUGGCAGAGCGUUUGGGAUAUACGACUGAGUAAGUAAUUCAAAAUUUCACGCUUAAGAGUUUUAACGUUGCUGCAUUCCUAGAGUUGGAUUCGGACCCAGGAUACUAAACAUUUAUUUUAAUUUUUUUGUUGUUGAUGGAUACUAAGCAUUUAAUUGCACAUAAAACUGUUGCUAACUUUGUUUUUACUAAAAUAUUAAGAGUGGGAAUAAUUUUGUGAUGUAAGUAUUGCAACUAAAAUAAAAACCUUAUUAUAAUCAUCAUUCAUAACACCUUAAUUCUUACCCCUCUUUUGUGAAGAAGAUGAAAAAAUGUGACAUUUAUUCUGUUUUCUCAUUAUUAUUUUGGUAUGCAUGUUGUAAUAAGAUCAAUCAUAUGUGAUGUUUAAUACAACAUGCUCAAAUGGAAUUUCAUAGAAACUUAGUUUAAGAAUUUGAUUAUAAUGGAAAUUUUGGUCUUCCUUUGAUGCAGGCAACUAGCUUUCUUUACUGGACCUGCGGGUAAUCUUAGGUUUCCCUUCAAUUACAUCCUAAUUUGUUUAACUUUGUGCAAAUCUGUUCAUUGAAAUUCUUCUGAAGUAGCACCACUGCUAUAGACAUUUAGGGAUGUUAAUUUGCACCUAUAAACGAGAAUCUCCGAGGAAUUUAAGUGUUUUUGCCAAUACUCGCUAACAUAAUCGUUAGCAGCCUAUUUUAAUUACUUCAUUUCCAAUAUGACUUUGUGUUGCAGUUGGUGGUCUUUUAUACGCCACAUUUGGAAAUGCAACAGAAUUAAUUAUAUCAAUUCACGCCCUCAAAAGUGGAUUGGUUCGUCUUGUUCAACAAUCGCUACUCGGUUCAAUUUUAUCUAACCUAUUGUUAGUGCUUGGAUCUGCAUUAUUUGCUGGUGGAUUAGUAUUUCAUAAGAAGGAACAACUAUUUAACCAUGUAUGGUUUUGUUCAAUUCAAACAAUUUCGCUUUCUCUGAGUUUAUUUUCUUGUAUAUAGCAGAAAAUUGACCUUAACUGAUCAUCAGGCAGAUGCAAACGUGGAUUUCGGAUUAUUAUUGAUGGCGGUAAUGGGACUGUUAUUUCCAGCAAUUCUCCAUGCUACACAAACAGAAUCAGAAUAUGGGACAUCUCAGUUAUCUCUUUCAAGAUUUACUAGUUGCAUUAUGCUUGUGGCAUAUGCUUCCUAUGUAGUGUUUCAAUUGAAGAUUCAGAAGAAUUUAGAACUUUCAGUUCAUGAGGUUAAGCCUUAAUUGUUAGUUAUUAAUGCAAAUAAUGAUAUCCAGGUUACAGCGAGAAUCGUACUAAUAUUAUUUUUGAUCUAUAAUUGUAAUUAAUGAUUUUUAGGACAAGAAUUUCAAUGAAGAUGCUUCAAAUGAUGCAGAAACUCCUGAGAUUUCAAUGUGGGAAUCAAUGAUAUGGAUUUCAAUCUUAACAGGAGGUAUAUCUAUCUUGUCAGAAUACUUGGUUAACACCAUAGAGGUAAAUUAAAAUCUUGUUUAUUUCAUUCCAUUAUAGAGCAUAUAUCUUUUGUUUGAUUUAAUAUUUUUUUUCUUCCUAUUUUCGACUUAAUAAUAGCAUAUUCUUUGUCGUCAAAAAAAUCUUAAUAUUUGUUUACUUUUUCCUUCCUAAUAUUUGUGUUUUUAUGGGAUAAGUUAUUGAAAUAACAUAUAAUAAAAUAUUUUCAGGGGGCAUCAAAACAGUUUCAAAUGCCAGUGUCAUUUCUUAGUGUUAUUCUUCUUCCAGCAGUAGGGAAUGCUGCUGAGCAUGUUGGAUCUGUUAUGUUUGCUAUCAAAGACAAACUUGUAAGUAUUUUGACUACUUACAAGUUUCGUGAUUUUAACAUAUAUGAAAGGUUUUGUUAUAAAUUUAAGGGUAAGUUUUGUAUUAUUUUCCUUUUUUUUAAUGUAAAAAAAAAAAGAAAGAAAGAAAGAAAACAACAUAAAACUUACCAUUAAAAAUGGAUACAUUAAAAUGUCACAUUUAAUUUAUAUGAUGAAAAAAUAAUCUUAAUGAUAAAUGAAUAUGAGAAAAAUUAAGAGUGUGAUUUUCCUCUAUAAUUCACUGGCUCUGUAGGACAUAUCGUUGGGCGUGGCUGUAGGAUCUUCAAUACAAAUAUCAAUGUUUGUGGUAAGAUUUUGUCAACGAAAUUUCUUAUGUUUUUUUGGUUUUUCCAUGGUUUGUUAUAGUGUUUCAUAGUUCCUUAACUGCGGUUUUUACUCUAUUUUGUUAUGAAUCAAGUUUAAUGAAGCAAAACAAAACACAAAUGUGAUUCAGGUUAUAGAACUCUUAGGAAAUGAAAUUGAAUAUAACUGAAUAUUUUGAGAUACAGAUUCUAGCUAACACUCUACUAAUCAUCUUAUUCCAUAUGAAUGGUUAUUACUCCACUCCCUGCAGAUUCCAUUUUGUGUGGUCGUUGGAUGGACGAUUGAAUGUCCUAUGGACUUGAAUUUUAAGCCUUUCGAGACAACUUCACUUUUCAUGUCAGUUAUCAUAGUUGCCUUCAUGUUGCAAGUAAGUCAAUCACUGAACUAAAUUCCUUCUCCGUAAUUUGUUGAGUAUACUACAAAUGAUUUUGUACUAAGUUUUUGUCUUCAGUAAUGUCUUAUAUGAACCACUUAUAUCUUUAUAGACUUGAUCUUUACUGUGUUAGGACUAUUAGUGUUAAUUGUUUAGUUAGUCCUUACUUGGCACGUUACUUGUAAUACAAGUAAGAACAGAGACAAUUAAUCCCUUGUGUAAUUGGCUAUAUAUAUGCCAUGAUAGUAUCAAUAACAAGUGGAUAAUCACAUUUAAACCUUACAACUUGAACUUUGUUUCGAAAUGCAGAAUGGAACUUCAAACUACUUCAAAGGGAUUGUGCUUAUUCUUUGCUAUUUGAUAGUUUCUGCAAGUUUUUUUGAACAUAUUGAUCCUAUGUUAGUUGGUGAGUAAUGAAACCCUUCCUUCAUCUUAAAUAGAAUAUUUGAAUUCAAUUGUAUAUGGUUUUAUAAAGUAUAAGCUCUCAGUGUUUCAUUAAAAGCUCCAAAUUUUAUAUUUUUCAGAAGAUAAUCCCUCGACUGCCGGUCCAUAAGAAUCAGUUGCCUUUAAGGUCUCUCUUGUUUUCUUUUCUCCCAUUUCUGAAACGAAGGAUUGGUUUUGCGACUUCGUGGUAAAAUAUCAAGUUAAAGAAUCUUCAAGACCAUAGGCUAAAGUCGAAAAUAAGAUAUGUAUAUCUAACAGAGGAAAUCACAUCACAAAUUAAGAAGCUCAUGAAUAUUGUUCCAGCUUACUGAUGUUAAACAUUGGUAGAUUUUUCGACUUGUCCCCGCUUAAGGUUUAUUUUGCACCAUUGAGUUGUUGGCUAUCUACAUUUGAUACUCUAUUCUUUUUAUGUACUACUUUCCAAUACUGAAACAAGAUGAUAGGCAACUGUACUUGUAUAAAAUAAAAAUGAUAGGCAAGUGGCAACUGUAGUAACUAGUAACCAAAAUCCAUGUUGUACUCAUGUUCAGUAUUAUAAAUUACAUCUAUCUAUAUAUAUUUACCUUAGUUUUUUUCUCUUAAAAUCAUGUAUAACGUACACAUGUACACGUACCUAUACUCGUAUCUGGCGCAUGCCCGUAUCCAAUACAUGCAAUGUAUGAUAAUUGAUCACGUCAGGUGCAAUCACCGACAACGCCCUCGCAACAAAUUAUGGGUGUCAACAUAAAUUGUAUUAAAUUUUAAAUUUCUCAUUAUUUGAAAAAUUAAAUAAAUGUCAGAAUUGUUGUGGAAUGUGAUGAUACUAAGCAAGGAGACAUGGCUAAAGUAGUUCAUUUGGUGAUUGACAUUUAAGGUGCUGGCUUAGUAGGGUCAUAAUGAGAUUGAUGAAUGAAGGUAAUUCUAAUGAGCAAGGGGAUGUGACCCAAAAAGCUCGGAUUAAAAUAAAACAUUGAACAACAUCGGAAUAUGGUUGAUAUCAAGGUUUCCUAAAGAAGUGGAGUGACCGGAGUUCGAACUCCGGUUCCUGCAUGUAAAAUGCAAUAUCCUAUCAACUGAGUUAAGCUUACAGGGAUAUUUUAAUUUAUUUAUUUUAAUUUUUUUUGUGGUGAUUGGGAUUCGAACCAUGUACAUUACAUGUUAUUAUUAUGCAUUGUCUAUAUAAACUAAGAUAAGACUCACAGAGUCACAAUAAUUUUUUUUUUUUUUUUUAAAGGGGGGUUAUUUACGUUGUCUAUCAAAUAAAUAUUUUACUCUUAAAAAACAUAUGUCACUUUAAAGUAUUUUAUUCAGUUCUAAAAAUAUUAUGACGACAUGUUUUUAAGGCUCAAAUCGUCCAAAAUAAGACACAAAUAUCUGACAUAAUUAAGACAAACUAAAUCUAAAUUUUCUAAAAUAAUACAUUAUUGUAAUACAAAACUUUAUUCAAUUUAUCUAAAACAUUACACUUUUGUUUUUAGGGAAUCUAAAACAAUACACAUAUUAUCCAACAUAUCACCAAUUUUUUUUUUUUUUUUUUUUUUUUUGUACAUAGCACAAAACAUAUUGAACUUGAAACUUUACGUUAAUCAUACAUAUUUAUGCAUAACUUGUUUGUUGUCCUCUUUAAAUAUUACUAAUCUAUCCCUAAAAAAAAUAUUACUAAUCUAAUUUUCCCGACCUGCAUCGAGACUGGAUCCACACGGGAUAUCAAAAAUUUCUAAGUGGUAUAAACUAGGGUUUGGAACUCAGGCGGUAGGCGGUGUUUCACUCCAAUCACCGCCAACUUGUAAACAUGUUGGCCGGAAUGGAGAGGGUUUUUGACUAUUCUUCACCUUUCAUCCGUUAUCUCCCACCGUUGAUGCCCAAUGGAGGCCGGAGGAGAUCAUGGGUGUCGACAACGGCGCAGCAAAUGUCGUCGAUAAUUAACGAAGCUUUGACUUAUUGCCUAUACGGAAUCAUAUAAUAUAAUUUAUUUCCAAACAAAAAUAAAUUUUUUAAGACUUUUUUGGUUCUAUUUAUUUUCUGAAAAACUAUUAUGAAUGUAUGAACAAAAUACUAAAAAAAGAGAGCAUAGAAGAGAAAAAGGACACAACGAUAUAUACUGGUUCCCCUUCUAACCUAAGGAUAGUCUGGUCCCCUCAUACCACAUGAAGGAUUUUCAAUAAAACGUAAUCUUUGUUACAAAGCAAGCCUUACCCUAAGGCCAACAAUCUUUCUAAAAAGUACAAGAUAGCACCCCACUGUCCUUACAACAAGAAUCUUCACAAAACUCUGAUGAAAUUCUCACAAACAAACAAGAUAUCACUACUAUCUUUAACAAGAAUUUCCACCAAUCUUAUAAUCUUUUGCCUCUUUCCCCUAAAAAAAAACUUUUGGCCUCUUUAAUCUCUGUGUUAUGUGUGUUGGAUGAUCAAUUAAAAAAAAAAAAUCAUUAUACAAAUUAAUUGGUCUCUUCGUUCAAUUAUAGUAAUUUUAAUUUUUCAUUUAAAUUAAUUAUCUUCUUAAUUUGUGUGAAAUAGUAAAAUGUCGUAAAAUUUGAAAAGUGGGAGUAUAAUGGAAUUGCAACUGAUAGUUUUUACAAGUGAUUUUGAACAUACUGAUCCUAUGUGAGUUGAUUCUACGUCAGUUGGUGAGUUAUGAAACCUUUCAUUUUAAAUAGACAUGUUAAAUAUUCUUUUUCGUUACAAUAGACAUGUUAAAUUAAGUGUUCUAUUAUUCAUCUGUUUCAAUAAAUAAAUAAAUAAAUAAAGUGUUCCAUGACCAUUGUUCACUCCUUUUUUUUUCUUCCAGAAUAUAAUCUCAACUGUUGAUCCGCAAGAGUCGGUUGACACAGAGAAAUAAAUUAUCUUCUCUUCUUAUAUAUUAAAGUCAAGACAUAAGUAUAUUUUAACCCUAAUUUUAACCUAAACCUAUUGCAUAAAUUUACUAUUUUAACUCUGAUGCUAAAUUUCUUUGUUUAACCUUAUUGAAUUUUCCCCCUUCUCAAUUUCUCGAUACAUCUUCUUAUAUAUUAAAGUUAACUAAACAUAUUUUAAAUCAAUUAUACAAAUUUCUUUCAACAUAAUUUUUGUAUCUUUGUUAGUGAUAUAUAAUAUAUGAAUUUUCAAUGUAAUUGACUCACGAGAAAAAGAGAUGUGUGCAGUGCUUUUGGCAAAAUCUCUUUGUUAUUAAAUUAUAGAUUGCUGCUCAAUGUCACUAAAAAUAUUUUGAAUCAAUUAUACAAUUUCCUUCUAUCUUCUUAUAUAUUAAAGUUAACACAGAAGCAUAUUUUAGCCCUAAUUUUAACCUAAACCUAUUGCAUAAAUUUACUAUUUAAACCCUGAUGCUAAAUUCCUUUGUUUAACCUUAUUGAAUUUUCCCCCUUCUCAAUUUCUCGAUACAUCUUCUUAUAUAUUAAAGUUAACUAAACAUAUUUUGAAUCAAUUAUACAAAUUUCUUUCAACAUAAUUUUUGUAUCUUUGUUAGUGAUAUAUAAUAUAUGAAUUUUCAAUGUAAUUGACUUACCAGAAAAAGAGAUGUGUGCAAUGCUUUUGGCAAAAUCUCUUAUGUUAUUAAAUUAUAGAUUGUUGCUCAAUGUCACUAAAAACAUUUUGAAUCAAUUAUACAAUUUCCUUCUAUAGUUGUAUUUAAAAUUAUGACAUUAAAAUUACAAGUUGGGACUGUAUUAUAAAAUUUUACUUUUGUCUACUACACUUACAAUGUAUAUGACCCGUGCGGCAGCACGGGUGGACGAUCUAAUUUUGAUGAAAGAGAAUUUUUGAUUUUAGGGUUAAAUAUAUUUUUUGUUUCUAUAAAUAUAUCAAUUUUUCGUUUUAAUCCUUCUAAAAUUUUCCUUCAACUUUUAAUCUCCAAACAAUUUUUCAUCUUCACUUUUAACCCCUCCUUUAAAGUAAACUCAGAAUUCAUAUUUUUGAAUAAAAUUUUGUAGAAAAAAUUCAUAAUAUUAUAAGAAUCUCACCCCAAAAAAAUUUAGAAUUUUUUAACAUAUGAAUAUUUAUAUUUUUGAUGGUUAAAAAAUCAUAUUAAAUUUAUGUUUCGUUAAAAAUUCUAAUUUUUGUUGGGAAAGAUUUUUACAAUAUUCUACAUAUUUUUCCACAAUUUCAUUAAAAAGAAAAUACAAAAAUUAACUUAAAAAUAGAGACCAAAAGUAAUGAUUGAAAAUUUUAUAACGAUUAAAAGUUGAAGGAAAAUUUUAGAGGGACUAAAGCCAAAAGAUGGUAUAUUUAUAGAGACCAAAAACAUAUUUAACUCUUUUAAAUAUUGGUAGACUUGUUGACUUGGUCCCACAUAAGGUUCCAUUGAGUUAAAUUUUGACUAUGUACCUUGCAACCUGACUAAACUGUUCUUAUGGUUGGAUAAAAUAAUGCAUAUAUUUAGUGUUAUAGUUAAGGUUUAAUUUAAUUUCCCUCGCAUUGACAGUUUAUGCAAUGCACCCUUAGUCAAGUCAUAAACGUUUGCACCACAACAAAGUGAUUGGUAACUUUUCAUGCAUAUAUGGAAUAAUACGAUUAGGCAACUGAUAAUCAUUGUAUUAAACCAUAUAGGAAAUUUACAAACAUUCUGCUAAUCACCCAUAAGCACUUGCAAACAUCCCCUAAAUCUAUUUAACAUCGUAAAAGAGUUAAUGCAGCAAUUGAUAAAAGAAAACAUUGUCUCAGAUGUCGGAGUAAGUGACAUAACUACUUAAGAACGACAGCUGCAUUCCUCAUACCUAGGUAUCUUUGCACAGACUCGUUUGGAAGCGAUCUGAUCAUCUUGAAAACAUCAGUAUUUGCAUACCGGAGAUUAGUCUUAGGAUCAUAGUAAGGUGCCUGCAAAGUGAACCGAUUGGUUAAUUCUCUAGUGCAAAUGAUUAGUAUGCCAUGGUAUAAUUAUCAUCAUCGUUAACAUUUUCUUAAUUAGUUAAAUAAUUACUUAAACGGACAUACUUCACACCAAGUAAUAUAAUACCCAUAGAAAUUUUUUAGUAGUAUGUUGUUUUAGGCUUUUAGCAUGAAGUUAAUUCAAUGGGUAGAUGAUCAACUGGUUUGAGCCAAGAGAUGAAGAGUUGGAGGUCUUGGGUUCAAAUCUGGACAAAGGAGUGAAUAUUAAUCUAACUACUAACAUUUUCUAUUAAAAAAACGUUAAUUCAAUGGAAAAUGUUAAGGUUAGUCAAGCCUGCAUAACAAGGUGUUUAAAAGGUCAGCAUCACUAUGGCAUCCAAAAAAACCAGUGUGAAGUUCAACAAUUACAAAGAAAUCGAGUUCAAUCAGUGUGACUAAAUAAGAUAUUAUUCAGGUUGUUCACAUUAUCCUAAAUCAAUCUAGUAUUUGUUGCAAAAUUCGUUUUCAGCACUGUCUUUCGAGUAAGGAAAAAGGAAAGUAUAAAGAGGAGAUAAAUAAUGCGGUAUACAAUUACUUCACAAUAUCCCACCCAUUUCCAACUAUAAAUUAUUCUUAAUUUCAGACAUUUAUCAACUAAGAUGCUAGAUCUAAAUCUCAACCAAACUUGUACUUUUAAAUUAGAUCAAGCUGAAAACAUUUCAACUCCAAAACAUUUCCCAUGUCUAAGAAUACCCAAAUUAAACAGGCACUAAUGCAAAAAGAUAAACAUCAGGUUACAGGGAAACAAACUAAUAUCCACUCAAACAAUUUAGCAGUGUUAGUGAUAUGCAAGUGGAAGAUAAAAGCGCCAUGGACAUUAAAAUAAAUGUCAUAGACAUUCAAGCACAUUAUCUCCCGUUGUUCAUUUAAUAUCUUGAGCUGUGUGAGAUGAAAGUGUACAAGGGGGGUGUUGUACUAAAAGUUCUGGGCAUGAAUAUGAGAAAAAUAAACAAGGAUUUUUCUGGCAAAAGGCAAUAACUGUUGAACACCAAAGGAACGGUAGAUUGAGCACUCUACUGCACAUCCUAAGAUGAAAGUAAAAUAUAGUUCUUUGAGAAGACAUAGCAUGCAAAAAAUUUCAACACAAGUAGAAUAUUCUUUUACCACCACAAGUAAUUAGAAGAUAAAAUCACAAAAUUUGAAUAUUAGUACAAAAGCAAGAUGUGUGUGAAUCUUAAGCUUCAAUAUCAAAUGCUAUCAACAGAUUCUUAAAUAAGAUGUUAAAGUAAUACUAGUGACAAGAAAAAGGAUAGAAUACAUUAAGGGUGUGUUUGGAUGGAGGGUUUAGGAGGGGAGGGUUUAGUUUUCAUUUUUAAAUUACGGACACUAUGAAAUGUUUUUUAAAAAGUUAACAUAUUAACAUAAUAACGAUCAUAUAAUACUUCAACCACACUUGAUUUAUUUUAGAAAAAACAUGUUAUAUAGUCCGUAAUUUAAAAAAGAUAAGUAAACCUUCCCCUCCUAAACCCUCAAUCCAAACACACCCUAAUAGAACAUAAUUAGUUUCAUAACUUCUAAAAAAUAAAAAUAUGUGAGAAUAUAAAGAUUUUGCAAACUUCUUCCAGAAAUGAAAAGCAAUUUCUCUUGCAGGGAAACACCAUAACAAAGAUCACUACAUACCUCAUAGCCUGUAAUAUCGCAAAUUCUCUUGCAUGGAUGCAUAGAAGGGGGUGACUCAAUAUUGACAUCUGCAGGACAAUUCAAUAAAAAAAAACAAUUUAGAUUCUUUUCCAUGGAAGACACACAUAUAACCACAACAAAAAUUGGCACAUAGGAGUAUCCGACGUUGAGGUUAAACAUUAAAAUUCUUCCAAUUGUUGCUUUAGUAUUCCAAAUGAAAGAAUAAAUAACAUUAGAGUGAAAAAAAGUGCAAUUAGAGUGAAGAGAACAUAUCCACCAAAAGCGAAAAUAACAACAACAAACAUGCCUUAUCCCACGAAGUGGGGUAGGCUACAUGGAUCAAAUUACACCAUAACGCUCUAUGUCAUGGACCAAAUACGAAAAGGGAAAAUACAAAUAACAAAACUAAGAAAGUAAAAAAGUCUAAGAGCAAUGUAACAC